This 108888-nucleotide long non-coding RNA is filed under the name Coffea arabica (coffee). RNAcentral describes it as "long non-coding RNA (CARA_LNC004118)". The record is from RNAcentral. Lineage: Eukaryota; Viridiplantae; Streptophyta; Magnoliopsida; Gentianales; Rubiaceae.
UCGACUGUUCUGUUUUUCGCAGCCUCUGUUUCUUGUUCUAUCCUCUACUUUUUUAGUUCUUCUUUCAGCCGCAACCCUGCUGUUUUUCCUUAGCUUUUUCCCUCAGCCCCCAAAAAUCUCCGUCUCUCCCUCUGUUUUUAGCCUCCCCUUUUUCUCCGUUUUGCAGCUCCGCCACCCAAGGAGCUUCCUCCAGCGCCUCCUCUUGUGUUUUUUCCUUUUCCUUAGUCACGGUUUUUCCCCAUCCGCCACCCUUUCUGGUUUCUCCCUCUAGCAAUGAAAUCAAUUUUUUAAACCAAUUUCUUCUGGCUAUCCAUCAAUCUCUCGAAGAAAGAAAAAUGGGUUUUUCUUCUUUUCUCUGUUUUUGCUGUUCUUUCUUGCUUGCUUUUCUUUCGUCCCCAAAAUUCCGCCGCCGUCCUCUUCAGCUCUCAAGCCUUUUUUUCUUUUUGUUGUUUCCUUUUGCUCUGCCCUUUCCCCUACCGUAUGUUUUUUCUUUUGCUCUCUUCCCGAACCCCCCUUUUUCCCUUGCACCCGUAGCCUUUUUCAUUUCUCCUUGGCCCCCCCAAAAAUGUGUAACACCUAACCCUCUUACAUGCCUUGUUGCCCACAAUACAAGAGGGACACUUGUCUAGCAUGCAAGUUUCCACUUGUCAACUUUUCCUUUACUCCUUUUUUUUUUAAAAAAAUUCUACACUAAAACUUACAAAAAUAAAAACUACAAGAGCAACUAAAAACUCAAAAGUGAAUAAAACUAAAAUAAAAUAACACCUAAAAGGGCUAGACAAACACAUAAUGAACUAAAACGCAAAUCAUCUAAACACAAAGCAUUAAUUCAAAAUUUGGUGUCUACAGUUUGCCCCUCUUUGUUUGAGUUUUGAAAAAACUUGAGACAAAGAAGUAGACACCAAAUACCUACCUGCUUUAUCUGGUGGCGAACGUCAUGAAUGGUGGACGUUUUUAGAAAUGGGGACUGACCCCUCUUGACAAAAUUAAAGUGUAAUUGAUUUAGAUCAGGAAAUUAAAAGGAAAUUAAAAGCGGGACCGGCCCGAACAAAAAUUAAAAAUGGGACUGGCCCGAACAGAAUUUAAACGGGACUGACCCGAACAGAAUUUAAACGGGACUGACCCGAAUAGAAAUUUAGACGGGACUGACCCGAACAGAAUUUAAACGGACUGACGAACAGAAAUUAAAACGGCUGACCCGAACCGAACAGAAUUUAAAACGAACAGCGGACUGGGACGACAGAAUUUAUUAAACGGGACUGACCCGAACAGAAAUUAAAACGGGACUGACCCGGUGACUGACCCGAACAGAAUUUAAACGGGACUGACCCGAACAAGAAUUUAAACGGGACUGACCCGAACAGAAAUUUAAAACGGGACUGACCCGAACAGGAAUUUAAACGGGACUGACCCGAACAGAAAUUUAAACGGGACUGACCCGAACAGAAAUUAAACGGGACUGACCCGAACAGAAUUUAAACGAGAUGAAUUGAAGUGAGAUGGUGUGUUGGUGGGAUUGACCCAUGUUUAUUGGUGAUGCAAAUGAAAGCAGUGAAAUGAAGUGUUAAUGAGACCGACCCAUGUUUGUUAGUGAUGUAAAUGAAAUGAUCACUAGUGGGACUGACCAACGGCUAGUGGCGAACGAAAAGGAAAUGCUCACUGGCGGGACUAACCUCAGGCUCCAGUGGCUUUGAAAAUGAAAUGCUUUGACAAUCGGACAGUGGGAUUAAACCCGAUCCUGCCGUGAUGAACUUGAUUUGAUUUUUUGACUUUUUGAUUUUUUUGAUUUUUUUGAUUUUUUGGUUUUUUUUUAUUUUUUUUUUGAUUUUUUUUUAUUUUUUUUGAUUUUUUUUUAUUUUUGAGAAACUUUCCAAAGAUAAUUUGCCCCAGUAUGAUGAAUUGGUCAGUGGGAUUACACCCAAGCCUGCCUUGGUUGCACUGGCGGCAUAAAUCCAGGCCCAACGAGAUUUUUAGAAUGUUGGCGGCACCAGGUCCAGGCCCAACUUGAUUUUGGAAAUGUUGGCGGCACAAGAUCCAGGCCCAACGAGAUUUUUAGAAUGUUGGCGGCACCAAGUCCAGGCCCAACGAGAUUUUUAGAAUGUUGGCGGCACCAGGUCCAGGCCCAACUUGAUUUUGGAAAUGUUGAGAGAAUGGGGGAACAGAAUGAUGCGCAGCGUGCAUUGAAGCUUUGCCCACAAGAAAUCAAAUUUGAUUUUUCAAGAAACAAGAAAUUGAAUUUGAUUUUUCCUGAUUUUUCUGAUUGAUUGAUUUUGAUUUUGAUUUUUGCAUUUUUGAUUUUUGAUUUUUUCUUUUCAGUGUCAAGUCCAUUUCCUCCUUCUUCUUGCUUCUCUUUGCAGUAUCGGCCUUCCGCCUCACUGGAUGUUUUUCGUCCUUUUGAACCAUGAUUACCUGUACAAGGGGUUCCUCAAAGUAUGACAUGCAUUCAAAUUUCUUAUUUGGAAAGAACAGCGUGAUUGGUCCGAAAAAUGUCUUGCUUGACUCUUGGGCGAAAAUCUCAAAUGUAUUGCGGAAAAUUUUGCCCCAGUGUAGGCUUAUUUUACAAAAUCCCUCCAAUGAAAACUUGCCCCAGUGUGGGCACAUUUAAUUGCAAAAAUCUCUCAAAUGAAAAUUUGCCCCUGUGUGGGCCCAUUUGAUUGCAAAAAAUUUGUUCAGAUGAUUCCCCAUUUAUUUGAACAAAGAGAAAUCGCACCUUCCAAAAUUUAGAAAGUAAUCAUUUGAACGUUGAAUGCAGAAAUUUCAUGAUGAAUUCCUCGAAGUAACACCAAAUUCAAGAAAAUUUCUUCCUCACUUCUAGCAUUGGUGUUUAGGGUAACGGGUCACCACUUCUGAUUGGCUCAUCUUUCAGGACCAAUCAAGUGACUUUAUUAUUUUUUUGAAAUGGCUAAGGAAAUGGGAGGUCAGAAUUUGUUUGGCUUUUGUGCCCAAAAUUGUAAAGCAUUCAACAUCACAUCUUAGUGAAAGCAAAGAGUUUGUCACCCUUAUUUUUCAAGAAAACUUAGUCAACAUACAAGCUUUCUAGGCUUGUAACGUAUGGACAGAAUUGAUAGCUAAACAUGUGGAAACGGGUUAUACCCUUAUGAUCACAAAUGAUUUGAUGAAUUUCUUAUGAGUAUGAUCCUCACUUUGGAUUGUCAUGAAAGAAUAAGUCAACGAUGGACUUUAUUAGCUUGUAAUGUGGCUUGAAAACGAUAGUUUAAGACCUUCAAGGAUAUUGCACCAUAGAUUGCUUUUUUCCAAAAUUACCCAUAUUUUGAACUCAAAAGAUUUCAGACUUUGUUUGGAUUUUCUCAUCAUUCCCCAGGGUCCUCAGUGUCGAAUUUUUCUGCAUUUUCCUUUCUUGCUUCUUUUCUUCUUUUUUUCCUUUUUCUUUUUCGAACUGAUGGGCUUUCACAUGGUGAGUAGCGUCAAUCCCAUAUCCAGGCAAUUCAGAAAUACAGCUAAAUUUUCCGGCAUCAGAAAUUUUCUUGACAAGGCCAUUGCAAAGAACAGAAGUCAGGACUUUCGGCUUUUGUAAUGGGGUCUGGUGGGUUGUUUAAAAAAGUUAAGGCUUGAAGGCAGAUUUUAAAAAUGGUUUGAAGAAUCUGAGAUCGCAUUGUUGCCAACCCUAUUUUAGGGCUAAACCAGAAUUUGCCCCAGUUUAUGCUCAAUUGAGGCUCUCUUUCAUUUUGUUUUUCCCUCGGCCUUUUGCCAUUCCUUUGAAAUUUUCAAAAAUUUGCCCCAGUUUAUUUUGAACUGAGGUUCUCUUUUCUUUUGCUUUUGAUUUUGCGACUUUUCACUUUUUCACUUCUUGAAUUUUCCCUUUCUUUUGCAAACUUGCCCCAGUGUGGGGUUUGCGAUUCUCAGGGGUUGCCAAACGAAGUAUUUUUAUUCUAAAGGCUCAAAAGGGAUAACUAGGGAUAGAAUGCUUGAUCGGAAAAGAAGAAGGCCUGACUUUAAAUCCGUUCCUUACAAUAACUCUGAAAGGAGACUUUCGUUAAUGCGAAAUUUUUUUUUUUGCAUGUAUCUGAAUUACUGACUAAGGAAGACCCUUGUUCAUCCAUAUUUGUGAAACAUAGAGGGUCCGCCAGACAACUUUUCUUUCUUUUCUUUUCACUCUUCUUUUUCUCACAAUUGAAGCUCAGGUAGAAUCAAAUUUCCCCAAUUUGCGGUUCCCCCUUUUGAGUUUUAGCAUUUUUUGCUUUUUUUUUUUUUUGGAAAAAUCUCCGAUCUCCCUCCCCAAUGUGGGGUGCGAUCAUAGGUGCUCUCGAAAAGAAUCACCAAUUUUUAGCUCAAAUGAGGAUGCAAUGGGUAAAUUGUGUUUAGAUUGUAGAAACGAUGGCCAAAGUAUCAUUCUUACACUCCAUGACAACCAAAGUAACGAAUUGCUCAUUGAAAAUUCAUUCCCCUUCUUGGAUAUUUGAAAAUUUUCCAAUAUAGGGUAGUGAUCAUUAGGGCUCUUAUUUGAAACGAAAUUAUUCUUUCAAAGGCUCAAAUGGGAGAGCAAAAUGAUAAAGUGUGUAUAAGUAGAGAAAAGAAUGCUCAAAGCAUCAUUCCAAAUUUUCAAAACAAAUAAGAAUAAUGCACAUUUUUGCUUUCACUUAGAUGUGAAUUGAAUCUGGUUAAACUAAUGGGCAUUUGCAAGCAAAAAGUUGCUCCAAUUUGCAAUUUAUCAAUCAAUGUGACUGAUUUUAUUUUGUGAUUGAAUGAAAUAGGCAAAAUAUGAAUUGUACAGUGAAUUGUACAGUAAAGGAGAAAAUGUAUCUCAUGAGGCCUUUGGAGUGACCAUGCACCUUUUUCUGAGCACUUUUAUUGUAUGGCUCGGAUCACCAAUCGAGUGUAAGGAUUUUAGGAAGCAUACACUUGUGAAUUUUCAAGCUGGAGGUUGAAAAAAUCUCAAUUUAGUUUUAUUUUUCAAAAUUCAUCAUGAAAUCUCCAAUGAGUAAGAAUAAAGAAUGAAAUGUACAUAAGUAUAUACAAAACAAUAAUUGUCCAAAAAAUUUUAUUGCUGAAAAAGUUUGAAACAAAAUUCCUCAUUCAAUUAUGAUACAAAUAAGAAAAUAGAAACUUGUAAACGGCUCCACAUAUACACUUUUCAUCUCCUCUUCUUUUGGAACAAAAUAUACUAACAAAUCAAAUAAACAGAAUUUCCCUUUGGAAAAUAAUUACAAAUCUCUCAGAGGCUUUAGCGUAGAGCUUCCAGAUAAAUCAUUUAUGUUUUCAUUGUAGGAUCUGCCCAAAAAUCACACAAUACUUGCAAUUUUGACACCUUAUUAGAUCGGAAGUGCCAUCAGAUAUAGAAAAAUAUUUUCUCUUUUAUUGAAGUGUUUUUAUGAAUGCAGGGGAGGGGGAAAACAAAAGAAAAAUACCCUGAGUUAGUAAACAAGAAUAUAAAAUCGGUAUGCAUGUCCAAUAGGGGGACCCUUUUUGUGCCAAGGGUAGGCCUAGCAUGAAAAUGCAAUCCGCUAGAGUAGGCACCAUACCAUACCUGAUGAAUCCGAUCCACUCAUUGAGUGAAAAAUAAUUUUGAAAAUUUUGGUCAAUUGGAGUGAGGAGAGACAUUUGUUAAAAUGAGGUCAACGUCCGAAUGGAUUGAUCACUUUUGAUCGAUAUUUGCAAAAACGCACGGGUUUGACCUUGACGAACUUCCUACCGAAGAGACUGGAAUUCGUUGACAAAAUUUUCUCAGUGAAGCAUGGGUAAAAACCCCAACUGAUCAAAUGGCUGAAUGCAAUGGACGAUUUUCUCAAAAUCGACUAGGUUUUCCAUUUUGAAAUUCGACAUUGAAAACCCUAAUUGGGCAAAUGGGUUGAAUGAAAUUAACAAUUUAUUUAAAAUCGACCGAAUUACCCUAAAAAGGGAAACGGGUCAAAUGAUUUGAGUGAAAUUUAAAAAUUUACUUAAAAUGACCGAAUCAUCUAAAAAAGGAAUUUGAUCGAAUGAAAUUGAGAAUUUUAUGCAAAAUGGACCGGAUCGCCCUAAAAGGGUAAACUGGUCAAAUGAAUCGGACGAAAUUGUUGAUUUAUCGAAAAUCGACAAAAUUGCCCUAACUAAUCAAAUGAAUUGAAUGAAAUCGGUGAUUUAUUCAAAAAUCGACUAGAUUGCCCUAAAAAUGGGUGAAUUAGCCAAAUGAAAUGAAGAUUUAUUCAAAAAUCGACCGGAUGACCCUAAAAAGGGUAGAUUGGUCAAAUUAAUUGACGAUUUAUUCAAAAUCGACCGGGUGACCCUAAAAAGGGUAAAUUGGUCAAAUGACCCUAAAAAGGGUAAAUUGGUCAAAUGAAUUGACGAUUUAUUCAAAAUCGACCGGAUGACCCUAAAAAGGGUAAAUUGAUCAAAUGAUCCUAAAAAGGGUAAAUUGGUCAAAUGAAUUGACGAUUUAUUCAAAAUCGACCGGGUGACCCUAAAAGGGUAAAUUGAUCAAAUGAUGGUUUAUUCAAAAUUGAUUAUGAAUUGACAAAAUGGAUCGAUUGAAUCGGCCGGCCAUUGAUGGUUUCAAAAAAAAAAAAUUAGUCUAUGAGCCUUCUAAAAUCACGAUUUUGGCCUCAAUUUAUUUAUCGUCUCAAUAGGAGGAAUCAUUUGUGAAUUUCUUCAAAUUAAUGUCCUUCACGCAAGGGAUUUUUACCAAUUUUUGAUAAAAUGGCCAAAAAGUGAUUAUUAGAUGCUCAUAUUCCCAAAGAUUACUCUAUGAAAAUGAUCGGAUCCUACCUUACCUUGUGCACUACCCCUUUGGAUGGUACAAAAUGUAAACGUGCAAGUCUCGUUGGAUUAAGUAUCCGAGACACAAGGUGGCUUAUUCCUAACACGGGAUCCCCUAAGUGGCAUUCCCUUUCUAGGGUUUAUGCAUGAUGCCAGUUAUUAAAGCGAUGAAUUGUGCAAUUCGAAAUGAAACGUGACCUAAGGAACCCUUUAUUUGCCAGGGUAGGCCUAAAAUGCUAUGCAAUUACCAAAAUCUAUGAAUGCAAUAUACCAAAAUCUUUAAACGUGCAAUAAUCUAUCUACGAGGGUAGGUUCUAAAAGAAGGUCAUGCCAGACCUCUUAUUUGAUAGGGUUUGUGAAUGCAAUGGGGACAUAAAACCAAGAAAAGUUAGUUCAGCCAGAUAAAUACACAUAACACAUUGUAGCAACGAAAUCAUUACAAAGAAAUAAAGCAAUAAAAGGGAGAAAGGGGUUGGACCCCUCCCCUCGUGAAUAGUGUGCUUAGCUCAGGAUAAGGCCGACUCUACCCUAGGCAAUUCUAAUAUGGAUGCAUGAGACUGGGGUUCGCUAAUGCAUCUAAACUCGAUAAGCUCAGGUCCCCGAGCCUUCAGACUUAGAAACCAAGGGUCAUCAAUCCCAAGGUUCUUUGUCGGUGGCUCGAGCGAUUCCCCAAACACCGCUACGCACACAUCGUGUCACGGCUACGUGUUUGAGUGAAUCUAUCAAAAUCCUCAACCUUCGACUAAAAGCUAAAGGCUAUCAACCCAUAGCUUAAAGCGGAAGAUUGAGUGACUCAUUGGAACAUGCUACACACACAUCGUGUCGUGAUCACAUGGCCAAGUGAGUCACCUAAUCCUAAUAGGGUGGAGUGGCGUGACAAGCCACUAAAGAAAAAUAAAAGGGAUAAAAGAAGUAAAGCGUAUGCUCGUAUGCUAGUGCUCGUUUGGAGGGGAAGGGUCAAGAACCAACGCGAGGCUCUAGGGUGACCCAUACCUCCCAAAAUGCAAUGUAAGCGCGAGAUAACAAGUAAACAUUCAUUCAAACAUACAUUCAUGAGUCGAGGGAUUAGCUGGACACGCGUGAAAUGCAAAAUCCUAAAAAAGGAAAAAAUGCAACCCUAAAACACCCAAAUGUGAUAUAUGAAAAGGUUAAAAGAAGAAAAAGGUUGAUUAAAUCAAAUUUGCUCGGACUCUCGAAAGUCCCCAGUGGAGUCGCCAACUGUCGCGCCCCAUUUUUUGAUGAAAUAAAUAAAUAAAUGGUUUGAGAAAGAUGUAUUUUGUGUGAUUGAAAAAUGAAUCGUGAUUUAAAAGAAAAUGGGUCUAAAUGGGACUUUUGAAAAUGCGACGAUUUGACCCAAGAAAAAUAGUUCAAAAAGGGCUUUUUAUAUGAAAAUGGAGUCGCCACUUGGUAUAGAGUUAGGGUGUACCAAGUCACCCAAAAAGUGAAUUUUUUAAGGAAAAAAAAAGUAAGAAACCCUUUUGAACGACUCCUAGUCCACGCAAACAAAGAAAAAGAUUCGGGAGUCACAUUUGACGAAGGGGAAGGCAAGGAUAAAAAUCCAAGGCACCCCUUCGACCUAGCCAAGGCUAGUUGCGUUGAUUUAAUCAAAGAUUUUCUUGUUUUAACCAAAGAAUUUAUUACAUUUGGAUGCGCUACAUGAAUGCAAACCCUAGACCUAGGGGUAUUGGGAGAAAUUUCUCUUCAAAGGUUGAGUGGUGCCAAUCACAUUACUUGUGAAGCCCAAUAACGAUCCUUUGAAGGGGUCACGAAUAAUGCGAGUGGGAUGCAAAUGAAUGGAAUGCAUGUAUGCAAUGUGAGGACAUGAGUUUGAAAAAAAGUAAUAAAAGGCAAUAAUAUGUAAGUGAAAAUGUGCACGUGAGUGGGCAAGGUGCGGUGUGUGAAAUGAUAAUAUGAAGUACAUGUGUGCAAGUGACGAUAAAAAUGUUCGUGUGCAAAUGGAGGGAUAAAAAGGUGUACGUGUGCAAAUGAAGGGAUAAAAGGUGUACGUGUGCAAAUGGAGGGAUAAAAGGUGUACGUGUGCAAAUGGGAGGAAAAAAUGAAAGCGUAAUGAUAGAGUGGAUGCAUGAACCUAGGGAAUUCAUGCAUAAUGGGUACGGGGAGACCUAAAUCGUGACUCAAUUUGCCCUUUGAUAGAGAGAAUACAAGCGUGCUAAGGCUUAGAAAAAGCCACACUCGUCUAUAUCCCAUAUUUAAGGGGACACUCAAGCAAAAUGAACCCUAUAGCUAGUAUGGGAUGCAAAACCUAAAGUGAGGGGAAAGGGAUUCGAGGAACAUGCCCAAUGAUAAAACUAAAGAAAGUUGUAUGAUAUGUGGUGAACAAGCCAAUGACGCACUAAUGAAAAGAAAGGAAAAAGCCUAUUGGGUCUAGCGUUGGACUAGCCCUUUCUAUGGAUUUCUACUAGCAUUGGACUAGUGGAAACGGAACAAUGAACCACAACUAGCGUUGGACUAGUGUGGUGACGAGAAAGGGGGCCACAACUAGCAUUGGACUAGUGUGGUGACGUCCAUUCAUCCAUCACAUUCAUUCAUGACUAUAAAAAGCGAGUAGACAUGCGAGUCACUUAUAAACACGUAGCACAUAACACUUAGCAUGCUUGACUAGAUGCAAGGACCUAAUAAAGCGAUUAAACACGUAGCAGCGAAAGCAAGCAAUGAACUUAUUACAUUUGCUAACUAAAACAAAGGGGGGAAAGGGAAAAUGGACAAGAAAGCUCACCCUAUCUAUUACAAGCCAAGAGGUGUACACAUACCUCAUUUAAAAGAAUAAUUUAAUAAAAACAAGAAUGAAUGAAAUAAUGGAACUAAAGAAUGGUAAUGAAAGCAAAUUAGGCAUGCGAUUCACACUUAGCACAUUGGAUCACAUAGGAGAGGCAAAAGGGAUAAAAGAAUUUAUACCUCCCUUGAAAUGAAGCUCUAAUGGAGUGAAAUCAACUUAUUUACCUCCAAAAUAAUAAAGGAGUCAAGGUGCCAAUUUAUUUGACGAAUAACCACAAAGGAUAAAAAUAAACAUGAAUUUGAAUCAAUUAAAUCAUGUCAACAACCCACAUUUAAGAAGUCAAGAAAAGAAAGGACUUGAUUGCAAAGAUUGGCAAAAUUUUGGGGCCAAAAUUAAAGAAAAAUAAAGUUCAGGGACUCAUUUGCAAUUAAACCAGGGACUGAAUUGAAAGCAGUUGAAAAUAUCCAGGGGCACAGUACAAUUAAAGGAAAGUACAGGGACUGAUCUGCGAAUUCAUUUCUCUGGCUUCUUAAUGGAUUAAACCACUGGGCUAUUUUAUUUAUUUGUUUGGGCCAAGAUCAUUCGGCCCAAUCGGAAGUCCAAGGAAAACAAUCUGGUUAGCCCAUCAUUUUCACUAAUCUAGCUCAUACAAAAUUAAGGGCCUCAAGUUUCCAAGCCCAAAUCAUAGACCCAGAAGAAGCAAACCAAAAUCCAUUAGCCCAACCCAACUAAGUAUUAUUACCCAAAACCCUAACCAUAACUAAACCCAACAAGAUUAGUAAAUUAACUAAAAUUAUUAAGCCACAAUUAUGAUCUAAAUCCCCGAAUUAAUUUAUCCCACAAAGUCACAUAAAAUAGGCAAGCAUGGGAUUAAGCUUAAGGGGGUGAGAUUAAUUCAACCUUUCCAAUUUUUUGGGUCACAUCAGAACAGCGGGGUGACUUGAGGGGUUCCAAUGCAAUAACAACAGGGACCUGAUUGAAAGAAUUAUAGCAGUUUGGGGGCGAAAUUAAAGAAAAGCAAAGUCCAGGGGUCAAAUUGAAAAUUCAUAAAUAUUUUCCCUACCCAGUUCGUCUUCCUCGCAUAUCAAUACAAGCCAAACAUCGUUCAAAAGGAAAUUUCAGCUGGGGAUUUUCUCAAACAGGUUGGGGGCAUUCGAAUUUCAUCAAUUUUUGCUCAAAUUAGAGUUAAUCAACCCCAAAGUUGUUCAACAAACAAGAGAUUUCAGUCCAAUUUAAUAUAUAAGGCACAUAUAAUCUAAAAUUAUGAACAAACAACAUGAAAAUUGUACUGAACAAAUGCAUGGCAAAUGUGCUCCGAACAUCGCAAAAAUGCAACAACGAAAAGUGGAAAAAAUCAACUUCAAGAAAUCAUCACUUCUCUUUCUGGCUAGCAAACGCACGGAUUCUGGCCAGCUUUGAACCGGCCAGAUUCUCCUUUGAAUUGCAUACAGAAAAUACACGCGACUCUUUCUUUUGGUUUAAAAAUUUCAUUCAGACAUUGUACCAAACAUCUAACGGUCAUUAAAACAUUCCGCCAAUCUUUGUCUAAUUGAGAGUAUAACCGGCCCCAAGAUCAUCAGCAAAACCAAUCAAAUCCCAGUCCAAUUAGCAUAUAAGCAUAUGUAUUCAGAAAUUUAAGCUAUUUAACAGGGAAAUUGCACUAAAUAAUGCCACGGCAAACUCAUUUCAGAGGCUUGAGAAGAACUGAAAUUCGAAGAGAAAACUUACAGGGGCUCUUGCUUGGGAGAUUCUGCGGGCAAUAACGGUGGAAUCGGUGAGGUAGUGAUGGUUUGGUGAGUUGGAAGUCUCCGCUGCUGUCGCCGCUCAAGUCAUCCAUGGAAGAGGAGCAGGUGGAGAAGAAAUUGAUGAAAGGCUCUGGCCAUGAAACUGGCGCUUGAAGCCGUUUUGUUGAGCUCAAGCAGUUUCACUGGAGUCGUUGUGCCCUCUUUCCCCUCUUCUCUUUUCUUUUCUUCCCGUUUUCAAACCGUCGCCGCCUGGUUCCUCCGCCGUGAGCCUUUUCUCUUCUUCUUCCUUUUUCUGUUACCUUUUAUUUCUUUUGGCUCCCCGUCUAUCUUACUCUGGCCGAAUAUCUCCUCCGUGGUUUCUUAUUGGCCAAAGACCUCCGCCGAUGUCCCCCUCUGUUUUUCUCUUGCUCUGUUUAGCUCCUAUCCCCAAACCCAGAUGCUGCUCUCUCCUCCUUUUUCUCUGUUUUUCUUUUUUUUUCUUCCCCCUGUCCCCCAACUUCCGAAGCCCUCUCUUGUGUUUUCUUCUUUUUUUUUUCCGUCCCCUUUUCUCUGCCGACCAAGCUUCCCCCCGGUCUCUGUUUUCUUGCUCUCUAUUUUUCUUUCUGCUCAACCCCCAAAAUUUCUCCCCCGUCGUUUUUUUUUCUUUCUUUUUUUUUUUUUUUUGCCUGCUAUCAGUUUUUGUCGAUGCCUUUCUCUCUCUCUUUACCCUCUGUUUCCUUUUUUCUCUGCUUUUUUCUCUGAUUCCAGCCGAAGCUCUCCCUUUACUCUGUUCCAGCUCAAAACUCUUCGUCCCCAGAUGAAGUUUUUUUUCCAAUUGCCUUGUCCGCCGCCCCUAUUCUCGUUUUUUCUUUUUCUUUUUUUGCCGCCUGAAGCCUCUCCUAUGUUUUUCAUUCUUUCUGUUGCCUCUGUCUUUUUUCCUUCUUUCUUUGCUUUUUUUUUUCAAAAAUUCCUUAAAACUUACCAAGUGUCCCUCACCCCUUGCCACCUUGGUGAUGUGUUGUAAAAAAACAAGAAGGGACACUUGUCCCACAUGCAAAUUUCCACUUGUCAUUUUCACCUUUUUCUUUUUCCUUUUCUCUUUUUCUUUUAUUUUUCCUGAAAUUUAAUGUAAAGCCAAAAAUAAACUAGAACAAAAAUAAAAUAAAUAACAAUAAUAAAAAUAAAUAAUAAAAUAAUAAAAUAAUAAUAAAUGAAAACCCUAAAAUUGAAAUAAAUAAAACUAAGAUUAAAUUAAUUAAACAAAUAAAGUUAAAAAAUCAAAAAUUUGGUGUCUACAGUUGAAAUACAACUAAUUUGUGACAGAGGCAGUAACUCUUAGUUUUUUUCCUUUUUAUCUCAAAAUGAAACUAUAAGUUCAAUGUUAAUAUGUUUUUUCUUUUUUUUUUUCAUUUCAAAACAAACCUAAAAGAUCACUCUUAAAUUUUACUCUUUUAUCAUCCCAAAACAAAACUUUAUGGUCACUCUUAACUUUUUCUCUUUUAUCAUCUCAAAACAAAACUUUGUGAUCACUCUUAAUUUUUUUCUCCUUUUCAUCUCAAAACAAAACUUUGGGUAAGUUUUCAAUUAAUUUUCUUUCCUAAUUUGAGUGGCGUGGUUUUGGUCAUCAUUGGUGCAUUACAUCAUAAAUAUAAUUUGAUAAUUUCAUACAAUUUGCCCUUGAAUUAGUUAUUCAUACCACAAACCACCACAUAUACACUCGUAUGUAUUCAUUCCAAAUGUGUUAGUUUUACAAUUCUUAGGAUAUAAUUCCUAGGUAUGUUUUGAUCCACAAUAUUAUUAAAAGUCUUUCAACAUACUAGAUGCAGUCCAGUUAAAGAAACACUUAAGAACUAAUUUAAAUAAAAGUUAAACUAUACAAGAGUAUUUUGUUUAAUAGGUUUGGCCAACGAGUGUCCUAGAGCACGUGCUAUUAGUUAAUAGAGUGUCAGCUGUUAAUAUGUUAGCAAAAGUGUAAUUAGUUCGGAAGAGUGAUGUGUGUAUUCAUACUGUAAAUUAGGUGCGAUUUUAGUGUUUUCAUGAGUUUCAGCACUCGGUAAUCCUUGAGAGUGGAACUCCCUUUAAAUUAUCGAAAGGAAAAGGAAAAGGAAAAAACAAAGCAGGGAAAGAAACAAAAAAGUCUUCAACGUGUUUAAGCACCGCAGAAAAGUCUUCUAAGAAAAUUUGCACAACAAUUGCGGUGAACUUGACGCUCAAAUGUGAAAUCAAAUCAAGGCUGGAAAGAACACAUUACAAGUCUUCCCUGGCCCCCUAAGACGCAGAUUGGAAAGACCUUGACUUAGACUUUAAAAGCAGAGCUUUAAAAUUCAUGCUACCUCAGAGUACUUAUCAGGAGGCCUAAAUUUCAUAUAUCUAACAUCGAUGGAGGUUGCAUGCAGCAAAGUUGUUCUUCUCCUGAUAUCGGCUACUGCACAAGCAGCAGGAGCAGCGAGAGAGCCUGCUCUUGGUUACACCGAAUACAGCGUAAUAGGUCUUAGCAUAUUUUUUGUGGUUUACUCACUAAUCGGUGGAUUACUAUGUUUAAUCCUCUGCAAAACUAAGGUCAAGAAAGUAGAAUCUGAGCCCAUAGACAACAAACAUGGAGACGUUUUCAGAAUGUUGAACUAUGAUGGACAUAUGGCUUAUGAAGACAUAAUAAAAGCAACAAGAGGUUUUGAUGUCAGUUAUUGCAUUGGGAGAGGGAAUUAUGGCAGUGUGUACAAAGUGCAAUUGCCAAGUGGGAAAGUAGUGGCUGUGAAAAAGCUUCACCAUUUGGAAGGCAAGAAUCCAAAUUAUGAUAAGAGCUUUAGGAAUGAAGCCCGCAUGCUAUCCAGAAUCCGGCAUCGAAACAUUGUAAAGCUCUUUGGAUUCUGCCUGCACCAGAGAUCCAUGUUUUUGAUUUAUGAGUAUAUGGACAAAGGAAGCUUGUUUUGUAUCUUGAGAGAUGAAAUUCAAGCUGUGGAGCUAGAUUGGAUUAAGAGAUUGAACUUGAUAAAUGGCAUUGCCAAUGCAUUGUCCUACUUGCAUCAUGAUUGUGAUCCACCAAUCAUUCACAGGGAUGUAUCAAGCAACAACAUUCUUUUGAAUUCACAGCUUAAAGCAACUCUAUCUGACUUUGGAACUGCAAAGAUUUUGAAACCUGAUUCCUCAAAUCAAACAGUAAUUGCAGGCACCUAUGGUUACAUUGCACCGGGUAUUUACCUUCUUAUUCCUAGAACACUUUCUUUUUUUUUCGCCUUGUUUCUGUUAUUUUAUCUCUGCACGUAUCAGGUUUAACUUCUACUAGAAAGAAAAAAGCAAAAAAGACCUGUAACUACAUAUUAUUGUUUUGUUGAGCAGCAAGGUGUAGUACAUGAAGAGUUGAUUUUUGGUGGGUAACUAGACCGACCUAAAUCAGUCCUCUCUUGAGUGAGGUGAGAUGAAUUCACUUGUCCGAAGUGGAUGGCGGGGCUUCUCCCCUGGGAUCACUCCGACGAUCAAGUUAGUACGAGAACGAGAAAAGCAAUAGUAUUUGUGAAUGAACAGUAUGCUUACUUGUUGGGAGUAUGUGUGGGGUAUUUAUAGAGUGAGAGUGAGAGAUAGGACAGAGGGCUUAUGCUGGCGGGACCCACGUCCUGACAUUACGGCUCUGCUCCCUGUCAGGAGGUCUGACUCUGACACUGUAGCCGCCUGUGCAGGGUGACAGGGGACCUUGCGUAGUUGCCAUUAAGAAUACCAGGUGCUUUUCAGAUAAAGCACUGGUCUCGGAUGAUGUCAGGCGGGCUGACAUCAUCGGCGUGCAGCCGAGGUGGAAACCUGUGGUGCAGAGGCCAUCUAAACAGUUGGCCAGGGGCCUGCCCAAGGUCAGGGAUCAUGCUCAAGACAACACUUCACUCGCGUGAGGGACGAAAUGAGAUCACCUCGGCCUUACAGGGACUGCCGAGGUGAGCAUCCUCAGUACACGAUGUAUGGCUUAAAUUUUCGAAUAUUGAAAGGAUUGCAAUUGGAUUACUAGCUAGGAUUGGCAGCCUAGGAUUGUCCAGCUGAGAAUAACUUUAUUUUAUCCGCUACUUGUAAUUGCAGAGCUAGCCUAUACCGUGGCGGUCACUGAAAAGUCCGAUGUGUAUAGCUUUGGCGUUGUGGUGCUGGAAACGCUGUUUGGAGAGCAUCCACAAGAAUUCCUUUCUUGCGUAUCAUCACAACCCAAUGAACCAAUAAUGAUGAAGGAUCUUCUUGAUGCCCGUCUGCCCCCUCCGACUAACCCUUUGGUCGUUCGAAAUGUGGUUGUCGCGACAGCGUUGGCCCUGGAUUGCGUCAACGCAAACCCAAAAUUUCGACCAACAAUGCAGCAAGUGGUGAACCGAUUUGAAGUGGGCAGGCGAGAAUCAACUAGGCCUUUGCACACCAUUGCUGUGAAUCAGUUUAUAAAAGUAGAAACAUGACCAAGCACUGAGAUUAUUGCAUAUACCAUAUAGUGUACUAAUAAAAAUAGAAAAAAAGAAAGUGUGCUAAUUAAUGAAAAGCAACUCUUAUAUGCCGAUUAAAAGCCUAGGAAAUUUUGUCAUCAAUAUUUAAGCCAAAGGAGAUUCUACUUGUUGGGCUUUAUUUCCAGAAUUAUACUUGAUUCUUCAAAACUUUAUAAAGCGAUCCGAUCAUACCGUCUACUCAUCUAAUUAACUGAGUACAUGGGGAGAUAUAAAGUGAAAUACUUUGUUUCACCGUGUGAAGGGCAUCAUAAUAAUUUUUUUCUUUUUACCCAAAUAAGUAUUAUUUGUGCUAAUACUCCUAAUGCUUAUAGAUGUGAUUAACGAAUCAACUGCUCUACUUGCAGGCUACUUGGCAAGUUUAAAAUAGUACCAUUAUUCUUUUGGGAUCAAAAUUGUAUAAAUUUCGUCAAAAGUAAAAAUAACUACUUCUUGAACGAACUGGGCAUAAUCAACUGGAAAGGAAGGCAAGGACCCAUAAAGACAUAUCAUGCUGCACCGUUGAAGUUGUCAAUUGGGUCUAUUCGUGGGCAUGACAAAUACUUACAUGGACCACAGUCCACGAAACCCAACAAGCAUCGUCCAAUUUUAAUCUCCACGUUUCUACCGGAACAACUUUGACAUCCGACAGGAAACUCAAUAAUGUCAUGUUUUUGGAGAAUAGAAACAUUGGAAAGGAAAGAUGGAACCGUCAUCCAAGUUGAAUGAAAAGAAAAAUUGGAAAGCAUUAUCCAAGACAAUUUUGGAAUCUCACAGACUUGUCCAUAGACUUUCAAAAGAUUAAAGCAUCAUGCAUGAAGGAACUCAUGGGAAUUAUUUUUGAAUCUGGUGAUAAAAUAGAAAUAUAGAGUUUUGUAAUGACACUUUGGAUGAUCUGGCAUGCAAGGAACAAGCUCAUAUUUGAGGGAAUUUGCAUGAAGACAGAGGUGAUAGUGGACUGGGUGAGGGCAUAUCUAUGGGAAUUAAAUCAAAGGAAUAGAAACAUGACCAAGCACUUAAAUUAUUAUUCUCUCUGUCCGAAAGAAAAUUGACAAAAAGGGAGAAAAAGUUUAAUUUAAGUACGUAAAUUGUUUUGAGUUGUUAUGAAUAGAAAAUUGAUAACAUUGAAAACUUUAAAUUUUUGAUCACAUUUAAUAGUGGUGAAAAAGUUUUUUUUCUUUUUUUGGACGAUCAAUAGCGAUUCCUCACUCACCUUCAUUUUUUUUUUGUCAAAAUGAUAACAUUUGUAUUGAUUUAAACUUGAUAAUACAAGAGCACUUUACAAAAGGAGCUCAUUGCCCUCAUAAUCUAUUCUUGCUAGAUCUUUAAUCCUGCCAGGGAAACAUGAUUCCCAAUAUACAUCAUUAACUAGCUUCAAGGCAAACUUUGCUAGCCUAUGACACACUUCAUUCCCUUCCCUAUGUAUAAAAGAGAAGUUGCAUUGCUCAAAAAACUCCCUCAGCUUUUGUAUGUCCUCCAGUAUCACAGCACAGUUGCUGUUGUUGCAUGAGACGGUUAAGAUACAGUCUAUCACAUUCUUGCAAUCUGAUUGUACUUCGAUUCUUCUCCAGCCUGCUGCCUUUCCAAAUUGCAUUGCAGCUCUAAUUGCUGCAGCCUCCUCAAUUUCUGGUUCCCCCAACUUCUCCUCCAUUAUGGCCCAAGCUUUCAGCACCUCUCCUUUCCAGUUUCUAGCCACUAUUCCUUUACCAGUUCUGAUUGACUGUGUUGAGAUUGCAGCAUCAGUGUUUAUCUUGUACACACCUUCCAUUGGAGGCUUCCAUCGUCUAUCAUACUGAUGUGGAGUUGCUUCAACAAUGCCAGCUCUACUUUCUAGUUCCACAGCUUCCUUGAACUCCAUCCACUCUUGUUGAGCUUUCCUUACCACUGAAAUUUCCUCCCCUUUUGCGUUGUUGAAGACAAUCUGGUUCCUUGCCUUCCAUAUUUGCCAGAGGAGAUUAAUUGUUAAUUCUAUAUGCUCCUUGCCAUUGACUCUUUGAGUUGCUUCUAAGAGUCCUUCCCACCAUCUCCAAAAGCAAGCCUGCAGAUCUAUUAAUCCAUCCCAGUUGAUUGGACUGAGUUUCCAGAUCAUCUUUGCAUAUUCACAAUCAAAGAACAGAUGCUCUAUAGUUUCAAUUCCAUCCCCACAGCUUUUGCAUAUGUUGUUCCCCAUCCUGUUCUGCCGUGCACCAAGUCAUUGACUGGAAGACAGUUGUGUAGACAUUUCCACAUAAAAUGCUUCAGUUUGUGUUUGACAUUUGUUCCCCACAACUUCUUUCACAUACUUUCCUUCCUAUUAUGGCUACUUGUCUUCUCCUUGAGCUGCAUUGUUUUAGUUGCCUGUGCCUCCAUUUCCUUUGCUAAAGUAUACCCUGACCUCACUGUAUAUUCCCCAUUCUUUGAGUGAUGCCAGAUGAUCCUGUCUCUCCUUUGGUACAUACUGAGUGGUAUCCUUACAAUCAUUUGGGCCGUCUCUCUGCUGAAAACUUGAUUUAUUAGCUCCUUAUCUCAUUGUCCAUGUUUAAUCAGGUCUUUGACAUAUUGGAUGCUUCCCAAUGCUGGUCUAUCAUGUUCCAUUCUACCAUCUCUUGAACCAGGUAUCCAUCUGUCUUGCCACACCUUGAUGGUACUUCCAUCCCCAACUUGUUUUCUUAUUCCAUUUAUCAAAAGGAAUCUGGCGCUCAGAAGACUCUUCCAUAGGUAUGAUGCUGAAGUAGGGGCAUGCUUCAUCCAGUCAGAUUCUCUUUUCAUAUAUUUAGCUCUCAUAACUCUACUAACAAGCCUGUUAGGCAUAACAAUGAUUCUCCAGAGUUGUUUUGCUAGCAAAGCUGUGUUGAACAUUUCCAGAUCUCGAAAGCCUAGACCUCCCUUUCCUUUCACCUCAGUAAGUGCCUUCCAAUUGGUCCAGUGUAUUUUCCUUUGAUGCUCGUUUGCCCCCCACCAGAACCGUGCCAUUUGUUUACUAAUGUCUCUACACAUUCCUUUUGGGAUUCUAAAGCACGACAUUGUGUAAUUUAGGAGUGCCAUUAUCACUGAUUUCAGCAAUACUUCCUUUCUAGCAAGACUCAAUAGAUUUCUUUUCCAGCUUUGUAUUCUCUGUGUUACACUUGCUUUUACUUCCCCAAACACCUGAUUCUUUGUCCUCCCUAUCACCAUAGGAAGACCAAGAUACUUCCCACUAAAUGCUUCUCUUAGAUUUCCAAGUAUACUGCAUACUUCCUGUCUGGUAUCCAAAUCAGUGUUCCUACUGUAGUAGAUAGCAGACUUGUCCAAGUUGAUUAGCUGUCCAGACGCUCUUGCAUAUUUGUCCAGCAGCUCUUGAAUCUUCCAAGCUUCCUGGUUUGUGGCCUUGCAACAGAGCAAGGCAUCAUCUGCAAAAAAGAGAUGUGUAAUGGGGGGGCACUUUCUUCCCACUUGGAUUCCUGUCCACAUUUUACUAGUUGCAACUUUGUUUUUCAAGUUUGAGAGUGCCUCCGCAACAAAUAAAAAAAGGUAGGGGGAUAAUGGGUCUCCCUAUCUUAUGCCCCGCUUAGGUUGGACAUAUCCUACUUUUUCUCCAUUACGAUUAAAAGAAUAGUAGACGGUAGAGAGGCAAUUCAUAAUCCAUCUAACCCAAAUGGGGCAGAAUCCCAUUUUUAGCAUUAUUCUUCCCAAAAAUUGCCAUUCCACUCUGUCAUAAGCUUUAGACAUGUCAAGCUUGAUAGCCAUAAAGCCUAUUCUACCUGUUCUUUUAUGUUUUAGGAAAUGCAUAACCUCGUGAGCUAGGAAAACAUUAUCUAGGAUUUGUCUGCUUGGCACAAAGACAGAUUGAGUUUCAGUAAUGCACUUAGACAGGAUUUUUUCAGCCUAUUUGCCAGGAUUUUGGAAACAAUUUUAAAGAGGACAAUGCAAAGACUGAUUGGCCUGUAGUGAUUAAUAUUAGUGGGAGCAGACACGUUUGGGAUUAGAGUAAUCAGGGUUUCAUUGACUGCCUUCAGCAUAUACCCACUAUGAAAAGAACUCUUAAUAGCAUUUACUACAUCCAAAUUUAUGAUAUGCCAAUAUUUCUGGAAAAAAAGAGGUGACAUACCAUCAGGACCUGGCGGUUUAUUUGGAUGCAUAGAAAAUACAGCAGCUUUGACUUCCUUUUCCUCCACAGGUUUGAUCAAAUUUUCAUUCAUCUGCUGAGAAAUUGUAUGGGGGACACCAUCGAGAACCUCAUCAAUGUUAGCCGGUUGUGAUGUGUUGAAGAUGUUGCUGUAAUGAUUACCAAUCUCAUCCACCAAUUCUUCCUUUGUUUCACACCAGCUUCCAUUCUCUUUUUGCAAGCCUGAAAUCCUAUUCUGUCUCCUUCUUAUUCCCACAGAGGCGUGAAAAAAGGCAGUGUUUUUAUCUCCAUGCUUUAGCCAUUUGUUUCUUGCCUUUUGAGCCCAGUAGAUUUCCUCAUCCCUAUAUGCCUUGCCCAACUUGCAUUUCAGUUCAUCUAGAGUGUCCCUCCUUUGACCAGCUUCCAUCUGCUUGGCUUCCUUGAUUUGUUUUUUCAACCUCUGUAUUACCUCUCCUGAGUUGUUCCUUUUCUUCCUAUUCCAUUCCAUCAAUGCCAAUCUGCAUGCUUUGAUUUUUCUUGUCACUUUAAAAAACCUGGAUCCUUGUUGUUGUUCCUUCCAAACAUUCGAAAUCACAGUAUUAGUUUCCUCCUCAAAGGUCCACCUCUGGUCAAAGUAAAAUCUCCUCUUGUAAUUCUUCUUAACAGGUUCAGUAUCCAUUAGAACAAUACAGUGAUCAGAUGCUUCCUUAUGCAGAUGUGUACACCUUGCAUUCUUGAAAUGUUGGAUCCAUCCUUGAUUUGCUAGGCAUCGAUUUAGUCUUUGUUGGACCAGCCCACCUCCCUCCCAUUGAUUAGACCAAGUCCAUGGCACUCCUUCAAACCCAAGGUCUAUCAGUGCAUUACUUUCUAUGAACUCUCUAAAAUCUUUGAAACUGCUCUCAGGUCUACUUCUCCCACCCCAUUUCUCCUCAUUUGACAGUAUAUCAUUUAAAUCACCAGCCAGCAUCCAUUGCUCUCCCCACUUUCCUUUUUCUUGGUUGAUAAUUCUCCACUGUUCCCUCCUUAUUCUGUCAUCAGUGCUUGCAUACACACCAAUGAACCACCAACUGAACUGUUUGUCCUUUUCCAUAAUCUUAGCUUCAAUGUAAAAACCCCCACUAUUGACAUACACCACAUCCAGCUCACUAUUCCACAUUAACGUUAGACCCCCGGCCUUGCCCAAAGCAUCAAUAACAAAGCAUUUCUCAUAGUUUAUUCUUUUCCUAAACUUUUCCAUGACCUUUUUUUGGUUUUUGGUUUCACAGAGAAAAAUUAAAUUAGGAGAGUAGAGAUUGAUUAUCUCCUUCAACUGGGGAACUGCCAAGGGGCCUCCUGCACCUCGGCAGUUCCACACCGCCACCUUCAUUUAGACCGUGGAGGCAUUAAGGGAAUAGCCUCCAAUUUCCCCGUCUGGUCACAGGUGUGCAGCUCUAUCCUCAUUAUCUUGUUCUUUUCUUGAUCCUGGCCAGACUCUAGCAUUUCAACAUCUUCAUUCCACUCACUGGUUUUCCUUUUUCCCCCUUGCGUUUUAACCACAGAUAUGUUAUUUAUACUGCCCAAUGGUACUCUUGUCCUUCUUGUGAACUUUCUUUGUUUUGGUUCAUAUCCCCCUUGCUCCCGUGCUCCUGUCUCUCCAUGUUUUCCUUAUUUCCUACGUUCUCCAUCAUUUCCUGAACUCCUACAUUUUCCUUCCUUCUCUCUUGAAGUGCUGUUACCUCCCAGACUUUCUCCUUAUUUCUUUCCAUACCUUUCCCUUCAUGUUGCCCCUGUGGUUCUGGAACUAUUUUAAAUUUAUCCCCUAUCCCUUCCUGUUUUUCACUUUCCGUUUUGGUGUCCAUUUGGCCCUCUUUAUAUACCUCCUUCCCUUUCUUAUCCUGUACCUUUGUAUCUGCCUUUCGUACUCCACAGGUAUUAUCAAGCUCAGGUUUUCCUCUACCUAAUGUUGGUAUAACAGCAACUUGAUUCCCUUCCUUGCUAUUUUCCUCAAAGUCAUUAUUUCUUUCCUUUGCUCUUGUCUCCUUAUUCCCUCGGAUUAGUUGUGUUCCAUUCCCCUGUUUUUCCUCCCUCGUCUCCAUUGUCCUGGUCCUCAGAGGUGAAGCCAUGAUAUUCCCAGCCUUCAUCCACGCUCCAAAUUGGUCUUCUCUUAAGUUGUACUGAUUUAGUCCUUCAUUGUUACAUUUCUUAUCACCGUGACCAAUAAUUCCACACCUGUAGCAAAAUUCCGAACACUUUUCAUACUUAAAUUCAACCCAUUGCUGUACUCCAUUCAACUUGACCCUUGUUCCUCUUGCCAAUGGUUUUGCUAUGUCCAUUUCAGCCAAAAUCUUCAUGUGUCUUCCUGCCUUUCCCCCACUGGAAGGGAUAAUGACUUCCCUUACAGAUUUGAAGAUGUCUCCGAUCUUAAAACCCACAGCCUUACUCAUCCAGUGGAUCGGCAAAUUCCAGAUUUGGACCCACAGGUAUGCACUAUUAAACACCUCCAUCUUCCUCUCUAUCCCAGCCUCCCAUUUCUUGAUAACCAGUAGUUGGUUGUUUAUGACCCAUGGACCGCCAUAAAGAGCUUUUUCCAUUUCUUGUUUUAGAUUCAAAAUGGAACUGAAAAAGAUUGGCUUUGAGUUCAGUGACCUUCAAGUUUCUUGGAUAGCCCCACACAUGAGCUGUGAAGUUCUUAAUCCCAGUGAAAUUUGUAACCUUUUCCCCAAUAACUUUUCCCAUCAGACUUAAUUGGCAUUCCUCCACGCUUUGUUGGAUAUCCUCGAAGCUCAGAUCGACUCCUUCCUCUUCCUCUGGAUUCAGGUCAAAUCUUUUGAAGGCAAAAGUGAGAUCGUCCGCCAUUGUUGAGUUCUUUUAGGUGUCCCCACACCAACUUCCAGCAAUGUCUGAAAAUGAAGUCCAACCUGUGGACUACACAGUCAAAGCCAUAGAUUUUUAGUUAAACUAGAGAUAAAGUAAGAAGGAAAGAGAAAAGAAACGGUAACUAAAGAGUGUGAUGAGAAACCUAGUACCAGAGAAAAGGCCUAAUAGAGUACUAUCAUAACAACCCUAGAGAAACAAGGUAGAAUAUUAUUAAUGCUAUCAAACCAUAAAUGCCUAAGCUUGCUGUCCAGCCAAGUGAGUUUUGGAGUUGCCUUGUAAGUGAUUCUCCUUUAAUGCCGCUUAAAAGUUUCCUCGCCAGGCUUCCGACACUACCUUCGUGUUCAGGGAUAAUUUAACGUCAAGUGCUGAACUAAUCUGUGAUUCCUCUUUACUAUGGUGCCUCUCAAUUGGAUCGAUGAAGGUGUGAGAAUUGGUGAAGCGGCUUUGGCGCAGUUUGGAGGUUGGUGCAGUUUUUGAAAAUUUAAAAACUCCUACCUUGAGGAGAGAAAGCUCUCUGUUCUAGAGAGAGAAGCUCCCACAAAGAGAGAAUUCCUCACUCACCUUCAUGAUUGAUUUAAAUUCGUAACCUCUCAAUUAAAGGUGAAGUAACUUACCAGUUAGGCCAUGCUUCAUUGUCAGAAACAAGAUUUGAAUGGUCAAAAAUAAUAGGGAAAUAUCUUUAAAGAGCGUGAUUUGGGCGUGGUAAUUGAGGUAAGUUUCAAUAAUGGUGAGAUAAUUUUCAAUUGUAAUUCAUCAAAAUAUAAAAAAAUCUGACCAAUAAGGUGACAGAGAAUCAUUCAAGAGUCUCAUACCAAAAAAAAAAAGUUUUAAAAAAAUAGUCUCAUACAAAGAUAAACUCAAUUUCAUUUAAUAUUUGUUCCAAAUUGUAGGCCUAUUUCCUUUUUAAAAGAGUAGUUAUCUUGAUAGUUUACUAAUAUGCCUACAUUUACUAUGCAAUAUUAUCAGCAAAAUAUACUACUCCAUUAGUUAAUUAUUCUAGUUAGGAGGAAUAACAACACCACCAAAAAAUAUAGAGCUGGAUUGUUUGGUAUCUUAAGAGAUGAAACUGAAGCUAUGGUGCUGGAUUGGAUUAGAAGAGUCAAUUUGAUCAAGUGCAUUGCCCAUGCAUUGUCCUACGUAGAGAUUCUUUUAAGAAUUGGACCGGUAAAAAUUCACUUCUUCAUGGUGGACCGAAGUGUCAAAGUGCUAAGGAGUUUGGCUAGUGUUGGACCAAGUGCGCCAUGGGUUUGGCAGGGGGUCCAGUGGAUCAGAUGCAUCAUGGGUUUGACAGGAGGUCCGGUCGGUUAGACCAAGAAGUCAAAGAUUGGCAGGGUCCGGAAUGUAAUUUGGGUGUUGAAGAAGAGUGGGUCCAUAUUUGAAAGAAGAGGUGACAUUAAGUAAUAAGGUGGGCUUGCGUUGAGAAUUAGAGUAGACUCGAAGAAGGGCUUGUAAAUUUGGAUUUAAUACGGAAGUUACUCAUGAAGAGGGAGAUUUGUAGGUUCAUAAGUAAAAGGUUAUAUUCCACAUUAGUUCGAAAGAUAGAGACAGAGCGGUUAAUAUAUAAGUAAGGGUUCGAGAUCUAGUGGCUUAAGUUUUUUGGUCAGAAUUAGGUUCUUGACUUAUAUAUUGACCUCUUUGGUGGACUGUUUCGAGGAGUUUCCCCCUUUCAGCAUACACCACGGUGGUCACUGAAAAUUCUGAUGUGUUUAGCUUUGGCGUCGUGAUGCCAGAAACGUUGAUUGGAGAGCAUCUGCGAGAAUUCCUUUCCUCCUCAUCAUCACAACCCAAUGAACCAAUAAUGCUGAAGGAUCUCCUGGAUGCCCGUCUGCCCCUUCCUACCAACUGCUUGGCCGUUCAUGAUAUGGUUCUGGCAAUAACUUUGGCCCUUGCUUGCAUAUAUUCAAACCCAGACAUUCGACCAACAAUGCGACAUCUCAUACAGCAAUUUUUGGUGGGCAAGCGAGGAUCAACCAGGCCAUUGCUUAGCAAGUCAGCAUCACUGUGAAUCAGCUAUUAAAUCAAGAAUUUUUUUUUCUUGAGUAGGAGAUUGUAAGAAAUCUACUUGAUACAAUAAUUUGUUUGGAGGGAUAGAAGAUAAUAAAAGUCAGGUAUGCGACAAAUCUGCACAAAUGGAAAAUUGCGGUCGUUACAUCUCACAACUUGCUUAUACACAAUCUAUGACCACCAUUUUGAUAUCUUUUGGUAGUUAACUGUAAUGAACCUUGUACAAAGAUGGAUUAUGUAGUUCAUUGCCAAUGAAUGGCAAGAACGAAAAAAAUUAUAGGAAAAAAACCCAAGAAACAGAGAGAUUUAGAUUUCAAUAGGAAGUUAAGCUUCCUUCCAUUUGUGGAGUUCAAGAUUUGAAGAAAUGGUUAGGUUAAAAAUGUUCUUUUGUAAGGCUUAAAUACAUAUUGCCUAUUGUAAUUAGAGAUACUUUCAAUUCUCUCUGUGUUACCCCAUGAAAUGCAAUUUCUGUUUGUUUUUUAACUGACUUAAAGUGACUGAUGAACAAAUUUGUCCUUAUUUUUGGAGGGAGGCAACCACCCCAUUUUAAGUAAUUGCAAGUACUUAAUUGUAUAUAUGAAUAAAACAGCCUAUUGUUAUUCUUUUUUCAACCCAAAAGCAACUCCUCCAAAGAGUUUAGCUGCUUUAAAAUUAAUCCAAGAAAAGUACAUUAAUCCCAAAACAUUUUACACCCAAGACAAAGCAAGAGAAGCAAAUAAGUAAUAUUUCUGUCAUUAGGAAAUAAGAUACCAUAUAACAUCUCCUAACAUUAGAAGAUACACAUUAGUUCCAUUACCAAGUAAAAGAUAGCAGUCAUUGCAGAUUGAACCACAAGCUAGGAGUUAAGCAAACAUCUCACUGAAUUGCUUAGCAUAAUAAAACCAAUUCUACGCAGGCAAAAAAAAAAAAUUCAGUCCUAGCUGAACAAAAGAUAACUACUUCAGAUUUGAGAAGUUUUAAAUGGCAACCCAAAGCUACUAUUGACAUCUACCAAUUUGCAGCAGUAUCCAUUUGUGAUUAUGAAUUACCAAAGAAAAGAGUUUUCUUUUUGUGUCGAUCUUUAUGUUCCUUUUAUAUUUUCUCUUUACCUUCUUUCUUAUUUAUUUUAAUGGUCACAUGAUAUGACAAUUUCCCUCAAAUGGGAAGGUAGAUUUAGUAAACUAAUUUAUCUAUCGGUGCCAAAAUGUUAAAAUUGUCAAAAACUAAAAUAUUUUAGUGGUGUAAUUGUCUUUACAUAACAGACAAAGAUAGAAUUUGUUGUAUGCCAAACAGGAAUUGCACUUCGGGAUUAUUUUAUGUCUAUUUCGUGGAUACGGGAGACGAAUUAAAACCAAUCACUAAUUAUGGAAGGGCAAGAUAUAUUUAAGCCUUUUUGUAAUGUCAUUUUUUCCUAUCAAACAACAUAUACGUGCCACCAAAUUUUCUACCCUCGUCACGAGACUCUCAAACAAUGCCAAAGAAAGUUCUGAUACUUUCUCUUUAUUCUUUAUUCUUUUACUGUUAAUCACAUUUAUAAGAUCUUUCAUUAGAUUUAGCAUAAAACUAAAGAGGACACUAUAUAAUUCAAAUUUAGGAUUAUAAUGAUAAUUAAUACGUGUAGGGUUAUAUAAUUGAAGUGAAAAAUAAUUACUCAAAAUAUUUAUGUGGGAAAAAAGAAGAUAAAUAAUUCACACUGUUAUUGAAAUCUCAAAUAAUAGAAGAAAGUUAUAUCAUAAUAAAACAUUACAGACGCUGUUAUACUCUUUUAAAAAAUACCUCAACUAAUGCCCUAUUUUAUAACCAAUCAGACUUAUAAAAUAAGAAAUUACUAUGUCAAGAAAUUAUCAAGUAAAACACAAAUUAUUAAAUAGGAAAACUACUAAAAACCCAUAAAACACAUGGCUACGAACCAUGGUGUCGAGGUUCAAAUCCCUUCUCGCUCACAACCAGCCCAAGAAAGAAGGGUAGAUAAUGGUGGGGAUAGCGAACUAAAAGUUAUGGAACUUGGAUGUCGAUCUUUAGUUGAAAUGGAAUGGUUUUUUUUUUUUUUUUUUUUUUUGGUGAACGGUGGAAUCCUUAACCUAUUUUUUUUUCUUAACCUAUUUUUUUUUUUUUUGUUUUACGCUCCGUUAAUCUUCCUCAGCCAGGUUUGGCUUGGGCAGAAUAGCAGAGCAAGCACUCGUGACAGAAUGUACAAGUAGUAGUAGCAGAAUGAAAAAGCCUUCACUGUUAAAUAACUAAACAGAAAUGGUUAAGCUUAGUUUAUUAUGCCAACAGUCGCCAAUCAGAUUCGAAAGCCAUUUGAGGAUGAUGUAGAAUGUUCUUUAAUCAAAAGAAGGUUAUCAUAAUUUCCUUUUAAUUGUACAACUUUUCUUGAAAUUUUCGUAAAGGUAGAUAAUAUUCGCGCUCCAAAAUUUCCCUCAGGCUCUCCAAUCUUCAGUGAAAUGACCAUCGUGUCUCUCAUGUCUUUUCCCUCUUUUUUGUUGCUAUUGACAUAGAUCGGAUACCACCUAAAGAAGACAAGCAAACCUCUGGCUUCUCCAGCGUUCCCACCUUUAAAUCAACUUUCUGACCAGCUAACUUCUGGCGACUCCAGGGCUACCACCUUGAAAUCAACUUUAUUUUUUUCUCUUAAAUGUAGAAAGUUUCUGCUUAUAACCUUAGAUCACGAAGAAGGACAAUAAGUUCCCGCAGUUGCUAUGAUGAUCUGUAGACUCUAGUUUUCUUUGACAAGGGAAGCCAGUCGACAAGGUUUUAGAAGGGAGAAAGGUGGCCGAGUUCUUUUUCUUGUCGAGGGACAAAGAAAUUUCUGGUUGAUAUCUCCAGCAUAGCUCAUUUUGCGUUGAAAAUUCAAGUGCUCUUUAAUUUGAAUAAUUUGAUUUUUUUACCAGUUGUAUAUCAUAAUUCGAAGUCUUCCUUCUCAGAUUUGCGAAGAAUAUGCAAAACAAUUGAGUCUUCAGAACAUGCAUGUGGUGGAUAUUAACGUGGAGAGAAAUCAAGUGAAGCUUUAAUUGAAGUUCUUCAUAGGCAUUUUGGUGGCAUUGUACCAUGUCUUUACUUGGUACAUUGGUGGGAAACAUGAUAGAAUUACAGUUUGCGAAGGAUUUUCGAGAAGAUGACGACUCAUGUGCGCGGCCGCUGGUGGUGGUUGGUUCUGGAACAAAAAGAGGACGGCGGCUGAUUUGAACGGGGCUCUGGAACAAAAGGAGGAUGACCAUUUGGAGGGACAGAAUAGUCAGUUAACAGUACAAAGGAGACAAGAAUCUGAUCAACAACAAUUUUAACCAAUUAAUUUAUCAAGGAACUAAGAUCCACAAACUUCAGAUCUUUCGUUCUAAGAACUAGGGAUGCAAGCGAUUCGAGCUAGAUGCGAGCAGCUUAGUCAAAGACUCGAUUUGAGCUCAGUCGAAGACAAGCUCGAGUAGCUUUUGCGAGUCGAUCUCAAGUCUCCAUUUUCCAGGCUCGUCAAACUAUUCGAGUAUUAUAUAAUAUAUAUAUAUAUAUAUAUAUAUUAUUUACCACAAAUACCUCCUGACUUAUAAUUGAGCUCAAUAAGCUCGCUUGUAACUUGAGUCCAAUUGAUUCGAGUACGAGUUUAACUGGCUCUUUCACGAGUCAAGUUCGAGCCAUGGUAUUUUCACUUGAUCGAGCUCGAGUCCGAGUAGCACACAUAUCUAUCGAGUUCAAACUCAAAUAUGGUGUUACUCGAGCUCGACUCGACUCGACUUUAAUACACUCCUGGUACGGGCCUGCGCCUUGAUGUUUUCUGUUUCUAGUAGCACCAAGGCCCUGAUGUAUUGUAAAGCUUAUAUAUAGCGUCCAUGAGAAAUUUACAAUUUUGUGAUGAAUUUUAAAAAAAUUCUACAAAAAGGAUGAUUUUGAUGAGGCAUUCCGUAAGGGGAUCUUCGCAUUUGGCGAAUGCGAGCUCAGCUCUAUUGAGCUCGCAUUCGUGAAAUGCGAGGUCUACUUAUUGAGCUCAGCUCUGUAGAGCUCGCAUUCCGCGAAUGCGAGCUCUACUUAUUGAGCUCUCCACUGCACCUCUCUGUUGCAUCUGCUGCUACUGCCGCAACUAUGCUGCCUUUAUGGCUGGGGGUCCAUAAACUAAAGAAGCGGUCCUUGGUUUCUUUUUUUUUUUUCUCUCUUUUGUCGUGGCUGGGGGUCUUCUCCUCUUGUUAAUAAUAUAAUAUGACUUUUAAUGUCGAGUGGUAAAAGGAAAAGGGCUCAAAGGCUCUCAAGAGUUGCAAGUAGUAAUCCUGCUAAGGAUGAUGGCCCAACUAAAAGGUGAAAACCAAAUGGUUAUGGUUAUCAUGGUUAUUGUAAUAGUAGUAGGAGUAAGUACUAUAAAAAAUAAAAUAAAAUUAUGGAUUAUUUUUGUUUGUUUUUUGGUGUAAGCUUUAUAAGAGUUGGUGACUGAAGAACACAACAGUAGCGUGGCUGGAUCAUGAGAAGAUUGUACGGGUUUUUGAAAUGUUACUGCUGCCUGCCUCCUCUCUGCCCUCUCUUCUUGCUUUUACUUUUCUUCUCUGUCUCUGUUACUUUACCUGUACCAUACCUCCCCCCGCUAUUACUAUUCCUACUACAGUAUUUCCUAUUGACCUUUGUUGGUAUACAGUGAGCUCGCAUUCCGCGAAUGCGCGAAUGCGAGCUCACUGACCUCGCAUUCGCGGAAUGCGAGCUCGGUGAGCUGGCACUGAGCUCGCAUUCCAGGAAUGCGAGAUCAGUGAGCUCGCAUUUCCGGAAUGCGAAGACCCCAUUUGUAUAGAACAACCUCCAAAAAUCGUCCCAGUUGUAGAAUGAUUUUUUUUUUCAUCAUAAACUAAGAAUUCACCCUAGCGUCCAUGAGGUUUUGAAUCUUAUGGCUUGUAAAGCUUGUAGUAUCCAUAAGCUUGUAGCAUCGCCACGGUUUGUAGUUAUCCAUCAGGCGAUUGUACUCUACUAAGCAAUAUUUCUGUCCCAGAUGCAAAUUGAGUCAUUGACUCGGAUUUAAGUCUCUGAAGUCUGAGGACCAACACGCUUAACGACGUCUAAGAAAGGUUGCACAACAACUUCUAUUCUAGUGAAGACAGAUCUUUACUCUCAAAAGUGAAAUCAAAUCAAGACCAGAAAGAACACAUUAUCAAGUCAUUUCAUAUAUCAUGUGGUCUUGUAUAGUAACAUCGAUGGAUGUUGUAUGUAGCAUGGUUGUUCUUCUCCCGAUACCAGCUACUGCGCGAGCAACGGAAGCAGCAACAAAGUCUUUGUGGUUUACUCAUUUAAUUGGUGGAUUACUAUUUCUAAUCCUCUGCAGGUCCAAGGUCAUGAUAAAUUUAAAACUUGAAUAGUACUAUAUCUUAUGCGUUACUAAUUAUUGUAACAUUGAUUUUGGCUUUCAAAAUUUGACCAAACAAUUUUCAUUUUGGGGAAAACUAAUCACAUAUAAGAUCAUGAUCAUAUGUAGACCUAUGCUAUGCACAAGAGAAACAAAUAACCGUGUAAUUCACUUUUCAAAAUUGGUGUCCAAAAAAGAAUUAUUGACAAAAUAUCAAGAUUGUGCUGGUCUACACAUUUAAUUUCGUGUUGCACAUUUUAAUCAAUUACACUAAUAAACAUUUAACUGUGCGCUUGUUAGUGAGUUAAAUGCCUAUGACCAGAUAGACCUAGUUAGGUAUGUCUGGACUAAAUCUAUAGAAAUGCAAACGAAGAAUCAUUACAGUUUAAACUCAUAUGUCUUAGCGUUCACAUGUCACGAAUUUGAUUGCCCAUAGAAGGCAAAAGAGAUUAAAAAAAAAAGAGUAUUGAAUUACUGGCAGCGAAAUGUACUUUUUAAGACCGAAACAUUACUAAUUUGCUCCCUUUCUCGCUAGUCUCAAACAACAAAAACGAAAGUUCUUGGAUUUUUAAAAUGCGCAUAUCACAUUGCUUUUAACAAUCCGUGUGAAUGAUGCAGAUUGGAAAGAUACUACUGGCUUGACUCCAUUUUAAAUGCGAGUUUUUCAGUCCAGACUACAUAAUCAGGGCGGGCGCUUACAUUUCAUCUAUCUUGUGUUAAUUACGGUCUUUCAUGGUACUAGCAUCGAUGGAUGUUGUAUGCAGCGGAUUUGUUCUUCUCAUGAUACUGGCUAUUGCACCAGUAGCGGCAGCAGCAGCAAAGGAGUCUGCUGUGAAUUUAUUGGAAGCUGAAGCACUGCUCAAGAGUGGCUGGUGGCGAGACGAUACUGCUGCAAGAAACGUCUCUGCCCACUGCCAGUGGCGUGGUAUCAUUUGCAACGAUGCUGGUAGUGUUACCGACAUACUACUUCCAAACUACGGAAUUCUGGAUGGCUUGACAAAUUUCAGCUUCUCUUCUUUUCGGAACCUGGUUAGACUAGAUCUCAGUGGAAAUAACUUUUACGAAGCUAUCCCAUAUCAAACAGGUGCACUCUCCAAACUCACCUAUCUCAAUUUGUCUUUAAACGAUCUUCAUGGCCAGCUCCCUUCUUCUCUAGUAAACCUUACACACCUAGCACAACUUGAUGUUUCUUGGAACUGGAUUGGAGGUUUAAUUCCUCCAGGUAUCGGAAACUUGACAGAUUUGGUUACUCUAGAUUUGAGCCAGAAUUGCUUUUGGGGCCGCAUCCCACCAACUCUUGGCCACUUGUCCAAUCUGGCCUCCAUUAACCUCAGCAAUAACUACUUCAGUGGGACAAUUCCUUCAGCUCUUUUUAAUUUGACAAAUCUUUCCCGGCUAGACAUUCACUUCAAUCCUGCAAUGGGAGGAUUUCUCUCAGAAGAAAUAGGAAAUUUGAAGAGUUUAGUUGAAUUAGACUUCAGUGGCCUUAAUCUUUCAGGAGCCCUCCCUUUAACUCUUUGCCGCCUAACCAAACUAGUAUCUCUUUCAGGUGCUGAGAAUCAAAUUCAUGGUUCCAUUCCCUCUGAAAUAGGAAAUUUGAAAAUUUUGGAACAUCUUGUCCUUGGGUCCAACCGGCUGACUGGUCAAAUCCCUCCGACCCUUCGCAAUCUGACUACUCUAGUUACUUUGAACCUCUCUUCUAACCAAAUAAGUGGUUCCAUACCUCUUCAACUUUCCGGUAUACCUUCUCUAACAUUUCUAGAUCUUUCCUAUAAUGCUUUGGAAGGUGAACUUCCGUGUGAGCUUGUCACUAAGUUUGGUUCAGAAAAUUUUGUCGGCAAUCCAGACUUGCAUCACGAUUCCACUCUUUGUGGCGAUCACAGACAUCACCCCCCAUACUACAUCAUAGGUCUUGGCGUGUCCUUCUUGGUGUUCUCAUUAAUUGGCGGAUUAGUGCUUUAUAUCUUCUGCAAAACCAAAGUCAAGAAAGUGGAACUUGAGCUGAUGGACAAUAAACACGGAGACAUUUUCAGAAUAUGGAACUAUGAUGGACAUAUGGCUUAUGAAGACAUAAUUAAAGCAACAAACGAUUUUGAUGUCUGUUAUUGCAUCGGGACAGGGGGUUAUGGCUCUGUAUACAGAGCUCGGUUGCCAAGUGGGAAAGUAGUGGCUUUGAAAAAGCUUCACCGUUUGGAAGGCGAGAAUCCAAAUUUUGACAAGAGCUUUAGGAAUGAAGCCGACAUGCUAUCUAAAAUCAGGCACAGGAACAUUGUAAAGCUCUUCGGAUUCUGCCUGCACAAGCGAUGCAUGUUUCUGAUUUAUGAGUAUAUGGACAGAGGAAGCUUGUUUUGUAUCUUGAGAGAUGAAACUGAAGCUGUGGAACUGGAUUGGAUUAAAAGAGUGAAUUUGAUCAAGGGCAUUGCCGGUGCAUUGUCCUACUUGCAUCACGAUUGUGAUCCGCCAAUCAUUCACAGGGAUGUAUCAAGCAACAACAUUCUUUUGAAUUCACAGCUCGAAGCAACUCUUUCUGACUUUGGAACUGCGAGGAUUUUGGAACUUGAUUCAUCAAAUCAAACGGUCACUGCAGGCACCUUUGGUUACAUGGCACCAGGUAGGUUACCUUGCUAUCCCAGAUCCCUUUCUGCUUUUCACCUUGUUUUUCAUAUUUUCUUGAUGCACAUUUUAGGCUUAACUUUCAAGAACAGAAAAGAAAAAAAAAUUCUUCCAACUGAAACGAUUAUUAUUAUUAUUUUUGGAAUAGUAAGUCUAGAGUUGUCCCAGUUGAGAUUAACUUUAUCUGUAUCCAAAUAUAUACUUACUUGUCAAUGCAGAGCUAGCCUAUACCAUGGCGGUCACUGAAAAGUCCGAUGUGUAUAGCUUUGGCGUUGUGGUGCUGGAAACGCUGUUUGGAGAGCAUCCACGAGAAUUCCUUUCGUUCAUAGCAUCACAACCCAAUGAACCAAUAAUGUUGAAGGAUCUUCUUGAUGCCCGUCUGCCCCCUCCGACUAACCAUUUGGUCGUUCGAAAUGUGGCUGUUGCAACAGCGUUAGCCCUGGAUUGCGUCAACACAAACCCGAAAUGUCGACCAACAAUGCAGCAAGUGGGCAGGCGAGAACCAACUAGGCCUUUGCACACCAUUGCUGUGAAUCAGCUUGUUAGUCCACCAGUACUUUCACUGCCUGACCAAACCUGCGCAGAUGGGAGGAGUAGCUCAAGCACCAUAAAUGAAUUCCAUGUGGAUAUCUCUGCGACUCUGCCAUCAUCCAAUUUUUCUAUCCAUGUUUCUACCUAAACAACUUUGAUAUCUGGUAGGAAACAGAAUAAGAUCGUGCUUUGCAAAAAUGGAAACUUGGCCAAGCACUUAGAUUGCUGCUACAUACGGCCAUUUGGUGUGCUAAUGAAAAAAAAAGUGUACUCAUUAAUGAACAAGUAGUUCAAGCACCAUGGAUGACUUUCAUGUGGAUAUCUCUGCCAUAUCCAAUUUUUCUAUCGAUGUGUCUACCUACCUAUAAUAUUUAUACCAAAGGAGAAUUUACCACUUGUCUUUAUUUAUGUAGGUGAAUUCUAGGCAGAGCAACACUUACCAAUCUAACAAUUUGCAAUUCCAAGUCUAGAUUUAAAGAAAUAUUAGUUUAAGGAUUCAAAUAUACAAAACUCAUGCCAAAAAUGAUAGGAUCAGGUCAAUCCAAAGCUGUAUUUUUAAAAAAAAUAAGUUGCAUAAAUUCAAGCUUGCAUAGCCUAUAGGGAUAAUUUCAAAAACCUCCCUUGAAAUUUUUGACAAUUGCAGAGAUCUCCCCUCAAGUUUAUUAAAUUACACCUACCUCCCUUGCUUUUACUAUUUAUGUAACAAUAUAGGCCAAAAGGUGAUAGGUUGUAAUUUUAUCAUUUAUUUUAUAAUUAAUUUUCCCUAUUACCUGACUCUAUGUGAAUUAAUUGUUAGAUUCUACUCACUUUUAGUAUUUUGCAUUUAUUUCAGGGAGUAGAACGAAAAUAUGAUAACAAGUGCCAAUUUAAUAAAAAAAGAGUCCAAAUAAUAAAGCUUAAUCCAGGGGCAUUUUUGGAACAGGGAAACUUAUUCCCAUGUUGGUAAUUGCUACAAAGGCAAGGACGGCGCAGGUUUUCUGGGAGAGCUGGAGCACCACACAGGAGGUCCUCUCCGCAAGGAGGCCGGCGGCACGGUGCAGAGAGGCUACUAAAGACGAAAUAGAAAUUGCAGAGGAAAGGCAAUAGCUUUAGCUUAGUUUUUGAUGUUUUCUUUUCAUGUUUCUUGGUAGGACCCCUCCUGCACAUGUCUGGGCAAUUAGGAAAGCUUUGACUUUUCUUCAGUUGCACUCUUAGUACUUUCUUUUCCUUCUCCGUAUGUCAUCCCAAGUGAAACAGAGAAUCACUUCUUCUAACUUUGCUAUCUCUUUUUGAUUGGAACGGAUUGAAUUCUCAAAAAUCAGUGACAAUGGCCGCAGCUUUCUCUUCAAUUUUAUAUGGGUUUUGUUCAUUAAAUAUGAACUAAUUUCUCCACUCUAGUCAAGAAAUGACAGGAUGCUUUGGGUCGCUUAAAAUUGUGAGAUCGAUUUAAUUUUAUUUUUUUCUUUUAUUUAUUGGUAUUCGCAUAUUCCUUGAUUGUAAUGCUUAUGAUUAUUUAAUUAAUUGAUUGUCUUGGAUCCGGAUAAUUAGUUAAUUUGGUAAUCGAUUGUCAAUUAGGACAUUAAAUCCGUAAUUGCUUAAUUGCCCUAAAAUAGUGACAAUUGGCACGAUUAGAUUCGUAUCAGGGGGAUACGCGGGCUAAUCUGAAAUAACCCUGGUAGUGUGUUAUUUGGUUAGAAUAGGACUCCUCUAAUACGUAAGGCAAUUGGAGAAUUAAAUCUUAUGAGUGUACCUAGAAUUGUUUUUCAAUUAGAACAAUGAUUAACGGGCGUACCUUGAUCACCGACACAGUAAAGAGGGGUUGACUGUCAUCGUUUGUUUGGCAGUUAUAACCUAUUUAUUAGUAAAUAAUUGGAAUUGCUUUUGCAUCGAUGAUCAAUUAGGUGAACUAUUACUAAAGUUAUUUCUUGGCUAGACCUUUAAUUAUUAUCACUCUGAUUUUAGUGAAUUGUCAUUUAAUUUGUAGUUAGCUAUUUAUUUUUAUUUGAAUUUAUUUGAUUGGCACUUUCCACACAAAAACACCCCCUGAUUACUGUGAAUUUGAAAAGAAGCAGCUACACCCAGUCCCUGUAGAUUCGAUCCUGCUUACCACUAUUUACAAAAAUUAACUUUAGUUGAGCAGGUCUUUAUUAUUGCACAGGCUGAUAACCUGUCAAAAGGCUAUAUUUUUUUUUUCAAAAAUCCUAAACUACUCUUUUUGUAUAAAAAUAAAGCAAAAAUUAUUUUGCCAAUUCCUUUCUUUCAUAUUUCAACCGAACCCACUGUACUAACAAACUAACCUAACAAAUAGUCUAAUUCCAAAUUCUAAACUCAAGUAAUUCCAGCAUCAUAGUUAUAAAAUUGCUUCUCCCAAAGCAUGCAUUCCAUUUUGAAGAUUCGUUCCAUUCUUCAAAAAUAUUCUCACCAUAUGGUUACAUGGAACGGUCAAACUCACAAUUAACUGUUCUUAUGUUUGCAUAAUCUUUAAUAUAGGAUGCCAUGGUUUGAUUCCAUAUAAGUAGUUUAACUCCUACUACAUGAGCCACAUUGUGGUCUUGAAGAAAAUCCUUAGGGAAGAUUUAGGUAUGGAUGGGAUUAAUCAAGUUUAAGAAAAGGAAAGGCGUCAUUAUGACUUUAGAGAUCUUCAAAAAAUUCAUUGUGCCAAAAAUCAAAAUUCUAUUGACAAUUAAUUACACCCCAAACUUCAAACCUAAUGCCCACACUUUCUCAAAACAAAAUAAUUUAGCCUACUAUUAUAUCUCCAAACAUGUUAACGUUUUAAAUACAGAGAAGAAACUCUAUCUUCAUAACGAAAACACAACCAACAAUUGUCAAGCAUAAAAAGAAACAGGGUAAAAUACCAAAAACCCCCCUGUGGUUUGCCAAAUGUACAUUUUACCUCCCUAUAGUUUGAAAACCUACAAUUUAACUCUCUGUCGUUUCAACUAAAGUAAAAGUCUGACAGAAAACAUCUAAACUAAUGUCUGAAUGGAAAAUGUCAAAAUUGCCUCUCUAUAAGUCAAUUCCUCGGAAGAAUGUUUCGUGCAUUUGAGAAUGGGUAAAAUACCAAAAAUCCCCUUGUGAUUUGCCAAAUAUACACUUUACCUCCCUAUGGUUUGGAAACACAUAGGGUAUCAUUGGCAAGUGAAAAUAUUAUCGCAACCACAACUCUCAGCAGGGGUGCGUGGCACUCAAAUACCGUUAUUGUAGAUAUUUUCUGUCAGACUUUCACUUUAGUUGAAAUAACAGGGAGUUAAAUUGUACAUUUCCAAACCAUAGAAAGGUAAAGUUUACAUUUGGCAAACCACAGGGGGGUUUUUGGUAUUUUACCCAAAGAAAUAUAAAUGUACUUAUUGACAUCUUAAAACAUUUUUUGGAUGGAUGAUAGACAAAUUAGCAAAUUUAUCAAUUUUAAACGCUCUCCCUCUUUUGACCAAUGAUUGCAUUAUUUAUUCCAUUAUUAUUGUGUGUCUCUUCAUUUCCUUUUAAUUUGACCAAUCUCUUAAAUAAACUUGUGAUUUGACAAUUUCAAAAAGAAGAAAAGAGAAAUAGAAAUAUAUAGUAGGGUGUGAUUGGCUGCAAUUAUAGGUAAUGGUUGGUGGUAAUUUGAGAGCGAAUUAUAGGAAGAAGGGGUUGAUGAAUGAAAACAGAAUGCUAGUAAGCGAGAGAAUCGUCGUUAGCUGUAACUUGUAAACAGGAUAGCCGAAAAGGUUAAGUUUCUUUUUCUUUUUUUUUAAAUCUCAUUUCAUUAUACUAUGAAUUAUUUAUUAAGUGAAGGUCAUUAUAGUCAUAUUAUUGUGACAAGAGAGGUUAGUGUAAUUUGUAAAACUUGAGGGGAGCCAAGUGAAAUUGUCAUAACCUCAAGGGAGGUUUGUGAAAUUAUCCCUAACCUAUAACCUCAUUUAAAAUUUGAACUCUAAAUAUGUAGCAUGCAUUUGCCUUUACUAGUUAAAAGAGAAAAAGGAAUUUCACACGUAAGAAAUUAUUGAAACAUAAAUGGUGCAAACUUUCUUUUUUUAAAAAAAAUUAAUAUAAAUGUGCGAGUUUUUAUCAAUCUCUAGUUUGCCAUAUAAACAUAGAAUGAUUUUCAUAUGAAUUUAUUAUAUCACCUAGUAGUUUUAAUUCACUAAACUCAACCACAGAAAAGAAAAAACAGGAACAUCAAGUUUCGAAAUAUGGAACCUAUAUUCAGCGGGCUACUAUUUUGGUGCUUAUGACCCCAUAAGUCGAUUGCUGCAAUUUUUUACUUCCUCCUAGGAUGGCCCAAAAAAAAAAAAAAAAAAGAGUUUCCCGGUUGCUCAUCAAUUGAGGAAAACGCUGGUGAUUCCCUUUUUUUUUUUUGAGGAAAAAGCUGGUGAUUCCUUAUUGCUUCCUGGAUUUUUAACCUAAAGUGUAUAAUAGCUUGAGAAAACGUUGUACUAUUAAGGGUCCGUUUGUUUCGGGUGAAAAUGUUUUCCAGAAAAAUAUUUUUCUAAUUUUCCGUGUUUGGUUGCACAAAAGUUACUGAAAACAUUUUCCUAUGUAAAAUAUUUUCACUCAUCUUAUGGAAAACAACUUCCCUUCCAAACUUACUGAAGUUGUUUUCCGAAAUGCAUGCAUCCCGCCUGUAGUAUGUUUCAAACUUGUUGAAAACAUCUUGUAGUAUGUUCUUUUUUUUUUUUAGUGUAAACAGGAGGACUCGAAUGCAAGACCUCUUCCUUACACUCCCUCCCCCGUACCACCCAACCCAACCCUCCCCCUAGUAUAUUCAAAAUAAAAAAAAAACUCCACCCUGCUCAUCCUAUGCUAGUAAUUAAUUAUGUAUAAUAGGGACAUUCUUUUCUAGAAAAACUUCCAGCAAUAAGAGUGUAAGAUAUAUGUUACAAUAAGCAUUGCAUGUGAUUGAUAUUUGACACUAAAUGACCAGCAAUUUGUUUAUUGUUUAAAGAGAUAUUUUUUAUUCAUAUAUACAUUUCUCCAAAAUUUUUUAAAGUUAAAUAAUGAGAUAAAUUUUCUUAUUUUAUAUGGGAAGAAGUAUGUAGUUAUAAUGUGUAGAAAGUAAAGAUAGAGAUAAAAGUGAAAAUAUUUCAAAAGUUAAACAAACACCAGAAAAAUGAAGUAAAAAAAUAUUUUCAAUAAGCUAACCAAACACUUGAAAAUGAUGAAAGGGAAAUGAUUUUCAUGAAAAAUUACUUCCACGAAAAAUAUUUUCCCAAGGAAAAUAUUUUACUUCUAACCAAACAGACCCUAAAAGAAAUUCUGGAGCACAUCAAGUACCCCAUAGCAUCCAAGUAAAACAGCGACUUGAUAUGUGCAAGGAGGCAGGGGAGGUGGCUGUUGGGUUGGAGUGGAGUGGACAUUUGCGUUGGGUUAGUGGGCUUAUUAAGUUGUUUACAGAAUGGUUGGUAAAAAAAAAUUAUGGUUGGGUGUGCAGAUGGUUGAUGAUACUGUUAUACCUGGUACGCAUUCAGAAUCUGCUUCUAAGAGUAGAACUGAUAUUUUGAGUAAUCUUGACCUUUCUUCAUAUGUGAACCAAGGAAUGCCUCUGCCUGGGUGUAUUGUUCACCAAGAAACCUAGUCUCAUGUUUCUGGUAGAUUCGAUGAUUAAAAUGGUUCUUGCAAAUAUACUUUUGGAAGAAAUUGGUGGCCACCUUCUGGUUCAUUUGCCGCCAACCAUCCAGUUUGACCUGCUUAUGGAAGAAGUUGGAGGCCAUGAUAAUUGAAUGCAGGAUCUGUAAACUGCUGUAAAUGAAUGCUAGCAAAGUUUUAUCAAUUAAUGUGUAUAUUGCUCCUCAUAGUCGAAAUAGUGAUGCCUCCCUGCUGACAAAUUGACCAUCUUAUAUUAGCUUUUGGAAUUUGGAAAUCUUCUGGUUGCUUGCAAGCUUCUUAACAUACAUUGUAGGAUAUACUAUACUUCUUGUACAUGUAAAAAUUUUCAGGAGGUGCAAAAAAAGACACUUGGUUUAUAAUUCUAUUUUACAACAAAAAAAUGCAAAAAUAAAUAAACAAUUAUUAUGUAGUUAGCUAAUUUGGCUUUUCUUUUCUUAGCUAACCAUAUGUUCCAAAGCAAACAUUCUGGUAUAAAAAGCUAUACGUGCAAGUAUUGUGCAUGAAUGGAAAUAUAGAAAUAUAUUAGUAGAAGGCUAAUAGAAAGUUAAGUUAUGCUAUAGAUGUUAUGCACUUAUUAGGUUAGAUCCCAUCUCCCUUUAAUUUUUUUAGUAUUAGAAAAUGAUAAACAGUAUUAGCAGAUGUAGUUUUGUAAGUUCCAUAGAAAACCUUAGGGCUUCACACUGUUAUAAUUUUGUUAAAUUUUUGGACAAUUUUGCCCUCCCUUUACUCCCAUGACGGUGAAGUUGCUAAGCCUUAGUUACAAUUUUUCUUCCUAUCCAUCCCUUCACCCAUGAUCCGAUAUCACUACUCCAAAACCCAAACAUCCAAUACCAAUGCGAAUGCUUCACUCAUACUUUUGCUUCCUCAUUUCUGGCUUGAGAUUAGAUGAUCAAGCUAUACACAGUACACACCAAUUCUUAAAGAGGUUGGUACUCGAAGAAAUUCCGGAGAAGUUGAGAAGCAGAAACCAACCAUGAUAGUAAAGUGGGCAAGGGAAAGCCAUGCACACAUGCCCAUUGAUUGUCGACAAACCCUUAGUCAUCAUUUGGUUUUUGAUUAGACAAAUAUGAACUCAGCAUUUGUUUCAUGUAAUGAUAGCCAUAAAGGAAUCUUGAAGGCUAGAAAGAUUUCUCGUGACUCUCUCAAAAGAAAGAAAGUUCUGAUGCUUCUUUUCUUUUUUGUCGUAACUUAGGUCAUUCUUUCUUUUAGUCUCCUAAACUGACAAGCUAAUUGUCUCCCAUUUCACGGUUCUCAAACAACAGUGACAGGGUGUCGAAACCUGUGCAAUAAUAAAAACCUACUCAAAUUAAAAGUAAUUUUUGUAGAUAGUGGUAAGCAGGGUCGAAUCCACAGGGACUGGGAGUAAUUGUUUCUUUUCAAAUUCACAGUGAUAAGGGGGUGUUUUUAUGCAGAAGGCGACAAUCAAAGUAAAUCAAAUAAAAUCUAAGAAGCUACUAGAAAUUAAAUAACAAAUUACUAAAAUCAAAUGAGUGAUAAUUAAGGAUCUAACCAAGGAAUAACUUCAGCAAUGGUUCACCUAAUUGAUCAUCGAAGCAAGGGCAAUUCCAAUUAUUCAUCAAUAAAUAGGUUAUAACUACCAAACAAGCGAUGGCAGUCAACUCCUCCUUACUAUGUCGGUGAUCAAGGUACGCCCGUUAAUCACUGCUCUAAUUGAGAAAUAAUCCUAGGUACGCCCGUAAGAUUUAAUUCCCCAACUGCCUUACGUACGAGAGGAGCACUAUUCUAACCAAAUAACGCACUACCAGGGUUAUUUCAGAUUAGCCCGCGUAUCCCCCUAACACGAAUCUAAUCAUAUCAGUUGUCACUAUUUCAGGGCAAUUAAACAAUUACGGAUUUAAUACCUCAAUUGACAAUAGAUUAUUAAAUUAACUAAUUAUCCGGAUCCAAGACAAUCAAUUAAUUAAACAACCAUAAGCACUGCAACCAGGGAAUAUGCAAAUACCAAUAAAUAAAAGAAAAAGAUAAAAUUAAAUCGAUCUCACAAUUUUUAGGUGACCCAAAACAUCCGUUGUUUCUUGACUAGAAAAAGGGAUUUAGUUCAUCCCUAAUGAGGAACACUCACACGAAGCGGAAGGAACAAUUGCAGCCUUUGUCAUUGACCGGGAAAACUCAAUUCGCUUCAAUAAGGAAAAAGAAAGAACAAAGCUACAGCGAAUGAUUCAUGGUUUCUCAUGGUCUCUGACAUACGAGAAGAAAAUCACUAAGGAACGGAAAAAAUGGAAAAAGUCUAAGUGAAAACCUAAUCUAGAGCUACGAGACAAAAGUCAAAAGCUAAAAAACAAGGUAGUGCUCAAUGUCAGCCAUAUAUCAAUCGUUCCUAUUCUAAUUGCUACUGUGCGGCGUCCGCCGCCCAGCCGAGAGCGGAAAAAGAAGACUUCAGCCUCCCCUUUUUAAUGUUGUCUUCGGGCCAAUUACCAAGAAGGGUCGCGGUUUGAUAUUUCAAAAAUGUCCCUAGAUGCCUGCUACUUGAAUUCUUUUUUGAUAACUGCCAAAUUGACAUUUGUUAUGGUAUUUUCGUUCUACUCGCUGAAAUAAAUACAAAUUGUCAAAAGUGAGUAAAAUCUAACAAUUAAUCCACAUCGGAUCAGGUAAUAGGGAAAAUUAAUUAUAAAAUAAAUGAUAAAAUUGCAACCUAUCAAUUUCCCCCACACCUAAACCAUGCUUGUUUUCAAGCAUGAUAACAGCAAACAAACCGAAUGUUUGACAAAGACUAUUGCCCUACCUACCAUAUUGCCAAGACACCAAGAAAAACAUAUAUCAAGCAUCAAUGGUCAAGUCCAAGAAACAUCACUGCGGUUAGCUUCUAAACCACAAACUCCUCUAAUUUCAGGUUAACUAAUCUAAGAAAAAGGAAUGACGCACAACAUUUAUCAGCAAAUGGUCCAACUAUUAACAAAAAUCUCAAUAUUAAAUUCAUAAAUCGGCAAGCUGACUUUUAUUAUACACUAACACAACUUUCAACUUUUUUUUCACGUUUUUCUAUUUUUCUUUUUUUUUCCUUUUCUCAAUAGUAACAAAAGACUUAGUCGCUAGCAAUUGGAGCCUUUUGAUGUGAACUCCAACAUUUUUAGAUGAAGGAGCCCGGUUACUCAGCUCUUAUCGUUAUACGACCACGUACUCAUAGAAAGUACUACCUUUUUACGCGAGAAUCAACACUUUUAGGUGCAGAUCCCUGGUUACUCAAUAGUAACUAAUAGCGGAGUACAUUCAAGUUUAUUUAUAGCUAGAAAUAAAAAACUCAAUAUAACACAAGAACCAAAAGAAAGCUUGCAUCAGCUAGCCUCAUUUCAAACAUGGAGAACUAAAGUUAAUAAUCGGACCACUUCACAUGAAAAAGCCAACAAUCAUUCCCUAUACCUAGGAAAGUUAACCAAAAAUUAGAAAAGUUAAUCAAUUACUGAUAUUCACCAGAGGGAUAUUUCUGAACUCAACCACAUUAACUUGAUACCCUUUUAUUACUAAAACUCGGCAAUAGCAGAAAUAGAGGCAAUAAUCCAACAUCAAACUUUGGUAUCACUUAUGAGCUAAUCACUAAAAAGGAAGAAAGAAAUUGAACGAGAGGUGGACAAAUAGCAAAUUAAAAAAAAGAAAGCAAAAACAUCUAAAAAAAACUAAAAAGUAGAAAAACUAGCACAACUGCCCCCCCACACCUAGAUCCUACAUUGUCCUCAAUGGAGGAAAUAAAGCAAUUAUAGUGAAAAGGACAACGAAACUUCCCUCUCAAGUGGCUACGGGAUAGGCGGGGACGAUGGAGGGAAACCGAUGUGGUGGAAAUACGCGCCCAAGUUCUGAGUCAUCAUAACUCAAUUCAACCAGUAAAUGCAAAACUCUGUCCACCCAAAAUCUCAACAAAGCCUCCAAAUAGACAGUUAAUUUCUCAACUCAAAAGCAACAAUUCCAAUAAUAGCAGUAUAGAAAUUGGAGAAUAACCACACAAUCACAAUCAGGUAGCCAACCAAUUGGAAAUAACAAAUGCUAGUCAAAAUACCCCAACCAGUACCACUGGUGCAAAUCACAGUCCAAAAUGAGAGAAAUUGCUAUAGCAGAACAAAGCAGUAGUAAAUCGACAGCCCCAAGUAUUAACCCAAUCGUAAGAUAGAGAAUGCGCCAGCAACCAAGCAAUAUCAGGGCAGGGCAAUAGUCAUCUAUGUCUCCCAAUUCAUCAGGCAACAACGGCUCCCAAAUUUACAGGUAAAAGUAGACAAAGGUCAACCAGAAUCCCAACAAAUGGUCCCAAUUUGACAAUUAACCGCACACUGUUAACCAACCCAAAAGAAGCAUCAAAUUGAAGUGAAAACAAUCCAACCAGUACCACUGGCGAAAAAUGGAAUGCACAACCCAAUCAAACAGCCCCAAGAAAGAACAAUGCAAUCAAUAAUAACUCAUAAAUUCGACAGUAGCAGAGUAAUUCCAAGUGCCCAGCCUCCAACAGUCAACCAAAAGAGUAGAAGUGACCCAGUGAAGCCAAAAUGCCCAAACAGUGGAUGAAACAAGUUCAACGGCUAACCCACACUAGUGAGACCCCCCAAAUAAUGUAACUCAAUUCGGACAACAAGCAACGUAUCCACAGGAUUCUCAGUCAAAUCUAAUAAUGAACCCCAGCAUUUCAACUAGAUGCACUGAACUGGAAUAAGCGAUGUAAAUGGUAUAGAAGCCUCCCAAUUUAACAAACAAGUGCAAUAUUUCAACUCACCCAAAUUCUCAACAAAUGGCUCCAGUUGGCCAGUUAAAGUUUUAACUCAAAAUUAGCAAUCUCAAUGAUAACAGUUUAGAAAUUUGACAAUAAUAACUCAGACAACCAAAUGAAGGUACCAAAUUCACGUCCAAUUUACCCCACCAGUACCACUGGUGGAUUCCUCAGUAAAAGAAAAACAACUCCGCGUCCUGCUCAAACAAAAGACGACCCCAAACAACACCAAAUACUACUGAGGAGUUGGGGAACGAAUGUCAAAUACCUCAAUUGUUUGAUGGUCAAAAGAAGUGGGAUAGGCACGACUCCUGGCGUGCAUGCGUGAGCGAGAAACAGCGACUGUGGGAGGCGCGGCUUCGCUAGUGGCUUGCGAGGAAGAGGUCGCGCUGCAAUGUGGAGGAAGGUGGUGACAGUCGCUGGAGUGAGAUUGGGGAAGAGGAGACGCGCGGCUGGUUGACUGCUGGAGUGGAACUGAGCGCAGGUGGAGCCUGGGUGGCAGUAGUGGAGCUCGACGGUAGUGGCUGCGGGUGGAGGGUGAGAUCGAGAGGGAGAAAAGCGUGAGCUGCUGGUGGCGCUGCCUGCUGGGCAGAGGCGCGCGAGCUCCAGCAACGGUGAGGGCGGUGUCACGCGAUGGUGGUUGUCACUGGUGCAAGGGCAGAGAAAAGAUGUCACGGCUAUGAAGUGGAGGAGUGGACUGCGCGGAGCAGCGGGCUGUGGCGCGUAGCCAUGGUGGCGUGCGGGCUUGGGCAGCGGCGGCGCACGAUGCUGCGGACGGCGGCGGCCAAUGGGUUUGCUGUGGUGGAGUCGCGGGUGGAGAGAUGGCGGCGGGCAUGAGGUGUGCUCGGCCGACAGAGAGGAAGAAAAAACAAGGGAAGAAAGAAAGAAAAAGGAAGAAAAGAGAGAAGAGAAAAAAAAUGUUUUUUUUUUUUUGAAAUUGAGAAACCUAGCUACGGUUGAAAUUUUUUUUCUUUUUUUUUUUGUUUACAUUUUUUUUUUUUUUUGCAAAUGUUAUUUUCGAAAUUCAAAAUUAGAGAUUAACCGAAAAUCAAUAACCGUUCUUGAGUUUUUUUUUUUUUUUGAAUACUUACCUUUCCCGCGAAUGUGACGUGGGCACGUUAUGAAGGCACGGAAUCUGGAACUCUCCAUAUGACAUGACACGGGUACAUCAUGAGGGCAGGAACCCCUUCUGACGAUUCUGACUGUGAGCUCUCCAGACGUCAUGACGCGGGCGCGUCAUGACAGAAAGACACCUACAAAUUAUCAAAAACGAAAAUUGAAACCCGAAAUCAAUCAAAUUCAAGGAAAACAUAUUUAAAUUAUCACACGAAAUCAAAAUAAACAAUUAAAAGGAAUAAUUGGGUUGCCUCCCAAUAAGCGCCUUUCUUUAAUGUCUUUGGCUAGACAUUAUCAUGUUUUGCUCAUGGAGGAUAAAAUCUUGUGGCUCGUUUCAAUGUUUCAUCUUCAAUGUGAUCCUGGUAACCCUCAUAGAUGGAGUAAUUUUUGAACACACGAGUUACGGUCUUCCAUGGACUAGUUGAUGGCGCCAAAUAAUCAAGCAGUGAUCUCAAUUUUUCAUCCACUCCUCUAUCAAGAGCACUCAACGGUUCAAGAUAUUUGACCAUAGCUACUUUUAACUUAUUUCUGCCAUGAGACUCAAAAACUUCCGAUAUAACAAAAUCAAUUUCAUUAACAGAAAUCAUGGAGUAAGAGUUAAGAAAAUGUGGGUUAGGGAAUGGAGGUGGUGUCACCAUAUUUGAUGAUUCUUCACUGGAUUCUUUCACUUGAAUGGGUUGCGGUUGAGGUACCAUUUCUUCCUUUUCGGCUUCUUUUUCAACUGCAUCUGUAGAUUUCUCAUUUUGACACUCUUGCAUCUCCUCAUCACUAGUCAAGCAAAUUGCACUCUCAUUUUCUUCUAGAUCAACAAUGGUUUUCGAGAGCAAUUCUUCCAUUUGAGAAGCCAAUCGAUUUAUUCUGGAUGCCAAUAGACAUGGUUGAUCUGCCAGAUAACUCAUUGCAUCCUUCAUCAUCUCAUUCCUCAUUUGUGUCUCCUAUUGGAAUUGGUAUGUAUUAGUAGCUAUUGAUUCAACUAUUUCUUCAAGAGACAUACCUGACAUAGAUAACGAUUCUUGAGACUCAUACUGCUGAAAAUUCAUUGGCCCCGUUGUAUAAUUAUAAUUGGAGUUAUCCCACCAUCCUUGAUCAUACCCGUUUAGAUUAGGGUUAUACCACAUUUGAGACCAGGGUGAAAAAUCUCCAUAAUUAUUGAAUGUGACACUCAGAUUAUCUUGAUAUUCGGGGCACAUACCGGUUGAAUGAUGCCUGGCAUAACAAAUUUUACAGGUUGUAGCAGCCAUUCUUUCUCUAAUAGAGUUUAGUGCCUCUACAUAUGCAAACUCAGAAAAAAAACAAGCCUCAUUGCCUUCCCUGGAAACAAAAUCCAGUCUAUCAGCAGAAUACGGAGUGUUAGAAGCCAUAAACUAUAUAAAAAAAUAAGAGAAAAAUAAAUAAAUAAAUAAAAAACAAGAUGAACUCAAAAAGAAAUAAAUUAAUCUGGCACCAGUCCCCGGCAACGGCGCCAAAAAUUGACAGGGUGUCGAAACCUGUGCAAUAAUAAAAACCUGCUCAAACUAAAAGUAAUUUCUGUAGAUAAUGGUAAGUAGGGUCAAAUCCACAGGGACUGGAAGUAAUUGUUUCUUUUCAAAUUCACAGUGACAAGGAGGUGUUUUUAUGCAGAAGGCGACAAUCAAAGUAAAUCAAAUAAAAUCUAAGAAGCUACUAGAAAUUAAAUAACAAAUUACUAAAAUCAAAUGAGUGAUAAUUAAGGAUCUAGCCAAGAAAUAACUUCAGCAAUGGUUCACCUAAUUGAUCAUCGAAGCAAGGGCAAUUCCAAUUAUUCAUCAAUAAAUAGGUUACAACUACCAAACAAGCGAUGACAGUCAACCCCUCCUUACUGUGUCGGUGAUCAAGGUACGCCCGUUAAUCACUACUCUAAUUAAGAAAUAAUCCUAGGUACGUCCGUAAGAUUUAAUUCCCCAACUGCCUUACGUACGAGAGGAGCCCUAUUCUAACCAAAUAACGCACUACCAGGGUUAUUUCAGAUUAGCCCGCGUAUCCUCCUGACACGAAUCUAAUCGUGUCAGUUGUCACUAUUUCAGGGCAAUUAAACAAUUACGGAUUUAAUAUCUCAAUUGACAAUAGAUUAUUAAAUUAACUAAUUAUCCGAAUCCAAAACAAUCAAUUAACUAAACAACCAUAAGCACUGCAACCAGGGAAUAUGCAAAUACCAAUAAAUAAAAGAAAAAGAUAAAAUUAAAUCGAUCUCACAAUUUUUAGACGACCCAAAGCAUCCGUUGUUUCUUGACUAGAAAAAAGAAUUUAGUUCAUCCCUAACGAGGAACACUCACAAGAAGCGGAAGGAACAAUUGUUUCCUUUGUCAUUGACCGGGAAAACUCAAUUCACUUCAAUAAGGAAAAAGAAAGAACAAAGCUACAGCGAAUGAUUCAUGGUUUCUCAUGGUCUCUGACAUACGAGAAGAAAAUCACUAAGGAACGGAAAAAAUGGAAAAAGUCCAAGUGAAAAGCUAAUCUAGAGCUACGAGACAAAAGUCAAAAGCUAAAAAACAAGGUAGUGCUCAGUGUCAGCCAUAUAUCAAUCGUUCCUAUUCUAAUUGCUACUGUGCGGCGUCCGCCGCCCAGCCGAGAGCGGAAAAAGAAGACUUCGGCCUCCCCUUUUUAAUGCUGUCUUCGGGCCAAUUACCAAGAAGGGUCGCGGUUUGAUAUUUCAAAAAUAUCCCUAAAUACUUGCUACUUGAAUUCUUUCUUGAUAACUGUCAAAUUGACAUUUGUUAUGGUAUUUUUGUUCUACUCCCUGAAAUAAAUAUAAAUUGCCAAAAGUGAGUAAAAUCUAACAAUUAAUCCACAUCGGGUCAGGUAAUAGGGAAAAUUAAUUAUAAAAUAAAUAAUAAAAUUGCAACCUAUCAAACAGAUAGGAAAGUUCUAAUAUUUCCUCUUUUCUUUUUUGUGGUAACUUAGGUCAUUCUUUCUUCUUUCGUUUUUUAAUCUCCUAAACUGACAAGCUAAGCCUUAUCUGCUAAAAUUUACAAUUAAAUAUUUUUUUUAGAGCUGCCCUUAAUAUAAUACUCCUUAGCACAAAGAGAGCAAUAAAUAUAAUGGAGAACCAUAAGAGGAUAAUGGAGUAUGUUUUAAAAUUGAAAAUGAAAAUGUUAUGAGUAAUUUCCUUUUAAUUGUACCGCAUUUGUUGAUUUUUGGCAAACCAUAUCAAUUCAGUUGAAAUUCAAUUAGUAAAAUUCUGUACUUAUUAGAAGUCCUAUUCUGACACCCACAUUAGUUCUAAGUAGUAAUGGAAGAGUUCUUAUAUUUUUUUUCCCCACUUCUUGAAGAUUGUCUAUAAUUCUUUUGCUCUAUAAGAACAGUUAAUGGCAUUUUUAAGAAAUUCCACACAACGUACACUCCAAGUUUGAAGACUGACCUUGACUCUCAAAAGUGAAAUCAAUGAAUCAAGACCAGAAAAACUGCAUUGCGAGUCUUCAAGUUUGAGGGCCAGCGUGUUUAAUGGCAUUUCUAAGAAAUUCCACACAACAAUUCUAGUGGAAUCAGAUCAAUUCCAAGUCAUACACAUUAAAACGCGUAUGUCAUGGUGUUUGUUUAACUCUCCAUAUGUAGUCUUUAAAUCCAGACUAUCUCUGAAUACUCAAGUCGUUCUUUCUUCUUUCUUUUUAAUCUCCUAAAUUGACAAGCUAAGCCUUAUAAUCUAAAAUUUAUGAUUUUUUUUGUUUUUACAAAUCUGCCCUUAGAAUUUAGCAUUUACUCUUUAGCAUAAAGAGUGCAAUGAUUAGAUUUAACAACCACAUGAGGAUCAUGGAGCAUGUCUUAAAUUUAUUUACAAAAAGAGGGUUGCGAGUAUUUCCUUUUAACUGUACAACUUUUGUUGAAUUUGGGCAAAAUUUACCAAUUUAGUUGAAGUUGAAUUUAGUAUUUGAGCUUUGUUAAAAGUCGUAUUCUAACUCUUAUAUUAGCUCAAAGUAAUAAUGGGAGAGUUUUUUUUUUUUCCCCCUUUUUGCUCUUAUUGACAAUUGUCUACAAUUCUUUUGAUUUAUAAGAACAGUCAAUAUAGCAAAAAGCAACAUCACAGAUUGCCUACACUUCAAGUUUGAAGACGUAUGGACAAUGACUCUUAAAAAAGCAAUCAAUUAAUCAAGACCACAGACACUGCAUUGCGCGACUUCCAAAUCAAACCGCGUGCUUUAACUAUCCAUAUCACUAUCACUGAUUGUAAAUGCAGAGUCUUUCAAUCCAGACUACUGUACUUAGAGUUCUUAUACAUUUCAUCUACCUUACGGUCUUACAUUUAUUUUUGAUGUGCGGACUUUAAAUGUUUAGUCCUACGCGCGGCCUGAUGUUCCCUCCGGUGUUGUAAGGCUUGUAGUAUCCGUAAGGUUUUGAUCAUGGUUUGUAGUUUAACCAUGAGUUUAACUUGAAGGCAUGAUACCAAAAGAGAUUGUAGAAUCUCUCACAAUUAUACUAGCAUAAGUUUACAAUGUGUUAUAGAUUUUCAGAAUAACUAAAUGUCUACAAUGAGUAGACCACUUUAUUCGAUGUUAAAACAAUUUAAAGAAGAAUUAUCUACAAUUUGUUUUUAAUUGCAAUAAUUAUAAGGUCAUCUAACGGUAUAAACUAACAUAAUGAUUAAAACUAUACAUAAAAAUUGUAUAAAAGUGCACAAUAAUAAAUUAUGCAUUGAGUGCUAGAUGUAUAUUUUCAUAUACGCAAUAGGCAAAUAAUGUAUACACAAUUUAACUAUCAAAUGAAUGUUUAGUUAACUUGUAAUUCAUAAGGUUAAGAAAAGUUUAAUGUUACGUGCAUAAGAUUUGUUAGAAAGAAAAUAAAAAUAGCAUUGUGUAAUAAAUUUUAUUUUAAUGUUGCAUCGGAGAAAUGAUGGUGAUAACUGUAUAAAAUUUUAAAACUUUUGCGAGGCAAUUGUGGGGUUAGAGGAAAUAUUACCAAAUUUCAAGGGGUGCAAAAGUGAGGCAACAAUAGAAGAACCUUUUUAUGGACUAUUCUAAAAUUUCUAAAAAAUUGAGAAGGUGCAAUUGCGCUGGCUAUGGCUCCACCAAUAUAUAUAUAUAUAUAUAUAUAUAUAUAUAUAUUCUCAUAUUUUGCCGAGUGGAUUUUCGUCUUUUUACCAUGUGGCAAAACAAAUUAUAAAUAAAUUUUUUUUAAUUUUUUUGUGGAUUUUAUUUUUGUCUUUUUUUCUUCGCAACCAAUCUAUUAAUUACUUGCAGUAUAUAAGUUUGUAUGUUUGUACCUUCUUUAUUUUUUUUUUGUUAAUCAACUCAUAUCUUUUCUCUUUUUAAUCCUCUUCAAGUACAUUUUCUAUUUUUAUUAUUGGUUUGAUCAUUCAUCAUCAUUAAUUUGGACAAAUUAUGCCACGUCAAUGUUGACGUAAUAGUAUCUAUUUUCUCUCUUUACCUUCCUAUCUAAUAAUUCUUUUUUCUUCUAAUAAUUCUUAUUCUAAUAAUAAUAAUGUUAUUUAAUAGAUUUCCUAAAAUUAUUUCAUCAUUUGUCUUUUGUUAUCUAUAGCAUAUAUGUCUUGCAUAUUUCACAAGGAAGUUUUUGAUUGAUGGUCAAGUCAAGUGUUCUCCAAUUUUCUUAUUAAUCAACCCUGAAUCUCUCUUAAUUAAUUUUCUCAAUUAAUUGACCCAGAGUUAAAUAUUUAUACCUUUUAACCAUCUACUUUUUUAACAUCAUAUAACUAUGUAUAUCACAUGAUACUGAUGAUAUUGAAUAGCUGAAUAUAUAUGAUAUAUGAAUUGACAGGUAUAAUUUUGGUAUGUUUCAUCAUUUUUCUUAACAAACUCAAAUAAUUGCUUUUUCUUUGAUCCCUAUAAAGUAAAGGGAAAUGUUAUAUGCACUCCAUUUUUUGCUAUUAGCGCUUCCACUAUUUGUUUUAUCAUAUAAUCUAAUAAAUAAAAAUUAUAUGAUUAAAAUGAUAGUGAGUGUGUGAUCGACAAAAAUAGGAGUGCAAAUAAUAUUUUUCAUAAGUAAAUUAUAUUUAUGUUUCCCUUUAACAUCAGAAUUUUCCUUUUUAACAUUCAAUAUACUCCAUUCGUCCCAUUAAAAGUGUCAUGUUUUCUAUUUUGGAAUGUCCUAAAAUGUUUGUAAUCUUACCAAAAUUAAAGUUACUUUGAUCACUUUUUUCAAUGUUAUCCCCUCCAUUUACUACAUUUCAUAUUAAAUUCAAAUUUGAAUUUUGAAUUUUUAUGGGCUAUUUUGAAAGAAACUAAUGCCACUUCCAGGGAGAAAGAUACAGAGAGGUACAUUUUUUUUGCUAAGUUUAAACUAUUAAGAUUGUUUUUUGGUUGUUUACACUCCGUUCCUGUUGUCCUGCAUCAUUUUGCUGUCACCUAGUAUCUCAGAUUAGUUUUUGCUACAUGUUGUUUAUUGUUGCCCUGACAAGUCAUAAAAUUAAUAGAAAGCUUAAGUUCAUAGUUUAUACCAGAAACCUCAUGCUAAUUGUUCUAUUUCGGAACAGGGUCCUCAUCAUCACUACCUUCUUUAUGCCUUCAUUUUUUACUUUUUUCUGAUGAUCCAUGUCCUCACUGGGAUUUCUUUUACAUUGUGGAUUCUAAUGUUUGCCCUCUAGUGGGAAAUCCUAAGUGUCUAUGAUUGUAGUAAUUUUUGCAACAGUUCACAGCUGUAUUGUAAAUACUGUAAGCAUAUAGACGCUAGUAUUUGGAAUAUUAAUUUUCUUGUUUCUUAUUAUUUUUUUUUAAACCUCAUUUACUGAAAGCUAUUGUACUCCUGACAAUGGACCCGCUAUAAGCUGUUGGAGUGUGUAUCCCCAUUUUAUAUAGUGUGAGCUCAUCGUGAUUUUAUUAAUAUUUUUUUUUGUGUUUUUGGGGGGAAGGGGGGGGGAGGUGGGUGGGUGUUGGGAUGGAUGUGGGAGUCAGCAUUCAGGGAUAUAUAUAUAUAUAUAUAUAUAUAUGCAUGUGCUUUUUAGAGUUUCAUCUGAAUACCCGUCUGGUCCUCAAAUUCUUUAAGAGAAACAAAUGAUCUUGUGAUGGUUUGUUUCGGGGUGGAUCUACUCCAGUUCUAUGGAAAACAUGUGUAGUGAAGCUAGACUUUAUGGGUUAAAUCGUCCACAAGUGGAGACAGUGGAUCCACUUGCUUUAUCCUUAUGAACAACAAAAUACCAGGAGGACUGGACUCAGGUCAUGAGAUAACUUCUAAUUGUAUGAUAAUCUGUUUGGGCUUACAAAAUUCUUCUUAUUGUUCCGUGCUGAGUUUCAUUCACGUAUUUUAUCUUUAUACUGUUUAUUUAUGGUUGAACACAGUUUUAAGUCAAAAUCACAGGUAAGGUGAUUUUGAAUAGCAGAUAUACACUAUAUGUUUAGUUGAAUUGUAUGGUUCAUGGUUUGUGGUGUUGUGGCCACUUGAAAAAUGGGAAGAAAUCGGAUUCAGCCACUGCAAAGAAGUUGGAGGUGGAGUAAAUUGCAUUUUGUAUAGCUUGGCAAUUUUAUGAAGUUAACAACCGAAAUUAAAUAGAAACAUUAGACAAAGCAGGAUAGAGACCAUAAAUACAUAUAAUAAAGUGUGAGUAGGUUCUGUCACCUGUUAUGAGAGAUGGCAAAAUCAUUCAUUUAAUAGCCUAAAUUUGGCUUAUAUGGUAUCUAGAAAAUUGCAAGGUUAAGUCUUAGAUCCUUUAUGAGCUGUAUGAUUAUAUAUAUAUAUAUCUAUACCAACUUAUUGUCCAUAUUUAUGUCUAUAGGAAUUAAAAGAACAAGCUUGUGCAUGGCAUGAUUAGAUCAGCUCAGUUCUGGUUGUAUUCUUGCAUCUUGUCAAUGUGGUUGAAGAAAGAUUGUGUGCAUGAGUUUUCAGCAAUGUCAUUUGGUAUCUCUCCAGGAGGUGUAACUAAUCUUUGACAGAUGAGACAUAAAAAUGUGGCUAUACAUUCCUAGCAGGUCCCUGAAAUCAUUAUAGGGUAGAAAAACUUCCUAAAAACUUGGGAAACAAAAGGUCUAUGGGACAGUUUGUACUACUGAGGAAUUGGCCCAUGAAGCUUCUGAAGCUCCCCCCACCCCCACCCCCUUAAAAAAAUCAAAAGAGAAAGAAGGAUCUGACAAGGCAUAGGAUACUCUCUCUCCAAAAUAAUGAAGCCUAUCCUUGUAGGGUACUGAUUUUUGUCCAAAAGUACAAUACCCUUUCCAUGAGUCAGGUGUCCUUGAUUUAAAAAAUUUGGACUCUUGGUGUAUAAUUUUCAGGUCAGGAUGUUAAUCUAGAGCUUGAGUUUUUCUUCAUCUACGGUCAGAGCUGAUUCAAUCACAGCAGCCACAGUCAACUCAUUUUGUUCAUUUUUGUUUUUUGUUCUUCUUAGUUUUCAUUUUGACUUAAAAAUUUUGUUCAAGGCUUUUCAUUUGUUGAAAUAUGUGCUUUCUUUUUGUUCUGCAAGUCCUAGCUCAGUUGAUGUAAGAAGAAUAUAAGAGGUUAUUAGGAUUGUGACUAGGGGACUUCUUCCAUUAUUGGCUACAGAAAAGCUGAAUUUGUUGUUUGUGCUAUUCCCAUGCCCAAGUCUCCCCUUCGUUUUCCAGCUAAUCUCAUUGUGUGUGUGUGUGUGUACAGGCACUGCUUGUUUGUUUAAUGACUAAGCUGUAGAACUUGCAAAUAGAAUAGUUUUACUUGAAGAGGUAGUUUAUAAUGCUUCCAAAAUUAUGCUAUUCUGGACUUGGGGUUGUAUGAUUUGAUUUUCUUUUCUUAAUGAUCUACAUACCUUGUUGAAUCCAACCUAUGAUUUGUUUGUAUUUAUCGUUCUAUGUUAUUUAUUAUUUUGUUUUUUGGCUUUCAUUUCAAAGGUGCAUAUUGCUGAAGCUAGCAUCAUGUUUUGUUGAUAAAGCCAGUGAGGAAUUGAUUACCCUGCUAUUUAAGUUUACGAAACAUGCUUUAGAGGUAUGCUAGUACUGAAGCUUUUGAUGAUCUAUUUUGCGUAUUUGAUGAUUGAUAUGAUGAGUAGACGUAAAAUAUUAAGUUUUUAGGUGUUGGAAGGAACUGGCCAGCCUGAAGCAUAUCAGACUUUAAGCAGAAUAAUAGAGGUGUGUUUUUGGUAUUGCACCUGUUGGGAUUUCCAAACUGUUAUUUGCUUUUGAGUCAUUGACAUUGGCGUGAUCUUGUCUGCAGAAGCAUCCUUCAUUUUGCUUUUCACACUUUGCUGAGUUGAUGGACUUGUUGCUGAAUCUGAAGUCUCCAUACAAUAUUGAUUCGCUUAAAAGCCGCUUUGCUUGUCUCCGUACCUUGUUUAUCCAUGCAGUAAAGGUGGGCUUCUUAUUGUUGGUGUUUUUUGUUAUUCCUAUACGAAUGAGCUAAUUUGAGUGUUUUUUUUUAGUGUUGUAUCCUUAUUUAGAAAUUGUUGUGUAGGUGGUCUUGAUGUUGUAGGUGAUAAAAGUACUGUAAGGAAAUUGAACUUGCUUUUAUGUGUUCGUAAAGUUGGCUUUAUAUCCGUUUAAUUCUUCACGUAUAUUUGAAUGCAUGUUAACCUUUUGAUUUGUUUUCUGCAGGAAGAUUUGGAUGAUGAAAACACGAAGGCUUUUCUUAUCCUGAAUGAGAUUAUUCUUGCACUAAAAGAUGUAAGAAACACUAGAUAGAAUUUAUUGUAGUAUCAUAUGACAUAAUAUGAGAAAGGCUUAUUUUCCAUUUUCUGAUGCACUCUGUCAACCUCUUCCUCCCUUUCUCCCAAAAAAAGAAGGCAAGACAAAGGAAAAUGGUAGUACCAUGCAAAUAAAAAUUGAGGGCAAAAGGAAACCUGCAGUCAAUAAAGAUUUUUGAAAAAGAGACAAGGGAACUUCUUUUGUCCAUCAACAGUCAGGAACCUUAACUACAAGAAAUUCUUUUUUUCCAACAUAUUCUCGAUCAUAACUGGAGUAGUCAAUUCACGUGCAGGUUAUCUCGUCUUAAGGUGAAAGAGAGCAGUUAUCCUCUGUAUUUAUGCUAAAUUAUGGUCAAAAGUUAUUAGUUUCAAAUAGCCCUUUUAAACUUGAGCAAAAAAGAAGCGUAGAUUAUAUCUAUCUAUAUAUAUAUAUAUUUUACCGCAAGAGGUUUGUUACUACAAACCAUAUUUUACUCAUUUCUUUAGUUUCUUUUUUUUUUUUCCUUCUAAUGAACAACCACCAAAUGUCCUGUUUUAAUUUUUUUUCUUUUCUUUUUGGGUGGGGAGGGGGAAGGGGUGUUUUUUUCAAAGAGGAGCAAAGUGUACCAGGAAGUUCUGCUUCGGGAUGCAUUAAACCUAAUCAAACAAGUCCUCGAAUGAAGUCAAAUUUUGUACUUGUGUCAAUUGCUAUGAAGUUACUUGUGUUAAAUAGAGAGGCCAUGUGCAUAUGUUAGCAGUUUCAAGGUUUCUACUACUACCUUUAUCUAACUACAAGUUUAUUCAGGGAUACAACUGUUUGUCUGUCAUCCUUUUCUUGCAACUAAUUAUCAUCUCAGAUUUGCAUUCAAUGUUCAUGUAGUUGUUGUAAUUGCUUGCUUGCUCUUUUACUCAACCAUUUUGCCCUUCUACCUACAUUUACUUCAUUACAUGAAAUGGACAUUCAUUGGCAUGUACUUGUAGAUCUUUUGGCUAUCAAAUGCAGUUUCAGUGAUUUCAAGCGUGUUCUAAACACGUUUGCUAAGUAUCUAUUCAUUGCGGCAGAACUGAAAUUGUCAGAGUUCGUGUCAAAUACAAUGAAUUCGUGUCUAAUGUUGUCGUUAAUGUAAAAUUCUGGCUGCUGUUUCUUGUUCAGUCUGCGGAAGAAGGCAGAAAAGCAGCUUAUGAUGUCCUUACUGAUAUCAGUUCGAGCUUGCGAAGCACUUCCUGCACCAUUUCUGAUGGACAUUUUCACAAUUUCAUCACCAUGGUAAACAUAUCGUUUUCAUAUAUGUUAGCUGAAUAAGUAGUAUUAUUACAUAUUUUGGUUGCAAGUAAUACAAUAAACAUAUGACACGAAGUUUCAUUGGGAGAAUGGGUUAAAGAGUAAUGAUCACAAUCUGUUUCCUGAGUAUGAACCUACCUGUAUUUGCUUCUUGCAAGUGUGGAAUUUUAAACUACAUUUCAUAAAAAUGUAAAGAACUUUUUCAUUGAAAGUAAGUUUAGGACUGGAAAAUUUUUAUGAGAUUUUACAUCUGCAUUAUCUUUCCAGUUUCAGCAGAUGUCUAAAUUUGCCAAACCGCAACUUAAUUCUGUUAAAGUGAUUUGAUGCCUCUCUAGGACUUGGUUGUUUCAACUAUCAGGAACCUCAUUUAAGAGACAUUUUUUAUGAUUUGUAAGUAAUAAAUGCUGGCACGGGCACAGAAAGAGAACUAAGAGGACACUAUUGCACAUAGAAGUCAGAUUGGUUGAACAGAUGGAGAAAUCAUUAAGGAUUUUGUCUUAUUUGCAUUCAAGUCCAUAGGGGGCCUUAGGUUUAUGUUACUGGCGAUCAUUAUCAAUGUCAGAGAUGAUAUUUUGUGCUUUUACCUUGUCGCAGGGAACAUAUAUGGUCAAUAGCCAUUUCCUUUCCUGAUCAUUUUUCAGUUCUACUUGUAUCUGCUUUUUUUUGUGUGCUUUUGUGUUAUCUGACUAUGUUGUUCUUAUAUUCAGGUUAUGGCUUAUCUUACAGGGUCGUCCCCCCAUAUAAGGAGUGGUGCAGUUUCUGCAUUGUCUGUACUUGUUUAUAAUGAUACAGAUUUAUGCCUUUCUGUACCUGACCUGAUUCCAUCUGUUUUGGCUUUGCUGCAAAGUAAAGCUAUUGAGAUUAUAAAAGUAAGUUUCCCUUGUUUCUUUACAAUAAGUACCUAGAACUGUUGCAUUAAUGCUUACGAGCCAUCUGGAGUAAACUUUUUUAGGCUGUUCUGGGCUUUGUGAAAGUACUCGUAUCAAGUCUUCAAGAAAAUGACCUGCAGAAAUUUCUCCCUGACAUUGUCAAUGGGAUUUUACCUUGGUCAUCUGUGUCUCGCCAUCAUUUCAGAUCAAAGGUAUGUUACGUUUGACUUCUCAUGCUUCCACACACAGAGAGAGAGAGAGAGAGAGAGAGAGAGAGAGAGAGAGAGAGAGAGAGGUCAUCUUCCAUAUUAUCAGUAAAAUUGACAUUCCCCAACAACAAGGAUUGAGAAUCUUGGAGAGGUAAUGUAGUUAGACUCUGGAAUAUCGAGGUGUUAAUUUCACACACAUUUCUAUCACUGUACCUUAAUAUUUAAAUACUCUCUCCAUGAAGUCAAGGUGCUGGCUGCCUUGUCAUUUUCAUUAGGUCAUCUUUCGUUUAGUAGGAUUCUUUGUGGUAGCCUGCAAUGGGUGGUUCUGCUUGUGCUUUUUCGUUGUCUCAGCUCCUGGUAUUGAGAUCGAUGUAUUAGCAUAUUGUUAUUCUUUUUUUCUUGCUCACUAUUUUGCAGGACCAAUCACUGAUGAUUAUGUGCUGUCUAUUCUAAGUCAAUAUCUUUUUUGUCUUUGUUUGUCUAAAUUGGAAGUUGAAUGUUACCAGUAGAUGGAGAAAUUGCCUAGACUUCUCUCUCUCCUCCCUCCUCCUCCCCCCCCCCCCCCAAAAAAACAAAAAAAAAAACCAAAAAAAAAAGUGCAUGUGAACCAGAACAGAUGCAUGGAUGUCCCCCUUUUCGUAGUUUUUUUCUCAGUUUUUUGCUAUUUGCUUACAAUUUAUGGCUGUAGCCUGUAGCUUCAGUUGAAUUUGCAUUUUUGCAUUGAGAUUUGUAAUUAGUAUGCUUGUGGCAUGCAAAUAACAGGUCACAGUUAUCUUGGAGAUCAUGGUGAGAAAGUGUCGAGUUGCAGCAAUACAGUCACUUGCACCCCAGAAGUAUCACGAUUUUCUAAGGAGCGUCUUAAAGGUACCAUUCUUCUCUUUGUCCUUGCUGAGUUUCUUUAUGGUAUAGAACACCUUUAGGUUUCAUAUCUUGUAGACUUGAUAUCACACCUACCAGAAAACAAUUGUUGUCAGCAAUGUGCAAGGGUAUAGAUUGAAUUAACAUGACAUUUCCUACUCAAGUUAGACAGGUUUUGAAUUAAUUAACUAGUUAAACUUUGGCCUUCAGCUUGGCUCAAUAUACUAUUGACUACAAGAAACAUCAAGCUACUCAAUCUUGAAGCUUGUGCAAGGGCAUCUAGAACCAAAUUUAACUGUCAAGCUAGUUAAGAAACCAAGUCGAUGUUGAACAAUGUAAAUGUUUAAAUUCAUGCAUUGCAUUAUCCUUUAAAUUAAGUUCUAGAGACAUAUUAAAAGUGCUAAUACACGAUAUUUUCUUAUUGUGGACUUUUAUUUAAUGCUUAAAGCUAUGGAAGCACUAGGCCUAUUCAGCAUAGUUGUUCAAAUAUGAGGUCUCCAAAUAAUUGCACUAUAGUUGCAAGUCAUACAUCACAAUGUCAAGAUUCCACUUAUCUAAUAGGUUGUUGGGUACUUUAUUCUGUGAUUUAUGCUUGCUUGCAUCAUGCUUCCUCUUGUUCCCCCAUGUGCUUGUCACAUAGUUUGCACCUUUCUUUCUCGUUUAUUUUUUGUUCAAUUUGCAGAAUCGUCAUGGCAAGACAAGUUCUAAGGAUGCUGGCAUCACUGAGACUGAAUCAAAUCCUUCAGAUAUAUCCCAAGGGAGGUCUGAUACUUGUGAAAACCUUUUCUCCUCAUUUGAUGGUUUAUGUGACUUUUACAUUUAUUUCUGAAAUUGAAAUUUGUAUGAACCCUCAAGCAAGCACAGGUGGCAAAAGAGAAAGUACGAGGAAUCUACAAGUUCAACAAAAGGAGGAGGUUUGACUGGAUCUAGGAAAAGAGCAAGGCACCAGAGACAGAAAGGCGAUCUUCCUAGUGCCAAAAAGCCUUUUAAGCCUGCUAGUAGCAUCAAAUCACAAGAGUCAGUGGACAGAGAGGGUGAUGCCAAUCAUGAUAGACAAAAUGCAAAGCAGUCACAGUGGCAAAGAAGAGAUAGAAAGGGUAGUUUUAUGAAGGGUCAGUCAAGGGGAAGAGGAAGAGGGAUUUUGUAGAAACUAAGCUGAGGAAUGGGAAAACUCAUAAACCUGCUGCCAAGCUAACCAAUCGUAAAAGGGUAGGGAAGAAGCAGUCGAAAAUUAAUAAAUGAGAUAGACGUGUGAUUAAGUGGCUAAAUUUAAAUUGAAGCUGCACUCAGAAUGACUUCUCUGUGUGCCCUGAAUUUUCAAAAUGUCGGUGAUACAACCGGAGGAUGAAGGUCAAGCACUUUCAGAGCUUGGAGGAGACAAUAUAGAGAAUGAAGUGUGAAGUUUCAGCCACAUUGGCUGGUUAACUGGAGAAGUUGAAAUAUAUACGCAGAGGCUGCAGUCUGCAAGCACUCCGCUCUUGACGGACAAUGGACUUCAGUUUCAGUUAUACAUUGGAUGCUGCCGAGUGUUAACCGCAAAAGGGCGUUGAAGGACCCAAAGAUGUAUAUUGUCUGAUUACCAGCGAAUAUGUGAUUGUACCCGUUUUAUUUGUUUAUUCCCAUCCUCGAGCAACCUUCACAUGUAUUGUUUUUUUUUCAACCCCUAGACCAUAUUUGUAGUGUCCUAAUGGCUAUGUGGUAAUAUAAAUGAAUGUAUACUCUGUACAUGAUUAAUUACAGCGAGAUAUAUCAGGGGAGCAAUUUUCUUCUUUCUUAAGUUAAAAUGAAUGUUAACUGUGUUUUUUCCAACCCCUAGAUAGUAAAUGAUUGCCUUGAACCCCUCUAGCCUUCCAGGUCAGGGGAGCAAUUUUCUUUAGUUGAAAAAGUGUGUUCUUUCUUAAUUUUGAAGAUUUCUGUAAACAUUUCACUUGUACCUUAUACAUGUUAAUGCGGUUAAAAAAUAGGAUAAAUUUUCUUUGGCCUAGCAAAUAAGAUGCAACCAAAUCUACUUGCAUAAAACAGUCCCAACUCAGUUGGGAUAGGAAAAAUAAGUGAUACAGAUUACUUCUCUCUGUCUCAUUUUGGUAGUCCUAAUUUUUCUUUUACACAGUUUAAGAAAAAGUUGUUAACAUUAUUGGAAAAACAAAUUUAAGUUGCUAUUUUUCUAAAAUACCUUUACAUUAAAUAGAGAACAACUUUAUAUUAAUUAUUCAUGAAAAUUUGAAUUGAUGGUUUAUGAGAACUUGAAUUGAUGGUCAAGAAAAAAUCAAUCCUCAUUUUACAUUAUUUCACAUUAAAUCAAAAUGUAUUAUAUGGGGUAGGUUAACAAUCUAUAUUAAAUAAAGUAUUUAUACUAAUAACAACCUAUAUUGAAUAUAGGUAUUUUAGAGAAAUUAAAAGAUAAUUAUAUUCUUCAAUUGGAAAAUAGAUUACAAUUUGGAACAGAUGAAAAAGAAGAUAGGAUUAUCAAAAUGGAACAAAGGGAGUACUAAACUAGCUUUGAAAGAAAGAUUAAAUUAAUAAGUAAUACAGAUACUAAUAAACUAACUUUGAAAGAAGAAUUAAAUCCAUACGCCUUUAAUUUAAAUCUACAUCCUGUACAAGUUUAAACAUUAAUCAUACACUUUAUGCAAGUUUUAAUACUAAUCAUCCAAGUCAUUUUCAUUCUAUAUUCAAAGUGUAUAUGUGAGUUAUGGUACAGAUUAAAAUCUUCUUUCCUUUUUUUUUUUUUUUUGUCGACGGAGUGGGUGUCCGGGUCAAGUCCGUAAAGGCGGCCCGACUAAUCCCACUUCGGCCCGGCCCAGCGUCCCAACCAAUUUUUUAUCGACGAAGUGGGUGUCCGGGUCCCACUAAUCCCACUUCGAUCCGGCCCAACGCCCCAACCAGACCUAGCACGUUAGAUGCACGGAGAAACCGAUGUUGCUGCGGAGGUUCGAUCCCAGGACCUGACGGUCCGAGGAAGAGGCGUCAACCACCAGCCCAUUCACAUGGGGGCUUAAAAUCUUCUUUCCCCUUUGUUAAAAUUCGACCAUUUCAUUUGAAUACUUAACGUCGUCGUUUUGGAGGCGUUUCCCACCAUCACCGUGUGUUGUAAGCCUUGAAGCCCCCGAAACAGAUAAACCUUCCAUUUCUUCCUCUCAUGGCAACAUUACCCCAUCACUCCCCCUUCCUGAAGCUCUCCAACCCACCCGAACCAAACUCCAUCUCCCAACCCGCAAAUGCAACCCGUCCAAGAACAACCCGGUUAACAAUUCAUUGCAAAAAACCCAAGAACGAGGAAGCAUUCAAGGAGAAGCAGAAAGCCCACGUGGACUACGACAAUGGGACCCAUCGUGUCUCUGUACAAGUCAGCGGGCUCCGGGCAUCCGACUUGCCGAAGCGGCACCGUUUACGGGUCGCAACCGACCGGUUCCAGAAGGACUGGUCCAUCUCAGAGGUUGUGGAGAAGAUAAUGGCGCUCGACCGGUUUGAGGAUAUUGAAGGCGUCUUGAACCGCUGGGCUGGCCGGUUUGCCCGCAAGAAUUUCCCGGUUCUUAUCAGGGUAAGUAAACUUUGAUGUUUAGUGAAUCUUUUGGGACUUAAUUUGUAUUUAAUCAUUAAGUAUUCAAGCUACUCAAGCUGGAUUUGCUUGUUUCAGCUUGGCUCUAAAUUCUAACAUUGAGCUUAAUAUGUUUGUGUUCGAUUUGAUUGGACUCGUUUUCAAAUUAAAUUUGGCUUUUGAAAUAUUAACCUUUUAGUUGAACUUUUUGUGGCGCGAAAAGGAAAUUUUAAACAAUUAAGACUUUAAUUUUGUGCUGAACUUUGAAUUUGUGGUUUAAGGAGUUCUUUUUGUUACGGCGUUUCUUUUCCAUCAUUUGCAUUUAAACGAAGAAAUGCUUGCGACUCGAAAUCCUGUUGAUAGCGUAUGACUUGUUUUGCUUAUUAGCCUUUUGACUUGUUGUUUUGGUUUGUUGUUUGAUCUUCUGAAUAUUUUUUAUAUAGACGUUGAGCUUCUUGUGUUUAUGCGGUAUAGGAAAUAACUCAAACAGGUUCAAUUGAACAUAGCAUUCAAGUGUUUUCUUGGAUGAAGAAUCAGAAGAUAUAUUGUGCAAGAAAUGAUAUCUAUAAUAUGAUGAUAAGAUUACAUGCUAGGCAUAAUCAAGUGGAUCAAGCACGUGGCUUGUUCUUCGAGAUGCAAAAGCGGAGGUAUUCUUUUUCAUUAACUUUAUUUUUUCUGUAAAAACAUCCACCAUCUAGCUUCUAUUAAUUCCUGCCUUGUUGCUUAUCUUUUCCUUAUAGAUGCAAGCCGGAUGUUGAAACCUAUAAUGCACUCAUUAAUGUGCAUGGUCGAAUUGGUCAGUGGCGCUGGCAAUGAAUAUCAUGGAAGACAUGCUUCGUGGCAGCUGUGUGUAAUUGUAUUUUUCUUUCCUGAUCAAUCUUUUUGUAGUUUAAUCUGAGCUUUCUUCUUGAUUUUUGAUUCCUUUUCUAGCUUUCAAUUAGUGUAUGCUAAAAGUAAUCCACUUCAACAUGCCUGCAAGCAAACAUUGUAGUUAUUUUACCACAAUUGCUUUCGUUCCCUUAUUCAUGACUGUGUGAUGAAUGAUAGCGUGAAAGCUUUAGUGACAUUAACAUGUUGGAGGUGAAAUAUUUUAACAAACAUCAAGUUUUCACUCCAUCAAUGGGUUGAAAAGACAUGAAGAUGCUGAAAACUUACUCCAUCAAACUCCAUUAGAAUCAAACAAUUGAUGAAGAAUAAAAUUCAUUAGGCUAGAUGCACUUCUUCAAUAGUUCUAAUCAUGGUCACCCAUGUCAACUGUUCUUGUUACAUUAAAGUUGGAAGUUUCUCUCUUCAUCUGUUUUGAAGAUUUGUCAUUGUAUAGACAUCUUUGUGACCUUGAUUGAUUCAUGCAGAUUCCACCAAGUAGGUCAACUUACAACAACUUGAUCAAUGCAUGUGGAUCUACUGGUAAUUGGAAAAGAAGCUCUUAGAGUUUGCAAGCAAAUGACCGAAAAUGGUGUGGGGCCUGAUCUGGUGACCCACAAUAUAAUGCUAUCUGCAUAUAAAAGUGGGGCUGAAUAUUCUAGAGCAUUAUCCUACUUUGAACUGAUGAAAGGAACAAAUAUUCGUCCUGACACUACUCCUUAAUAUUAUUAUACAUUGCCAGAUAAAGCUUGGUCAAUAUGAGAAAGCUGUUCAACUUUUUAAUUCAAUGAGAGAGAAAAGAGCAGAAUGUCACCCUGAUGUUGUAACAUUUACUACUAUCAUGCAUAUGUAUUCGGUUUUGGGCCAGGUUGAAAACUGCAAAGCUGUUUUUAACUCGCUGCUGGCAGAAGGUUUGAAGCCUAAUGUUGUUUCAUAUAAUGCAUUACUUGGUGCACAUGCUUCAUCUGGGAUGAGUACAGAGGCCUUAUCAAUUUUUCAUGAGAUGAAACAGAAGGGACUCAGGCCAGAUGUUGUCUCUUUUACAUCUUUGCUCAAUGCUUAUGGAAGGUCACAGCAACCACAGAAGGCCAGGGAAAUAUUUGAGAUGAUGAAACAGAACCAUUGCAAACCAAAUCUAGUGAGCUAUAAUGCUCUCAUUGAUGCCUUUGGUUAUAAUGGGCUUUUAUCUGAAGCUGUUGAAGUGUUGCAUGAAAUGGAGCAGAAUGGCGUCCAACCUAACGUUGUUACAAUUAGUACCUUGUUGGUGGCCUGUGGCAGGUGUUGUCAAAAAGUGAAGAUUGAAUCCAUAUUGCGAGCUGCUGAGUUGCGGCACAUUAAAUUGAACACAGUUGCAUAUAAUUCUGCGAUUGGAAGUUACAUGAAUUUUGGGGACUUUGAUAAAGCAAUAAUUUUAUAUGGGUCGAUGAGGAAACAUAAUGUUAAACCCGAUUCUGUCACUUACAAUGUGUUGAUAAGUGGUUGCUGUAAGAUGUCAAAGUUCUCUAAUGCACUUGAAUUUCUCAAUGAAAUGUUGGACCUCAAAGUUCCAUUAUCCCAAGAGGUGUAUUCAUCUGCUAUAUGUGCCUAUAGUAAACAGGCAAGGACUAUCGAUUUGUGACUACUGUCCCUGUAAUUAGAUUCUCCAUACUUAUCUCUCUCUCUCUCUCUCUCUCAGGGUCAACUUGCUGGAGCAGAAUCAAUGUUUUCCAUGAUGAAGAUGGCUGGUUUUCAUCCCGAUGUUGUCACAUAUACUGCUAUGCUACAUGCAUAUAGUGUUGGUGGUAAGAUCCUAUGUUGGACUAUUUCAUAUAUGCUGGCUUAAAAUUACUGAUAUUAAGAAGCUCAAACUGAAUGUCUUGUGGAAAUUCCGUAUGCAGAUGAUUGGGAGAAAGCUUUUGCAAUAUUUCAAGAAAUGGAAUUGCAUGGUGUCCAGCCAGAUUCUAUAGCUUGUUCAACUCUUAUGAGAGCUUUUAAUAGAGGAUGCCAACCAGGAAAAGUUCUGCUUGCUGCAGAUUUUAUGAAAGAAAAGAAGAUCCCCUUGUCAGAUGCUAUUUUCUCCGAAAUUAUCUCAGCAUGUACCAUGUGAGUUUUUCACUUUUUAAGCAUGUUUUUCAUGUUACAUUACAAUGCUAAUUUCUCUAUUGUAGAAUCCUUCUGCAGUUUUUAACGGAUAUGAUUGGAUUCUGUUAUUUUGUGUGGGUAUAAGUUUGAUUUUUGUGGCCUGGUUAUAAGCGUGAUUUGAAGUGUUCUUUUUUACAUAUUUACAAUGCACUUAUGGAUGUGGCUAGCUGGUUGGAUCAGUGGCACUUGUGAAAUUUACUGCAUCAUGUAACAGCUUUUUGCUUUAAGUUACAGAAAAAGAAAACAUGCUAAAUCAGCUUAGCAUAAGAAAGUGGGAACGAUUUUGAGUGGUUUCUAGUGUUCCUCAUGUAACUUAAUAGGUUUCUGGAACAUGGUGAAAUACUUGGUCAUCUCUGAUUAACAUGCUAGUGCAAAUUGAUUAAUCAUUCAAAGGCAUGUCUUAUUGUUGUCAAACCAAAAAUACGAGAGCUAAACUAGGAAUGCAACUGAUCACUGACUGGCAAAGUUUAGGGGUAUCUGGAAUUAUCUCAAAUGUGAUGGUUUUCCUUUAUGCUCAUUUAUUGGAUUAGUAGAAUUAUAGCAGAGUUUUCCCUAUUAUAAAACUUCUGUGAUUGGUACUGGAUAGCAACUUGUGAACUUGCUUCAGAAAUUCCACUGUGUUUUCUAUUCCUGGUCUUUAAAUCAUUUGUUUGUGAAUGAAGCUUGCGAGAUUGGAGAAGAACUACUGAAAUUAUAAAAAUGAUGGAGACUUCAUUAGCUGUUAUCUCUGUUGGAACUCUUAAUCAACUUUUGCAUGCUAUCGGGAAAUCUGGGAAGAUUGAAACCAUGAUGAAGGUAAUUGGAAGCUUCUCAUUUAUUCUUCUCUUAUACCUAGAAUAAAUGCAACAGCAUUUCCUCACGCAAAGUAGGAUCUAUUUUCUCUUUCCUAAUUUGAAGUCUGAGUCCUGAUGCCUUUAUUAUCCUUUUCGUAUCAAAUACAGUUAUUCUACAAGAUGGUGGCAUUAGGUAGUGAAGUCAACUUCUCAACGUAUUCAAUUCUCUUAAAGAAUCUUUUGGCUUCUGGAAAUUGGAGGAAAUAUGUGGAGGUAAGCUCAUAAAAUGCCUCUGUUAUUUUCCCUGUUUAUACAUUGAUAUAGACAUGCAUCAAUGUGCAUGUGCCUGUGUAUCUGGACAUAUUGUCAUGAUCAUUGGACUACUAAACUAAAAAUAUGUGCCUUCACCAAAAUGCUCAUGUAAGAAUUAGUGAUGACCCUUCUGGAUUAUGCAGGUAAACUUGUCCUUAAAAUAUUAUAUAGGGGAAAAGCUAUAGAUGGAGAAAUUCCAGUUACAAGAUUAUGAAUCUGGUAUUAUAUUUACUCUGCCUGUUUGAGAAGACUGCUCAAUUGGCAUGAAAUCUAGGAAUCUUGGAGUUAAAAGUCACUACAUCCUGCUUCUGGCUGGAAGCACUUGACAUGUCAUGUUUUUUUUAGUUGGUGAUUAUAUGUAGAUAGCUGUUCCCAUUUGUAGUUGGAAAUGAAUAUACUGAAUCUUACUCAUUCAUUCGGUCUCUCCUUGAGCUAUAUUCAGCUAAAUUCUGGUGCAGGUUCUGCAAUGGAUGGAGGAUGGAGGAAUUCAGCCUUCAAUGAAAAUGUACCAUGACAUACUAUCCUUUGCUCAAAAAAGCGCUGGAAUUCAGUAUGGAGCUACCAUACAAGAGUGUGUUGGUAAGUUAGCACUCAAAGGGGCAAUUAGCAUCUCUGUUGCAUACUAUUUAUGCAGAAUACCACUCCCUACUUAUUUACUAAGAAACUGAAGAAGCCUCAAAAAACUGAAGAUUUGUUUUGUUGCAUGCUUUUAUCUUGAGGAAUCUUUCUGGAAAAUUGCUUUUGACCCAUUUUUAUGCAUGUAAAUAAGAUAGUAGAAGGCAAUCAGAGGUUCCUGAAAGUGAGUUUUUAACUUUAAAAGUGAUUUUACAUUAGAACCUGAAUUCCAUUCCAUGCUUAAGCUUUCAAUUUUGUCACAAUGUGUGUGUAGCUCUAAGUAGUGGCAUCUGAACGAUUGCUUGGCUUUGAUAAUUCGAUUUAUCUUCAUAUAAUCCUUGAGUCUGACUGCAAAAAGCUUUUGACUCAAAUUGCUACUUUUUAGACUGAAUUGCAGAUAAUAUAUCACUUGAGUUGAUUGACUUGACCAAGCGUGGAAUUUGUUGGUCUAAUCAACUUCAGUCAAGCUACAAUGGCUUUGUAUUUUUCCUCAGGAAACCUUCUCAAAGGCAUUUAAUCAUGUAAAUCUUUGAGUUCUAUAAUUACUUCUUCUUCGAAUGUGAAUAGCUUGGGAUUGCUUAUGCUCUAUUUUUUGACUGAAAAUGUUCCACUUAAGUCUAGGUCUAGGACCAGAGUUACCUUGCACAUCAUGCCCAAGUAACAAGGAUGAAAUUGAGGAUCUUCUAUCUUGAUCCUUCCAUGUCUUCAUACGCAGGAAUAAACUUUUUCUCUUGCUCAUUUCAUUUGAUUACAAUUUUGAAUGCUUGACAGAAUCCAUGAAGAGGAGAAGUAAAGUUGAAGCAUCGCUGGAAAAGCCAAGAGAAUCCUCCUCGCAAGCCCAAGCAUUGGUAGGUGGAGUAAAUAUUUUAUAGGAAUGAUCUGGCAGUUGCAGUAGAAACAGGGUGUAUAAUCUUGAUGUUAUUACAUAUCUUGGAUAAACUUCCAUGGCUUGGUUUCAGGAAUCUAGUUUCAUUCGUCUGCUCAAUUUGAUAAAUAACAGAAAGGAUUAUAGCAGCUUAUCUCUCAAAUCACCGAGUCUGCAUCAGGGGUGGGGGAAAAAGCCAUAACAUGUAAAUGUCUCGCUAUAAUAGAUGCUCUGUUUCACGAAACAACUGUGUCAUCAGUUAGUGAUUUCUCCCAUUACUUGUUAGAGAUACAUAACGCCUAUAUGCAGGAUUUAUAACUGUGUGGUCCAAAAGAUUAUGUAAUUCAAAGCCAGAGAAAACGAUAGCGAGUUUACUCUUGGCUCAAGUGAAGGGCCAUAAUAAUGUCAAGUCAGUGAAAAUGGAAAGUUAGCUCCUGUGAUUUUUAAUCGGUUUUGCGUUGUAAAGUUUCACCGGCUUCAUUUUAAUUUUUUCUUUCUCCCUGUUUUUUGGAAAGGGAACAAAUUAUUUGGUUUAAAUCGAAUACUGUAACGCUGAACCUGUAUAUGGUUGUUUGUUCAACAAUUCAACCAGGCCUCCUGGGGCUGACUGAAAAGGGACAUUAUGCCAAUGGACCAUUCAGUGGUGUGUUAAUUAACAACCUGUGGAGAAAUUUCAUUCAUAAUGCAAUCGGAAAGAGUUUUUCACAAAAGAAAAAUUAAAGAGAGAGAGAGAGAGAAGGAGCAACAGGAGUCAAGAGUUGCGCGACCAAUAGGUAACCAGCAACCUGUUUAGAAGGUAUAAUUGUCCAAGCUCUUAGCAGCAAGUCAAAACAAAACUGAUGAGUUGACAAAACAUCACAUCUAUACGUGAAAUAACAGAAGAUACAUCUUGUAUUUUAUCAUGUGUAUACAUUCCCCCGUUGAAAUGCAAGCAGCCUUAGUUAAGUGUACAUGUAUUAACAAAUAAGAAAUGCUCAGGCCUCAGAUUCUAUUCAUACAUUCACCCUGUAUAGGUCCAAGCAUUACAAAGCAGAACAGGACAAAUUUUUAGGGCCAUCGAGAUUGUACUUUGAACCCCACAAGAGUAGUGACUACCAAGUUCAAGCUCAAUUAUGGAAAAGAGCAAUUGAUCUAUCCGAAACAACUGUGCAAUACCCAGAAUAGCGAUAAUCCAUAUGUUUAGCCUGAAAAGUCCAGUCUGCACAAUUCAAAAACCAGCAGGGUGGCAGCCACUACUCUUCAUGCAUCGUAGCAUCCCCCUAAAAAAUCAUAAUUAUUGAUGGUAAUGAACUCCAGAAGAGCAUUCAAACUGAAAGAGCAAAGUGCAGUGACAAACAAUCAGUGAUUAAUUUCCCAAACAGCAAAAGGUUUUAAGGGCCAUUGAAGUUGUACCAAAAACCCCCACAAAGUUGUGACUGCCAAGUGCAAAAUCAACUAUGCAAAAGCAAAUGAACUGCUGAAACAAUGUGCAACACCAAGAAUAGCUAUAAUCCAUGCCUAGCUUGCAAAGUCCGGUCAGCACAAUUCGACAUUCCUUGAAACAUCAUACUUGUUGAUCAUAAUGAACUGCCUAACAGCAAUUUUAUUAGAAGAACAAAGUGCAGCAACAACCAACCAGUGAUUGAUUUCCCAAAUAGCAAAAACAAAAGGUCAAAAGUGCACAAAACACCCAAAAAGACAUCAACAUGGCAAAAAGAACCAGAUUGUCCAAAAUCAAUGAAGUCAUGUUAAAAAAUCAAUUUGCGAAAAACAGUACCAUCGGCUAUUGCUUUUUUGGAGUUGGGAGGUGUAUACUUCUUGUCGUUUGCUGUUAGGUUUCCAAAAGAAAUCCAAAUUAAGCAGAAGGAUGACAAGUACAUUAAAAGAUAUGGAACAACAAUAUGAAAUAAUCCUAGCUACUUUGAAAAUUCUUGAUAUCAUAUGGGAAGAAAAAGUAAUUACCUACUAACACCAGCAGUGAGGAAUGAAUUUCCAAUGCAAUUGUGGUACACUGAACAGCAGAUUAUGGCCCUUGUCAUUUCUUGAAGAAGUUGGCAGUCAUCCAGAGUUGCUCGGACGGUUGUCUUUAAUUUCGACCAAAACUGCUGAGCAUCAUCUUAUUAUGUUUAUGAAUGAGAUGCUUACUGCUUCAGUUUGAAAGAAACAGAAGCAACCUUUGUCCUUUCAAUAAGAUCCAUAAAUCAUCACAGUACCAACAUGCACAAAAAACUCAAACCUCAUCCUCGAGGGGUUAAGAUUCAGAAGUGAGACUUCGGUCAAGAAGAGCAUAAGACCGACCGCUGAGUAGAAUGCAAAGGGCAGAAAUAAAAGUGAACUUUUGAAGCAUAGACCGCCUUCAUGAACCCAGAACAGACCCAUACUAACUUGUAUCUUAAGAUACAGAUCGGCCUUCAAGUAAAAUAUUUUGGGAACAGAACACAGACUUGGGUGAUUAAUAGGUAGCCAGUAACCUGUUUAGAAUACAAUGUCCAAGUUCUUAGCAGUAUGUCAGACCAAAAUGAACCAUGACAGGAAUCUGUUAAAACAAAAUCACAUCCAUAAAUGGAAAAAAUUAAAAACAUAAUUUAAAAAGAACAUGUUGUGAAUUCAAGCAGGCUUAAGGUACACGUAUUAACAUGUCAUGAAAUCUUUAGGCUCCAAAUGCCAUUUAUGUGUUCUCAUUGUAUAGGUCCAAGCAUUUCAAAACAAAACGCCACUACAUUUUUAGGGCCAUGGAAGUUGUACCUAUGAACCCCAAAAAGUAGUGACUGCCAAGUGCAAAGUUAGAUACUCAAAAGCAACUGAACUGCCAAAACAACUAUGCUACACCCAUGAUAGCUAUAAUCCAUCCUAGCUUGCAAAUUCCAAUCCAUAGAAUUCGACAACCAGCAGGGUGGCAGCUACCACCAUUCAUGCUUCAGAGUAUAUCCCUUAAAAAACCAUAACCGUUGACGUGAUUGACAGGGUUUCCGGUCUAAUAUAACGAACUCCAGAAAACCAUUCAGACUAAAAGAAGAAAGUACAGCAACAACCAACCAGAUAUUAAUUUCCCAAAAACACCAAAAAAGACAUUAAAAUGGCAGCAGAGAACCAGAUAUAGAAAAAGAAAUAAAAUUAUAUAAAAAUCAAAUAAUUUGAGGAAAACCGCACCAUCAGCUAUUGCUUAUUGGAGUUCAGAGUCGAUCUGGAUUGCUAAAUUCUCGCAAAAGGCCAAUCCAUAUACUUUUCGUCAUUUGCUGUCAGUUUUUCAGAAUAAAUCCAGUAUAAGCAGAAGGCUGGAAUACAUACAUUGAAAAAUAAGGAACAACAAAAGGAAAUAACCCUAGGUAGGUUGAUCAUUCUUGAAACAUUGUGGGGAGAAAAAGUGAUUACCCACUGACAGCGGUGAAGAAUGAAGAUCAAACACGUUCAUGGCACAUUGAACUGCAGCUUAUGGCCCAUGUCAAUUCUAGUAGAAACUGCUCUCUUCCAUGGUUGCCUUCGAUGGCACUCUUAACCUUUAAGCAAAACUGCUGAGAAUCAUCUUGUCAUGUUUAUGAUGGCUUAUGCUUACUGCUUCGUUUUUAAAGAAGAAGAAGCAGCAUCUGUCCUUUAAAUAGGAUCCAUGUAUCAUCAUGGUGCCAACAUGCAGAAAAGACCAAACUCAUUCUUCAAGGGACUCAGAAUUCAGAAGUGAGACCUUUACCCAGAAAAGCAUAUGAGCGGCUGCAGGAGUGGAAUGUGAAGGGCGGAAAUAGAAGUCAACUAGUGCAGUAUAGACCACCUUCAUGAACCCAAAACAGACCAGGUACCAAUGAUUUCUGUCUUAAGCAUACAGGUCUAGUUUCAAGCAAAACAUUUGGAGAAAUGGAAACCCAGAAUCUGAAACUGAAAACCAAGCCAUAACUCAUGUAAGAACCCAAAUUACCCAAUUUUAGACAACAGAAGUGGGUUUGUGGAUUUAAUCUGCCAGAUAAACACUACUUCAAAAAUAACCUCCUAGUACUCUCCAGAUGGGGCAGAGAAGAGCAUCCAAAAAUCUGCAACGUUGAAUGAAAACCAAUCGCUAGAAAACUUACCCAUGUGACACACUUUCCAGUUUUCUUACUUUUCUAUAUCUAUGAUGAAUUAAAAGGGAUUUAGUAUUUUUGUAAAGAUAGGAAUCUAAAUUGUAUCCCAUGGACUUCAUUUCUUUUAAGAGAUAAAAUGCAUCCUCCGCCUUCUCUUGAGAAUGAAGUAACAUAGUUAGUAGAUUGUUGCAGAUUCGUGGCAUCAAUCGGAUGCCUUUCUCCAGAGUGUACAGGAAAAUGCUAAUUGCCUGAUCCAGCUUUCCAUCAGUGCAAACACUCUGGAUUAACAUCACACAACCAGGAGCAGAUAUAUUUAUAGAAAGCUCCUCAAGGAUGGAGAAAACCUUUAAAGCCUCCUCUGUUCUUCGUGCCUGACACAGACCAAUGAGCCAAAUAUUAUAAGGUGCAGAAUCAAAAGUUACUGACUGAAAAUCAAUUUCAAGUAUCCCUUUAACAGCCAUUUCCAAGUUUCCCUCCUCAAAAUGUUUUUCAAUGGACCCAAUUUUUUCAUUUGCCUCACCACCAACAGCCUUCAUAUAUUUCAACCAAAUGCUAGAAGCCAGGAUGUCUUCAUAUUUCUGCAAGCCCAAGUCAUAAGUGACUUGUAAACCUCUGGGCCAGGCGUGCAUCCAUUAUUACUCAUCUGUUCAAAGAGCUUAAAUGCAUCCUCUUCACGACCAGCCCUCUGAAGCCCAUCUAUUAGAGUUCCAUAUGUGAUUUUAUCGGGAGAAUGCCCCUUGAGUUGGAGCUCCUCAAAAAGUUUGAAAGCACCAUUCAAAUUGCCACCUUUGCAUAAGCCAUUUAUCAAAAUGUUGUAUGUUAUGACAUUUGGUACAACCCCACUAUCAGCCAGCUGCAUGAGAAGCUUGUAAGCUUUUAAUAUCAGCCCAGAGUCGCACAAUUUCUCCACCAUUGUUUGGAGGCUUGCACUAUCAAGGACUCUAUCUGCACCCUGAGAAAGCCUUAGAAAUAAUGAAGGAUUUUUUCCUAUCUCCAUCCUGUAGAACAUAAGGUGAGCUUUCUCAAGCUGACCAGACAUACAUAAACCAUGAAUAAGAGCAUUAAAGGUUACAACAGAGGGAAAGCAGCCAAUCUUCUCCAUCUCAUCAAAAAUAUUCUGCGCCUCUCGAACCAUGCCAUUCUCACACAAAGCACAAAUUAAAACAGUAUAAGUGCAUGUAUCAGGGAAGAGAUCAUUCCUUGAAAUUUCUAGCUGAAGAGACCGCGCUUGAUCUAACAGACCUAUGUCACAGAACCCCUUAAUUAAAGUAUUGUAACAUUGAGUAUCUGGUACAACACCCCUUUGUGUCAUGUCCUUCAACAGAUUCAAAGCAUCCUUUAACCUUCCAGCUUGCGAUAGCCCACGCAUCAUAGUCGUAUAUAAUACUCGAUCAGGUAUCACAGGAAUCUCAAAAAGUUUCUGAAAGAGUUCGUGUGCUUCAUCAAUCCUACGGGCUCUAAUCAAGCCAUCAACCAAACAACUGUAGCCUGGUAGUUUAACGGCAUAGCCAUCUUUUGUAAAAGACUUCAACAGGGCAAAUGCCUCAUCAACCCUGCCUAACUUACAAAACCCAUUAAGCAAAGCAUUAUAAGUGACAUUAUCCGGCAAACAACCACUAGUCUUCAUCAAAUUAAACAGCCUAUGUGCAUCAUCAGUCCUCUUCGCCUGACACAAACCCGAGAGAAUCACAGUGUAGGUAAUCUUACUAGGCAACAAUCCUAGAUCACGCAUUUCAUCAAACAGAUGCAACGCAUCCUGAGUCUUCCCACUCUUGCACAACCCAUGGAUCAAAAUGUUAAAAGUCGAGCGAUUAGGCCUACAAUUUGAUUUCAACAUCAUAUUAUACAGUGCCAACGCUAACAAAAUGACAUCUUUCUUAACUACAACAUGCAAUGUUGUGUUAUAAACAAAUAAAUCCGGUGUACAAUCGAACUCUCUCAUUUUCCGAAUGUUUCCACGGCCUUUUCAGCAUUUUUAAUCUUCCAAUACGCCGAAAUCAAUACGACCAAUGCAGCUGAAUCCAUAGGACCCAACCGUUUCCUAACCUCGUCAAAAAUCCUCCAAUAUAACUCAAACCCAUCAAGAUGACCACUUUUACCACUACAAUUAUCCCCAACAAGCAUGUCAACUAUUAAACUAUGUGAAGCCCGACUGCGAAGACGCUUGUUCUUCAUAGCCCAGAUAAAAAAUCUAAAUCCCAAUUCAAGGUUUUUCUUUUUUUCUUCAAUAACAGAAGCUACCACUUCACGAGUUAUAAAAGGGACUACCUUCUCAAGAGCUGGCUCCAUUGGGCUAAUUUGCUCAAUGAUAUUGAGAACCUCAUUGGUGACCGCCAAUUUGCAAGAAGAUGAAGAAAAUGAUGCCCGGCGACGGUGAAGGUUAUACGAAUAAGAACGGGAAAUCACAUCGGAAGUCGUCUUUCUUAACAUUUUCAAUUGGUGGCGCUGAGAAGUUCGCCUGCAUGAAAUCGGAGCAUUGUGGCUAGCAGUAAUGGGCCUGUUGUCUGUUGCGGCCUAUUGGAGGAAUGGGCUUUGGCCUUAAGUACUUGGACGCAUCAGAACAGCCAAGUCCAAUUUGUUUUGCAGUUCAGCCUAAAGUCCGAAAUGGAGUUCCUAUCGGCAGCGAAUGUGGGGUGUAGGCGAGUCAAGUUACUUCUGAAUAACUUGCAACUUGCAAGCAAAGUUCAGGCAUUAGUAUCUAGUACUCGAGUGUUCAACGAGUCUAAUCUUUUUUUUUUUUUUUUUUUCGGAAACGAUAAAUCUAAUCUAUCCUAUGUUAAGGGGAAGGGAUGGGUCUAAGGAGGCCCAGAAAUAAGUCGGAGGGGACUGAACCACCACUAGACCAAAUGAGUGCACAGCACACCCGUCUAAUCAGAUAGAUUAGGUUCAACGAGUCUAAUCGGAUAGUUGUAUUAUUUAUAUAAUAUAUAUAUAUAAUUAUAAAAUAGCUAUUAUGGGUUCAUGUUUUAUCAAAAAUCGAACUCAAACAUCGUGCUGCUACUCAUGUCCGACUCGACUUGAUAGCACUGUACUGGCGAAUUCGUUAAAGAGUGAAUAAAGGAUAACACGAUAAAUAAAAGAAAGUAAGAUACUAUCUUACUACUAAUCUUGUUAUUAAUAUGAAAAAAAUAUACAUAUUCAAUGUUUAUUAUUUUUAAAUUUUGGUGGUAAAAUAAGAAUUUUGUUAUAUUAGUUAGUUAUAAUUAAUUUAUAAAACUAUUAAUUACUCGUGUUUUAUUUCUUUUUAUAUAAAUCUUAUUUCGUGAUACUAAAUUGUAACUUAUCGACAAAUAAAAAAAUUUUGUAAUUACCAUGCACUAGAAUGUGCAUAAAUCACAAGUUUGAAUAAUUCUUUAAUUAAGAAAUAUCGCUCAAAGAUAGAAGAUCAAAAAAAUAGAGUUAAAUGUCAAAGUUUGCAUGCCACUACAACUUAACGUUGUGCAAUUUAUUUAUUUAUUUUUUUUUUUGUUGUGACUAAAGCAGUAUUUUAAUGGUGACGGAGGAAACUGAAUAAUUAAUUGGUUAAAAUGUUGAAUUUGAAUAAGUCGUCAAAUCCAAGCUAGAAAAGUUCGUUGCACCUCUUUUGCUUUGUUUGCCAAGGUCACUUUUGUCAGAGGAUGACUUGGAGCCACGUCUUUUGAGUUUUGAGGAUCUAUAAACAAAUAAACAGCGCCAAUAACGAAUAACCACGAAACCCUCAUCUUUGUUCAUUUUCGCCGUCCUCAAGGAUGGAUGGAGAAUAAAAAUUAUAGAAAUGAUGUAUUUAUGCUAUCCAUAAACAAAGAUAAUCUAUCCUAAAUUCACUUGUCCUCUUGCCACAUCAUUCCAAUUUGUUAGAAGAGCCAAAAAUCAACUAGCAAUUAGUCAAUUGUAUGAACUACUAUAUAAAUUUGCAAUUCAGCGGUGGUGGGCUGAAGUUGUACGCAUCAAUCGCACGAGGUUGGUCCAAUGGUUAGGAGAUGUUUUUUUAUUGUUCUUUCUGAUAUUGAGUUCAUGAUUCGAAUUCUAUAUCUAGUAUUGUCGGGAGUGAAAAUUGUGUGGGAAAGAACGGAAGGGUUACAAAAAAAAAAAAGAUAAAAAAAGGAUCUUUCUUCACUUCAUUUUUUAUUUGCAACCAACCAUUUCCUUGACGAAGGACUUGACUCUUCUUCGGUGGAUUCUCUAUCUAUUUCUCGCAGUACAUGUUUAGAUGCACGACACGUGUCUUUAUUUGUUAACAGAUAUUAGGAUUAAUCAAAUUUAAAAUGAUCAUGUCUCUUUCUAGUAAAUGAAUACACAUGUCAUAUACUUAGAUAUACAAUGCGAGAAAUGAAGAGAGAAUCCACUGAAAAGAACCCAAAUCACCUUAAUUAAUGAAAUGCACAUGCAAUUUUUUUUGCAAUCAAAUCUAGAGACUAUCAAUUGUCAAAAUCAUCUAUCCAAACCAAGGGUGCAAGCUUUAGAAACAGAUUUUUUUUUUUUGGUCAUACAUAACAAAUAUAUCAUUGCAACAAAUAUAAUUCAGAAACAAGUGAUGUAUCUCUCAUGAUUUGUAUGAUCAUUACUAUCUUAAAAUUGAACUUAAAUUUUUACAGUUGAGAAAUCCAAUUUCAUUGCAAAAUGUAACACAAAAUUUUUUUUUUUGGGGGGCCGGGGGGGGGGGGGGGAGGGGAUUGGGGGACUAAAAGUCUAAAACAGUUUUCCAAACUAUGUUGCUGCCACGAGGGAGGAUAUGCAUGUAAAGUUAUGGUGGCUGCCACGAGUUCCACAAGUGGUUUAGAAUAGUCUUAUUUUUUAAUUAUUUUUCAGGCUUAAAAGCGAAGGGAUAAGGGCCAGGGGUCGGCUGCGUGGGCAAUAAUGAGAUGGAGACAAGCUCAGCCGCUGCACCGUGGCGCCUCGACAUCAAGGUGGGGAUAACAGAUCAAAACGGUACUCUUUUGAUGUUGUGACUGUGUGUUUAAGGAAAAUAUCAGAGCGCAGUGUGGGCCCGCCAGCCAUUUUAGGUGCUUUUACGCUGCUAACCUUGAUUUCCACUCUCUAUUAUUGGUUAGUAUUUAAAUAGUGAAUGUGCUUUUGACUAUGUGUUUAUUAAUACGAAAAAACUAAGGAAACUUAUUACUGAAAGGUAGAAAUGAAUUAUCAAAAAAAUAUGAAAUAAGUAGUAAUGCUCCCUCCGUCCAAUCUGUUUGUUAUAUUUCGGGAAUCUAACUUUUUAAAAAUAAUAUUUUAAUUAUGAAGUUUAUACUUUUCUUUUCAAUUUUACUCUCCAAAUUUCAAAUUUUAAAUUUAAAUAUAAGAUAUCUUUGAAUAAAAGAAGGCACACUUUUGGAACAAAGGUUAAAAACGGCUUUAAGUUUUAUAAUAUGACAAAUAUUUUGAAAUAUUUCAAAAUAAAAAGUAUACAGAUAAUAUAAAUUAUUUCAAAUUGAUAUGUCUAAAUAAUAAUUAUGUGAUAAAAAAUUAUUUACUUUAUCACAAAAAUAUUUUUGAGAAUAUUUAUUUUAUUAUUUUAAAAUUAUUUUUUAUUUCAUAUAUAUCACAUCAUAAAAAUAUUAUAAUAAUUAUUUUAACUAAUCUUUCAAAUAUGAUAGGUUAAUUUUUUUUUUUUUAUGAAUGGUCAACAGCGUAACAUACACGAGUCAUAUGAAUUAAGGGUAAAACAUUGGACCACAGAUUUAUGAAUUUCGUCGACAUUGACUAGUAGGUGGCAUAAGCCAAGCAGCCAAGGGGGUUCUAGAAGGAUUUAGUCAGUGGUCAGGGGCGACAUUCCCCAGCUAACUCCAGAUUGUGACGGCUAAAGGUGUUGCCCCCAUAUUUUGCCAAUUUUAUAGAUUUGGCACCAUAUAUUUUUGCUUUCCUGAUGUCAAGCGUGGGAUAUUCCUUCUCUACAGCAGCAUAUACUAAGUAACUAAUUGAUUUACAAUAAAAAUUAAUAAUAACUGACCCCUUAGGCCUACGAAUUGCACAGGUGUAAAUAGUUAGUCUAUCAAAAGAUUUGACAAUUUUGAUUUUAGAAAAAAAAUAAAAUAAAGACAACUUGGUAAGACACAACACUUGGAGCAAAGGAUUAUGGCCUCAUUAUUAAUUACUGCAAUAUCUGUUCGUUUCAUUGUUCUUAGUCUUCGAAGGUUGACAGGAUUUUAGUACUUUUAAUUGACUCAUUUGCUUUACAUGAAUUAAAAAAAAUUAAAAUUCCAUGUUGGGCAUUACUAACUUGAAGCUGGAAAUAUUCAAGAAAAUGAAAAAUUAGAUAGAUAUUAAUAAUGUUCUCAACUUGCUACAUUUUUUUAAAAAUUAUUAAAGUUUAACUAUAUUGACUAAAAGAUAAACAAAUUGAACAUCCCAUUAUUUCGUCGGAACUUAAAUUUAAAUCUGAAACACUUCAAUUUUCUAUUUUAGCAUUGCACGUUUCAAAAUCUCUGGCACCUCUAACACAGUACCAAAUACUCACAUGUAACUAGUCUUUAGAGUAUUAAAUAUUACCAAAGAAAUGAAUGUACAAUACAAAUGCUUUAACCUAAUUUUUUGAACUUUUAUGCCGUGUUAUGUAGUACUUUUACAAUUAUAAACUGCGAUUAAUGACUUGAAUGAGUUCAAUAUGCGUAAAUCGAUUUGGGUGAAUGUUUGUACACACUUCUAAUGUAUGGAAUUUUAUUGUUUAUUGGCUGCAUCUUAGCAUCUUAUUGUAAUUCAAUGAUGUACAAUUCAUGAUUACCUUAAACAAUUUAGCAAUGUCCAUCGUAUCUUAAAAUUGUAGAGAAGAAAGGAAGAAUGGAGCAGGAAUUCCAUGCACUCCUUUCAACUAAUUGAAACAGGUUAAUAUUUAUGAAAUUUCUAUCUAUGAUUAUAAUUCAAUACACUCUUAUCAUAUUAUUACCUCUAAAAUCAUUUAAAGGUUGAUAUCUUUUUUUUUUUUCACAAAUCCAAUGAUGAAUUGAUAUUCAUUGGUAUAGAUACCUGCUCAAAAGGUAUGGUAAAACUCCCCUAUAGUGCCUUUACAAAUCCAACGAUAAUUGAUUAUAGGAUUUUUUUAAUGAGUGCUCAUCGAGCACUUACUAACACACCUAAAAUUUACCUAACUUACUAUAUAUAUACACAUAUUAUAAUUAUUACUUUCUCUUGUAUUUAUAUACUUUUCUAUUUAAUUGUAUCCACCCUCAUUUGUACUUAUUUAUUUUUUUAAUUAAAUUUUAUAUUUUAAAAAAUAUGACACGUGAAACAUAUUUUAACGAGUAGCCAAACAAACAGACCCCCAUAUUAAUUGUGCCAAAGAGCAACUACAUAUAAAGUCAGGGAGCCGGAGCAAAUUGAAGAGAAUACAAGUAAGAGAAUACCCGGUAAAAGGAAUGAGAAAAAUAUUUCAAAGAGAACAAAUAAGAAUAGACAAACGUUUCAAUUGAAGUUUCUUUUAACGAAGACCCCCGUCAAGUGUCAUUACUCAUCAGAAUCAACUUUCCUACAUAUGUUUUCACUCCUCCCCCUUUCAGCUCUUUCGUGCCACCUGCUCGAUCCAUCUCUUUGUCUGAACCCCUUUUUCCUUUAUCAGUCUAUUGAUAAUUAUUCCCUUUAAACCUUGAAAAAAAAGUAAGAAAAUGGUGCGCAGUAGUUAAGAGAAAAAGUAGUUAUCCUCAUACUCAUGCUGGUAAUGUUUUCUUGUACGUCUUUAAGUUUAAGGUGAUUUCUGAUAGUGAAAGGGACCAUAAUUCUGGUCUAUCAAGAAUGGGAGUAAAAGGGUUUAUGGAGAAUCAUCUAAAUAUUAGCAAGAAGGAGAGAAAUAAAGUGAAAGAAGAAGAGAUGAAGAGGAGCUCAAGAAAACAAUUGAAGGCUAUGCUUCGCAAGAAUUGGCUUUUGAAAAUUCGACACCCUUUUGUUACUCUUACAGAGGUCAGCACUUAGAUCUUAAGCAACAAUUGCACACACUACACACACUAAUACUGUGAUAAAAGAGUGGCCUUUUGUUGAAGAAUUCAUGAUCAUUGUUUCUAUGUAAUGGAAUGGGUUCAAGGCUACGAGGUUCAGUUAGAAAGAUGAUUUUCUUCAAUGAAUCAAUGCCUUUUUCUUAUAGAUUUGAAUGCUAGGUUGGAUUGUGAAAAUUGCCUUUUUUCAACUCUUCUGGAGUUGAGUCUUGAAUGUUGAAGAAAUACAUACUUUGACACUGUGAUGAACCAGUACUCUUUACCGAAUAAGUUGUAAUUAUAGAUGUAGUUAAUCAAUUGGCCUGACCUUUUUAUAAGUUAAUUUGAAUUGCUUGCUUGGACUAUAACACGUGUUUCUCCCCCCUUCCGAGUUUAAAUUCUAAUCUGGUCACCUUAAAUUCGAAGCCAUACGCACUUAUGCAGACACUACUAUUAUGAUAAAUGUAUGUUCUCUUUAUUGAAUUAUUCGUGGUCAUUAUAUUUCGUUAUUGGAAUAAGUUGGAGUUUUGACGAUUUUCUUGGAUGAACAAUGACCAUUUACAUUGAAACUUGGAGAGCUUAGUUGGACAAUGGAAUUCGUUUUUUUUGCUUUUUGUUACUCUCGUUAAGGCCAGUCUUAAAUAUUAAGUAACAUACACUUGCGCACGGCCUAAUGCUAUGAUUAGGAGUUCUCCUUUAUUUAAACAUUGCCCACCAAUAGAUUUACUCUAUAGAUUAUGUUCAUGACUUUGAGUGUCAGUUAUGUUUGCAAGAUUUUCUUGAAUGAACAACGGCCAUUGUCAUAUAAAUUGGGAAUCUUAUAGUUGCUUUAUGGCAUUUCCUUACUCUUAUGGGCGUCAGUCCCCAGUGUUGACCUACACUCUUGAAACACAUCCGCACUGUGAUCAAGCAAUCUCAUUUACUGAAAUAAUUCAUGAUCAUUGUUUCUAACCAAUGAGAUAUGUGCAGGAUUCUGCGUGUUAGUUAAUUUGCAAGAUUUUUUUUCCUUUUUGGUGAGAAAUGAUGAUUUUUCAUAUAAAUCUGAGUAUACAUAGAAUUGUUUUUCUUUCCUUUCUCUGUCUUAAAUAGUCUUAAUCUUGGCAGUGAGUGAUUUUCAAGAUCUUGGUGGAGUUUAUGAUGGUUUUCCUUGGAGGUCUUUGAUAUUGGUUCUUUGUUGCUGAUUUUGUUGCCCUUUUCUUCAAGAGUUUGAUUCAGAGUUAAUAUGUUGUUCUUCUUUGGUGGUAAAAAAAAGGAAUAUAACUUGGUUUAUUGAGAGUUCCGUUUAAUGGGUGAUUAUACUCUCUUUGUCUAUUUGAAUGAGGGUGUCUUUUGCUUAACCAUAGAAGAAGUUGAUAGUUUAAUUCUAAUAAAAAAGGUAACAUUCAUUUGUAAAUGAACAGGACAUGUUCUUAUAUCGGUGUUGUUUAUGCUUUUAUCAUAGAAUGGUCUGUUGAUUUGUCUUCACAAGUUUGAAAUCUUGAAACUCUGUUUUUCUGGUCGGUUGGAAGUUAAUCUUGAAAACAAUUUACUCUCAACUUUAGAUUUUGGGCUUACUAGCAUUACAUGUUAUCAAAUCAACUGAAGCUUACCACUUGUAAUUUACUCUCUUGAUCUACAGAUUUUGCUCCCCACUGUUGUAAUGCUAUUGCUAAUAGCUGUGAGGUCGCAAACUGAUUUGCGAAUCCAUCCGGCCCAAGCGUAUGUUUUUUAUGCACCUACUUAUGUUUCAUUGUGAUAUGGCAUGUAAGCAAGCAGGAACCUGAUGUGGCUAUUCCUGAUUUCUCAUUUCUCUAAAGUAGACCACCUGCAGAACCACACAAUCAUAAGCUUUAUUUCACCGUCAACCAUCCUAUCUGGCAUCUAUUAAUCUAUUAACAGAUGAAGUGUGUCAAAACUUAUCAAACCCCUUCGCUCUUUAACUCUUUUUGCUAAUAUAUAAAUUUUUUUGAGCCUAAUAUAUGAAUAUUUGUUUCCCCUAUUCAUGGUGGAAACUGGAAACCAGUAAUUGUCUACCUGAUUGUUGUUCACAAAGUCCUUUAAGAUCCCAAUUACUUAGUCCACUCUGACUGGACAUGCAUAUAGUUUGAUUGAGUAUUGAUGAUUAACAGGAAUUGCAUUUUGGUUUUUCCUGUAUAAUUCUCUGAUCUCUCAAUCCCUGCAAGUAGAAUGCAACAAUCAUAUACAUGCCAAUCUUGUGAUGAGUAGCAGUCAAAAUUGAUAUGCAUUACCUAACUUGACAUGGAAAGAAUCUUGUCUUGACUAGCGACAAAGAGGACUUUCUAUAGUGAUUUUAUUCAACAGAACAGUCAAGUUUUAAAAUGUGAGUCUUUUCUCUGUGUACAUUCGGAGUUUGUGCUACAACGUGGUAUUAAUCAUUAGGCAUAGUAGAGUCCUGAACUCUCUUGUUGUUUACUUCUUUGUAAUUGUUGAAGUUUCUGCUGCUUGUGUUCUCUGGGGAUGUAAGAGAACAUGUAAAUUUUUUCUUUUUGGAUAUGGGUUGGAGAAGAAAAAUGUUAUUUCUAAUGCUAAUCGGUGGUUGUUAGAAAAUUUAAUUUCAUUGUUUAGCCUUUGAUAAUUGCAGAAAUGGUUUUUUUAAAUCUUAUCCUGUUUUUCAAUGUUAAAUUUCUGUCAGUAAAUGGCGACUUACUUGGCAGAUGAACAUAAAAGAGAUUUGGAAAUAGAAAAAAAAAAGAGGCUGAAUAAAAAGUAACAUUUGAAGGAUGUAAAAGAUCUUUGUUCUUAUUUUGUCCGUAGUUACGAGAAAAUACUCCAUUUAUGCUUACAUGGGGAUUUACUCAUUAUUUGAUUAGUUUAAUGUAAGGGUAACCAUUUGUAGGUAUAUUCGAAAAGACAUGUUUGUACAAGUGGGAAAAAGUGAUAUAUCUCAGCCUUUUGUCGACAUUCUCCAGUUUUUGUCAGCCAAAGGGGAGCAUUUGGCUUUUGCACCUGAUACAAAUGAGACAAAGAUGAUGAUCAAUAUAUUAUCUUUAAAAUUUCCUCUGCUGAAGGUAUGUUGUCAAAAUUGUUAAAUCUUUUCUUUAGAAUAAAUUGAUAGAUUUUUCAUGACGUUUUUUUCUUUGUGAGAAAUUGGGAAACUGGCUUGAUUCUAGUAGUACAGUCUUUAAGAAAGUUGUUAAUUUGUUCUUUUUUGAAUGCUGAUGGUGGUUACUAUUAUUAGAUUUGGUCAGCUUACAAUUUCUUUAUUUUUUUAAUGUCUUCUUGCAUAAUUUGUACUUUGGCAUGUGAAUGUUAAUAUAUGUCUUUGAGCCCUGAAGUCAGCACCGAUGUUUGUUGUUCACUUGGAGAUUUUCUAGCUAGAACACCUUUGCACUUUCUGAUUUUCCUUGAUGUCCUUAGACUGACUACUUCCUAAAAAUUCCUUUAGUUUUUCAUUUUUAGAGAUAUGUAUAAGUUGUAUUGGAAUUGUUUCCUUCACUCAGUAAAGGUGCUCAAUUGCCAUGUGGCUAAGUUGUCACGUGUUAUUUAUGUUGUAAAAUUCGUCUUGGCUCUCAUUAUUUUGUCUUCAGCUUGAAUAGGUUAAGAUCGAUAAUGUUCUACCUUAUCAUAAUAUUUGUAUAUUAGUAGUUAGCAUUUUCAUUGUAUACCUCUUGUUGGAUGCUUAACUUUCUCACCAUGGGGAGCUCAUAUUGUUAUCUAGAACUCUAGUCUUUAUGCUGUAAUUUGUAAUUUCUUGACCAGUAGCAUAUUAGAAUCUCUAGUUACAUCUCUUAGUGGCUUUCUUCUGAUUAGCCUGUUAAACCAAAUAAUAUAUUUUUUUUCUCUUGUAUAAUUUCUACAUUUCCUCAGACAAUUGAGAAUCAUCUUUCUUGACAUUUAUGUUCUUACUGUUUAAUUCGUGAUUGUAAAUUUCACCCUUGCAUAGAUGGUUGCAAGAGUUUACACGGAUGAAGAAGAGCUUGACACCUACAUUCGUUCAAAACAUUAUGGUGCUUAUGAUAAAGAAAAGUAAGUUUAUUAUCCAGUUAUUGUAUUCUGUUAUGGAAUGUGAAGUGGCUAUCACUUAAAGAAAUGUUUCACUACCCUAGGUAGUGAAAAGAACAAGUAGCAUUACAAACCUUGAGAAAAGAAGAGUUUGUUUUUACUUUAGUUGUUCAGCUUUAUUUUUGAGGUGGUAUGCAUUGGGAAAAACCUUCAUUCUUACUUUCAUAUACACUUAUUGAGUCCGUCAUAUGCAAGUUUUAAGGUGUAGAUGAUCAUAGUUUAUCGUUGCAGAGGUCCAAUAUCUCUCUCUCUCUCUCUCUCUCGCAGAAAUAUAUCUCCUUAUCAGUUUUCUACUUGCAUUGUUUCUUCUAGUAUUGCAGUACUUUUGAAGUUACUUGUCAGAAAAUAAUUUUGUACUGCAUUUGGGGAGUAAACUUGAGUUUCUUCAUGUACUCUGUUGAGUUGGUCUUUUUUAUCGAUAAUUGGAUGAUUGGUUUGACAUAUAAAUUGUUUUUUGUUUGAAGUUAGUCAAUAUUUCAAUCAUUGGUGUUUUGACACGUAAAAGUUAUGAAUAUUGUUGUUUUUCCAUAUAUUUGAUAUUUGCGUUGGAGUCCAACAUUGUAGGAUUUAUCUUAUUAGUUGGUAGGAAUUAGCUGUAAUUAGUCUAAGAAUACAGCUAUGUAAUUAGUCUAAGAUAGCUGCUGUAAUUAGUCUAAGAAUACAGCUGUAUAUAGUCUGUAAUUACGGACUAUAUACAGCUGUACAUGGCUGAUCAUUUAACCUAGUUACUUGUAUAAAUAGAUCAAUGAAAUAUAUAAAAUAUACGUUUUAGCAUAUUUAAUAACUUGGUAUCAGAGCCUUGGGGUUUUUCCUUGCUCUCCUCUUCUCUGAAAAUUCCGGCCAUUCUUUCAAUAGCUCACACUGCUGAAAUUUCUUCUCUAAAACACUAGUCAUCACAAUAUGUCAACCAAACCUGAUGUUGAAUCUCCUAACAGCAAGAAUCUCUCCACUCUAACCAUACAAGAUGCUUCUUCUUCCAUCCACAUUAAAUUGGAUGGCACUAAUUAUCGAGUUUGGUCCAUGAUUUUGGAGAUGCAUAUUGCUAGAAGAAAAAAAAUGGGCUAUAUUAAUGGAAAAAAAGCUGCACCAGCAGUAGAUGAUUCAAGUUAUGAUGAAUGGGAAGCUGAAGAUUCUCUUGUCAAAUCUUGGCUCAUUAAUUCAAUGAGUGAUAAUCUGAUAUCUCACUUUGUACAAUGCGGCACAGCAAAGGAAGUUUGGGAUGCUGUAAAAAGAAGUUACCUUGAUGUAUCGGAUUCCUCUGAAGUUUAUGAACUAAUGAAGAAGACUUUUCAUUUACAACAAGAUGGUCGGCCUCUAGCAGGAUAUUACAACGAAUUAAACUCAACCUUUAUGGAGCUCGAUUAUCGACGGCCCAAUGACAUUGACAUGACAUGUGCUGCUGACAUUGAAAAAUAUAGAAAUUGUAUUGCCGAAGUUGGGGCAUAGAAAUCACUAUAUCGGACAAAGCAUGUUGAAAUUGAUCGGACUUUGAUGUAGUUCCUAUCUUUGAUGUAGUACAGCUGUAUAUAGUGAUUUCUAUGCUCCAACUUCGGCAAUACGAUUUCUAUAUUUUUCAAUGUCAGCAGCACAUGUCAUGUCAAUGUCAUUGGGCCGUCGAUAAUCGAGCUCCAUAAAGGUUGAGUUUAAUUCGUUGUAAUAUUCUGCUAGAGGCCGACCAUCUUUUGUAAAUGAAAAGUCUUCUUCAUUAGUUCAUAAACUUCAGAGGAAUCGAUACAUCAAGGUAACUUCUUUUUACAGCAUCCCAAACUUCCUUUGCUGUGCCGCAUUGUACAAAGUGAGAUAUCAGAUUAUCACUCAUUGAAUUAAUGAGCCAAGAUUUGACAAGAGAAUCUUCAGCUUCCCAUUCAUCAUAACUUGAAUCAUCUACUGCUGGUGCAGCUUUUUUUCCAUUAAUAUAGCCCAUUUUUUUUCUUCUAGCAAUAUGCAUCUCCAAAAUCAUGGACCAAACUCGAUAAUUAGUGCCAUCCAAUUUAAUGUGGAUGGAAGAAGAAGCAUCUUGUAUGGUUAGAGUGGAGAGAUUCUUGCUGUUAGGAGAUUCAACAUCAGGUUUGGUUGACAUAUUGUGAUGACUAGUGUUUUAGAGAAGAAAUUUCAGCAGUGUGGGCUAUUGAAAGAAUGGCCGGAAUUUUCAGAGAAGAGGAGAGCAAGGAAAAACCCCAAGGCUCUGAUACCAAGUUAUUAAAUAUGCUAAAAAGUAUAUCUUUUAUAUAUUUCAUUGAUCUAUUUAUACAAGUAACUAGGUUAAAUGGUCAGCCAUGUACAGCUGUAUAUAGUCUGUAAUUACAGACUAUAUACAGCUGUAUUCUUAGACUAAUUACAGCAGCUAUCUUAGACUAAUUACAUAGCUGUAUUCUUAGACUAAUUACAGCUAAUUCCUACCAACUGAUUUACAUUGCUUAUGCAGUAGUAUACAAGUCUUCUUUGUGUCAAUGAUAUUAGCUGCUUAGAAAAUUUAGUUUUGCAUGUUCUGUGGUUAUUGGCUUGUGGUCUUUUCUCUUGCUUAGAAAAGUUCAACUUGAAAUUGGAAAUCAUCGUUCCAGGUUAUAAUCUCCAGAAAAAUCUUAGUUUCCUUUCACUUUUGGUGUGUGUAGGAACUUCACAAAUCCAAAAAUUAGAGGAGCAGUUGUUUUUCACAAUCAAGGUCCUGAGAUGUUUGAUUACAGCAUAAGGUUGAACCACACAUGGGCUUUUUCAGGAUUCCCUGAUGUCAGAACAAUCAUGGAUGUGAAUGGUCCUUAUAUGAAUGACUUGGAAUUAGGGGUCAAUACAGCUCCAAUUUUGCAAUAUGGCUUUAGUGGAUUUUUGACGGUACAUUUCUGUCUCCCUUUUCUUGUAGCCUUUAGUUUGUUCUUUAUUCAUCCGAAAAUUGCUUUUCUACUGUUAUGACUCUUCUCAACAUUUGAGCAGUUAAUGUCACAUUAUUCAUAUGAAUUAAACACAAUUGUCAUUUAGUCCUGGAUGCAGAGCUCACAAACUUAAUAGAAUUACAUUUCAAAAAUGCUUUCUUGUAUAAUCUUUAUUUUGCUAAUACUAGACUAGUUGAGAAGGUAGUUUCUAGGUUCUAGUGCUUUUCUUACACUGCAGGGAAAUGGAGACGGUGUUCUGAAAGUAGGUUUCUUGGGGUGAAUUCCUCUUUUUUGAAAUGUUUACACUUGAUGCUUGUCUUUAAAACUUGGUGAUUGUGGAAUAAUCCAUUUUUAGUAGUUCUUAAGCAUGUCAGCUAACCUGUGAAAGUUUAUCCUAAUCAUUGGGUGAUGUUAUGUAUGCAAAGAUUGUUAGAGAACUAGAUGCUACCACCUCUUAGCUUGACUGAAGCUUCUGCUGGAUGAUUUUAAUAACUUUGUUUGUCUUCUACUUUCUACUGUUUGGAAUUCUAACCUUUUUAAUGAACUGCAGUUCAUGAAGUUAUUAUAAGUUUUCUUUUCCUUGGUAUCGGACCUCUGCAGAGCCAUUAAUCAGAUUUUUGCUCCUACUUUUCUUCUUACAGCUCCAACAAGUCCUGGACUCUUUCAUUAUUUUUGUUUCCCAGCAGAAUAUAGCUAAUUUAUCUAUUGAAGAACGUGGGUUGCCUCAGCAAUCAGCCAGCAUAAGGUCGGCUGUUGAGGUACCUUGGACCCAGUUCAGUCCUUCGAACAUAAGCAUAGUCCCAUUUCCAACUCGUCAAUAUACUGAUGAUGAGUUCCAGUCAAUCGUCAAGAAAGUAAUGGGAGUACUGUAUGUAUAUUAAAACCUCUCUUUUUUAUGGUCUUUUUGCUCAAGUUUUCUGACUUCUGUGCAAGCUUAAAUACUCUUUCUUUGACUUUCAAUCUGAUCAGGUACUUGCUUGGAUUUCUCUACCCCAUAUCUCGUCUUAUAAGCUAUUCUGUCUUUGAAAAGGUCAGCCAUAUGUAUGCUUUUUUUUUUUUUGGUCUAUCCAAACUUGUGAUCUUCCUCUGAAUUGCAUUCUUUUGGCUAAAACUAAAAAUUGAAAGUUUUGUUCUUUAAAAGCAUUUGAUAUGAGUUCAUUUGAACUGCUAAUACUUCAGGAGCACAAGAUAAAACAAGGUCUUUACAUGAUGGGAUUGAAAGAUGAAAUAUUCUAUCUUUCUUGGUGGAUAACAUAUGCUUGCAGGUAAAAAUAACUUCUCUUUGAUUUGCACUGUUAUUGUGGCAUUACAUCUUCAUGUUGGCUGUUAUUUAUAGUCAUAAAUAGUACUUCAAAUUGAUAGCUUUCCUCUAAGCAUUGGAUGAAUCCUCUUUUAUUACUUGGAAAUAUUGCCUUGCUAAGUUUAAAUGGAAGGCUUUAUGUACUAUUGGAGAUUUUGCUUGAUCUAAUUGUUGAAGAUUGUUUUUCUAUCUACCUGAUAGCAAUAAAGUAGCAGUAACCUUAUUUUAUUUAGAGUAAUGGAACAUCUAGUUUGUGUGUAAGAUGUUUCAGACUCUGCCACAAUCAAUGAAAUCUGUCUUUUGAAAUUGUGAGACCACUACCUAAAAUUUAGGGACACAAAGAAAGAAGGUAGAGUUGGGAUAUGAAACUCUAUAGGAAAGCAUGGGAAAGAAAAGAAUGAAAGAUACUUUAAGUGACAGUUGUAUCAUUGGUAGCACCUUGAUCCAAAAGGAGAUGAGGAAGCCCUAAAUGCCUCAUUGGAAGGAUGGGUUGAAUAAAGAAUAGCAGUGGUAGCUACAGGGAUCAAGCUUGAGCAGUUGUAACAAGGCCUUUAAUUAAGAAAAUGAGUCUAGCUCAUUGUUAGAAAUUUUGAACCUCUAUUAUCUCUUAGCUUAAUUGGAUUGGUUUUAGUGGAAGAAUUAUCGCUUAGAAGUUUUGGUGUGAUUGGAAGAUGACCUUUAGUAUUUCCCUUGACAAGUUUCUUCAACUCUCGGCUCUUAAAUUAUGCCCAAAUUCAGAGGUGAAGUAAGAUUCCCUAUGUAGAGCUUCAUGUCUACCUUUUGAGAGUGAAAUAACCAGAAAAGUUUUACUGGACAAGUGUCUUCCUAGAAUGGAAGGGGGAGGCAAGUCUGUUAUUUCAUUUGUGUGAUUAAGCCUCUUCUGUCUUGUGAUGAAAUUAUUUACUGUGCUUGUCUGGUCAUACACUUUGUCUGCAGUGAAACACUAGUAAAUUAUGGGAAAGCUUAGUCCCAGGUUCUUGAUUUUUUGUUGUCUCUGCUGGAAUUAGUGUCCGUUAAGCAAUUAAGAAAAGUUACUGUAAUGGUGGCUAAGUUUCCAAAUUUAUUUCCUUAGUUUUACUUUGCAAUUUGUAACUGUUGGUGUUCCUGAUUUCCCACUUCAAGAUCACUCUCUUGUGAUUGUAGUACUUAAAAAUUCUGUUCUUUGUUUUCCUGUUUCACUUUACCUGAUCCAUUUUAUCAGGAACUGUGUUCUUGCUAGUUAUCUUGUUUUCCAAUCAUGUCUUACCAGUUUUCCCGUUUUACUAAAAUAUACUAUCCACUAUGCUAAUAGUAAGAAUCACAAAUGGUUUUGUUGUUUGGUCUGAUAAUUUUUUCUUGGAUGGUUUUACCGUCGUUUUUGAAGUAUGCCAUGUACUGUAUAUUCUGUGUCUUCAAUUAGGUAAGUUCGUUUUUAAAUGUUCAGGCAAUUUCUUGCCAAGUUUUGUGUGUGGUUUUACAUUUCUCUUUUAAAACUCCUUUUUGCUUGUUUUGCAGUUUGCAGUUUCUUCUGGAUCUUGACUCUUUGCACUAUGAAUACUCUUUUCGAGUACAGUGACAAAUCACUGGUUUUCAUCUACUUCUUUUCUUUUGGACUCAGUGCAAUAUCGCUGUCAUUUCUAAUCUCGACUUUCUUCUCACGGGCAAAAACGGCUGUGGCAGUUGGGACCCUUUCUUUCCUGGGGCCUUCUUCCCAUAUUACACAGUCAAUGAUGAGGCUGUUUCUAUGUUAGUAUUGCUGGCAUGUCAGAUAACAAAUUGUGUUUUCCUGCAAGGAAGUAAUCCCUUCAUGCUAUUCAUGUAGGGCAUUAAAGGUCACUGCUUCUGUCCUUUCACCUACUGCCUUUGCUUUGGGAUCAGUCAACUUUGCUGACUAUGAACGUGCUCAUGUUGGACUUCGUUGGAGCAACAUCUGGCGUGUAUGUUCUGUGCAUUGUCAUAUUUCUUCUCCAAGACCAUAUUUCAUAGUUUUAAAAGUUUUAUGCUUUUCCAGGAGUCAUCUGGAGUUUCUUUUUUGGUCUGUCUCCUGAUGAUGUUGUUUGACACAGUAGUGUAUUGUGGAAUGGGCCUUUACCUGGAUAAGGUACAUACUCAAUAAUUUGUCUGAUUUCUGAUUCUGCCAGGAGUGUGUGCACUAAUAUAUCCAUAAAAGCUGCUGUAAUUGCUCUUUACAAUAGGGCAUCUCUACAAGUUGAACGAUCAUUAGUAUCCAAUAGAUUGUAUUUUUUUAACGGGGUUGUCCUUUUUAAUAGACUUUGUAUCUUCAUCAAUAUUUUGAGAUUUUCCUUGAUUAAGUUUUAUUACACAUUAAUGAUUAACUAUUUUUUGAUGUGUUCAGGUCCUUCCAAAGGAGAAUGGCAUACGUUAUCCAUGGAACUUCAUGUUUCAGAUAUCCUUUUGGAGGAAGAGAAGUACCAGUGGUCGUUCCUGUACAGUAGAAAAAUUACUGACCAUCAUGUAAAGCAAGAGACUAGUCCUGUUGAGGAUGUACAUAACCCAGCUGUAGAAGCAAUGAGCUUAGAAAUGAGGCAACAAGAGCUUGACAACCGGUACAUGUGCUGCGUUUAGUUGCCCCUGUAUUUAAUCUUCAAACAAAUACCUGUCAUAUGCCUCUGAUUUCUUCAAUUAUUAAUGUGAUCUUUGUCUUUAUAUUUUCCAGAUGCAUUCAGAUUAGAAAUUUGCACAAGGAGUUUCUGACAAAAAUGGGGACAUGUUGUGCUGUAAAUUCUUUGCAGCUAAAUCUGUAUGAGAACCAGAUUCUUGCUCUUCUUGGUAUUCACAUUCACUUUAUGUCAACAUAUGACAUGUUUUAUGAGAAAAUUGGAUCUUUUGACUUAUAUUUGCAUUGUAAUUGAAUCUUGUUAUCUUCUUUGUGCUUAACAAGAUUGCUUUUUUUCUGAAGAUGCUUGUGAUUGAUAUUCUUCUGGAAUGCUUGAUGCUUAUGGUUGCAUCCCAUUAUAUAGAUACAAGAGUUUGCACGAAGUGCUUUUCCUGGCACCAGUUAACUACAAGGCGUAGUGUUUGGAAGUCUCUUUGACUUGGAAUUGUUGAUAGUUGUUUUGCUCCUUGAGACAAUUAGCAGAAAAGAUUUUAUACCAAUUUAUUAGGUCUGUCCUUGAUUUUACUAAAUGGACAAGGUGAUGAGACCUCCUUUCCAUGAAUUCUUUAUAGGUUGGAUAGAGCAGAAUUGCUCCUUCUAUUUUUUUUUUGGAGAAAGUAUGUUGUUCUUAGCUGUCUUUCUUAAAAGUUCCUGCUUGAUGUGGCUCCUCUCGUUCAGGUGUGAAGAAUCACAUGCCAGGUUUUGGUCAUUCCAAAUAGUUAGAAUUCAAGAGCAAGCCUUAGUGGUUAAGUAGUUCUGUUGUGAAUUGGGAAGUCAAAAAGGUUCAAAGUAUGGAUAUAAUCUCUCUUCCUUCUAACUGUAGGAUUGUUAGUAGCCUUAUAUAUGGAUUUAUAAAUCAUGGUGACAUGCAACUAUUGUGUUCACCUUGUCCAUUUGGACAAUGUGGCAAGACAGGCUAUUUGUGAGGCCUUUGAUGGAGUGGAAUGUUUCUUUUCUAUCUUCUUCUCAGACUGUAAUAGCUUAGAUAUUUUAUGAUAUGCUGACCUAGCCAAAGUUGUAGUUCAACAGAGUGUCAGGCAUCCAUAAAGUAUUUGCUUUUUGGCAUAGGUAUCUUUCCUUCUUAAGAACUUUAUUGUAGUUCAAUCUAUGGAGAUUUAUGAGCACAAUAGAUCGUAUUCAAAAAAUGACUGCAAGAGUUUUGUGAAACCUGGGGACCGACUUUGAUAUGCUUUGAUCUCACUUUUUUUGGCUAUACCUUAAUAUUUAAGCUACCUCAUCUAUAAACUUGUCUUUUAUGAAUAUAGAAUAUAGAAUAUAAUUACUCCUUUUAUUUGUUUUUCUCUGCUUUAUAAAAUUCUUAAAGAAUUUGGCCUUAUGCAGCUUCCUUUAUUUCAUCACAUUAUAUGAUUAAUCAUCAUGGUUUGAUUUGUCAUUUAAUUGUUGCUUUAAAUGGUUAUCCACUGAAGGACAUAAUGGAGCUGGAAAGAGCACGACAAUAUCCAUGCUUGUUGGUCUUCUUCGUCCUACUUCUGGAGAUGCAUUGAUAUAUGGAAAGAACAUCUUGACUGACAUGGUAAUGUGGUUUCUUUAUCUAUUUUUGCACACAAGUUGAAGUUUUGAAGUGACAAAACUAAUAUUUAGUACCAUCAGUCUGGUUUAGUCAAUUACAUUAGCUGACUGGGGCCUGUCUCUUUUGCAUCUGCUAAUGAAACAGCGAUUUUGAAAGUUAAAUUCUUGCAAAAAAAAGACUAAUUUUUCAAAAAGUAGCAAGAAGUUUUCUGUAUGUCCUCAUUGUAAAGUUUCUUUUCAUUUUGUGUGAGAAGUUUUACUUGUUAAGCAAGGUAAGAUUUUUAGUUUCUUACAGUCAGUUUAGCUUGUCCAACGAAUAUUGCAUCUCAGUGGUUUUCCAUGGAAAAUCUCUGUGCAUCUGUAUUUUAUUUAGUCCAUGCUGUCUUUCUUUUUUUUUUUUUAAAAGCUCAUUUAACUGAUGAAGAAUAAGAGGGUUUGAUGGCAAGAUAAUCAGUAACUUAGUUGGGCAUAUGAUGGCCAACCUGCCUUGCCAAAUUAUAUGUGAAUGUUUUCUGAAGUUAUCCUUGAUAACUAUCUAUUUGAUAUUGCAGGAUGAGAUACGGAAGAGUUUGGGUGUCUGUCCUCAACAGGACAUUCUUUUUCCAGAGCUAACUGUGAGUAACUAUUGCUCAAAUAAUAUCCCAGCAUUAGUACGUCAUGGAUAUGUUUAUUUCAUCACGUCAACUUUAGAGUGGGAGGAUUGAGGAAGUGUGGAACCUAAAGAAUUGCAUACUCAUGGCUUUUAGUCUGGCCUAAUUCCAGCAGUCCACCCUUUCUGUGUAUUAAAUGAAAAAAGAAUUUAUAGCUUUGGAGAAGGGGACAGUGAUGUCUUCAUGCAGGGUUGCUGGAGCUUUAGUUGUUCCUGAACCAUGUCUAAGUUUUGUGUUUGGAACGGUGAGCAUAUUAUCUGGAAAUAUUUGCAGGUGAAGGAGCAUUUGGAAAUAUUUGCCACCAUAAAGGGCGUCGAUGAAGACUCUAUUGAUAGUAGUGUCACUGAAGUGGUGGAUGAAGUAAGUUCCCAAUUGCUGUAUUCUGCUGAUGCAUCUCUACUGAUCUAGGAUCGACUGUUGAUUACAUGAUGCUGUCAUACCAGACAGCUAAUAAAAUAGCCUGAGCCAUGACCUUUUGAGAAUCUUAUGUAAAACCAUUUUGUAUAUCAAUCCAACCAUACAAUCAGUUGAAAUGAGUUUUCGUGGAUUCACUUAACCAAUAUCCUUGUUUGGAGCUCUCAUUUUUAAGAUGGUCGCUUGCCUAUUCUUACUAGAGCAAUAACGGAGAAAACUCCUGAGCCCUUGAGGUUUCUGGUUAUUUCGGUUAGCACCCUAAAGUUUUCAAUAUCUCUGUAGAAGUGCACUCCAAAAUUCAUAGGUAUUGCUGAAAACUAUUUUUAUUCCCAACUUGCCCUUCAAUGGUCCACACUGAAUUAUCAAUUUAACUUAAAGAAGGCCAUGGGGAUGUAAAACAAGGGGGCAAAGCCUACCUGGUUAAUAAUUGGCCAAUCCCCUUCUAUUCUGCUGUUUUGUGCCCUUGUAAGUUAAACCAGUUGCUUUAAUUUCUUGCCAUCCAUGCAAGGGUAGAUGGGGAAUGAAAAUGCUUUUCAGCAGACAUUAUGAAUUUCCGUGUCAUUGUUACUGACAUAAGGUUACUUUCAUAGAUGAGAUUUCAAAUAAUGGAAGGUAAGUGUAAUAUUGGAAACUUCGAGGGUGCCAAGUGAUAGUGUUUAGAAACCUCAGGGUUGGUUUCUGAAAUUAUUCCUAUAUUUUACUCACAGCAUGCAUUUAGCAUUACGUAUAUUUUGAUUAUUUUCUUGCUGGAAUGUAGCAUCUACAGCUACCUUUCCUUGACAGCUUUGCUCCUGUUUCUUUUAUUAAUGCUUGUAAUUGGAUGUUUCAUUAGGUGGGACUUGCAGAUAAAAUUGGUACUACUGUCAAGGCUCUUUCUGGAGGUAUGAAGAGAAAAUUGUCCCUUGGGAUUGCACUGAUCGGAAAUAGUAAGGUGAGUAUGACUGUUGGAACGUUCUUGACUAUUAUGUCUUGUUAAAAUGUUCUACAAUCAUAUCAUUUCACUUUCAAAGGUUAUUGUUCUUGAUGAACCUACAAGUGGAAUGGAUCCAUAUUCAAUGCGAUUGACGUGGCAAUUUAUAAAAAGAAUUAAGAAAGGAAGGAUAAUAUUGUUAACAACUCACUCCAUGGAUGAAGCUGAUGUACUGGGAGAUCGCAUAGCCAUCAUGGCUAAUGGUACUCUGAAAUGCUGUGGAAGGUACUUUCCCCUGAUCAAUCUUUUGACUAUCACUCAUUUUCACUGCUGUAACAUGGUUUGGCCUUUUGUAAAUUUCCUGUUUUCCGACUUGAUUUAAUGCGUAUUCUGUUAAAGCUUGAAACAGAAAAGUUCUUUGGUAAAUUUACGGUCUCAGUUGAAUUACUAAAUAAAUGCGUGCAAGGUUUCAAAAAGUCGGUUUAAUAGGAAACAUGAACUUAUGAGUUUAUUAUUUUGGGGUGCGAGAGUUAAGACAUACGGUCCAUGCCUCUUGCUAUCAAGGAUACUGUCAAUGAUUUGACAACAACUGAAGGUGAUUUCAUAGACCUGACAGCUCUACUCCAUCUAUUCCACUAAAAUAUCAAAAAUUUGACCAUGAAACUGGACAAGAAGAUAGAGAUAAAGUGUUAGAAACAGCAUACCACAAUCUGAAUGCUAUGAACACUUGAUUUAGAAGAAAUGGUAUAUAUUGAGGAAGUCCUUUGCGUAAUUCCUUUCCUUCACUUUGUUAUCAUUUCACAGUUCCCUUUACCUGAAGCACCAGUAUGGGGUUGGUUACACUCUUACCUUGGUAAAGGUGAAGUCUUUUCUUAUUACAAAUUACUUUUUAGUCUUCAACAGUCUUUUCCAUAUAAAAGGCCUUCUUCCCUUUCUAUUAGCCUUAUGAUUAACUUCCUUUUUCAGUCCGCACCAUGUGCUUCUCCAGCUGCUGAUAUUGUGUAUCAACAUAUUCCAUCUGCAACAUGUGUGAGUGAGGUAUUUCUCUGUCUACAUCUUGGUUUUUUUGUAAAAUGAUGACACAUGUUUUCUGCAGUGAGAAUGAGUGAUAAAUGACACAUGUAUUGAUCGUUGAGGUAUUGCAUCUGCUAAUUUAUUGGUGUUGAUUAUUACAUUUUUUGUUGGUGUCUUUUUUUGGGUGUGCAGGUUGGAACUGAAAUUUCCUUUAAGCUUCCACUGUCAUCCUCAUCUUCAUUUGAGAGCAUGUUUCGAGAAAUAGAGCAGUGUAUGAGAAGAUCGAACCCAAUGCUGAAGCUAGGGGUCAAGAGAAUGACGACAAUAUUGGUGUUGAGAGCUAUGGUAUAUCUGUCACAACUUUAGAGGAAGUGUUCCUGAGAGUAGCAGGGGGUGACUUUGAUGAGGCUGACUGCUUUAAGAGAACAAUUCUGCAGCUUCAUCUGAUUCUAAUGUUUCUAGAGCUUGUCAAAGUUAUGCUCCAAACCAUGUGUUCCAUAUCAAACAGUGCACAAACUUUUUUAAAGUUCUCGGGCUUCUAGUUACCACAGUUGGGAGGGCAUGUGGUCUAUUUUUUGCAACUGUUUUAAGUGUCUUUAAGUUCUUAAGUAUGCAGUGCUGCUGUUGUUUUGUGCUUUCGAGGUCAACAUUUUGGAAGCAUGUCAAAGCUUUACUUAUUAAGAGAGCAAUAUCAGCUAAGAGGGAUCGGAAGACCAUUGUCUUUCAGCUGUUAAUCCCGGCUGUGUUCUUAUUCAUUGGUCUUCUCUUUCUCAGUCUUAAGUCACAUCCAGAUCAGCAGUCAAUAACUUUCACAACCUCACACUUUAAUCCUCUCCUGAGUGGUGGUGGAGGUGGAGGUCCUAUACCUUUUGAUCUCUCAUGGCCUAUUGCCAGGAGGUUAGUAAAUUCUUUCCAACUUCACGUGGACUAUCAACUGUCUCUGUUCAAUGAAUAACAUUUUGCCACCUUGUUUGUGCUAUCUUUGUAGGUUGCAAAGCAUCUGAAAGGGGCUGGAUCCAGAGGGAAAAAGACUCGUAUAAGUUCCCUGACUCUGAAAUGGCAUUGAAUGAUGCUAUUCAGGUUGCAGGGCCCACUUUGGGACCAGCCCUUCUUGAAAUGAGUGAAUAUCUAAUGUCCAGUUUUAAUGAAUCUUAUGAGUCAAGGUGCGUGGUAUUGAGUUGUUAGGGGUAGUGCAUGAUUGUGGACAACUUUUUAGCAUCUCUCUUGUUUCCUUUCUCUGAUUUGUAGUUCUUCCCUGAUUGCAUAUGAAAUUAAGUACAUGAUCAGUUUUAAUUGGUUUUAUUUUCAUUCUUCUUGUAUCAUGAAUUUAACACAUUAUAUGUCUCGGUAGCUGUUAUGGUUAUCUAGAAUAAAAUUUUUUUACCAUUAUUUUGUUUCUGCUGCUUGAUCAAGUAGAAUUAAGUUUCUUCUUUAUUAUCUUUUUCAUCCUUCAAUCUAACCUCUUUCAGACAAAGUUGAUAAGAUUGUUUACUGGCCUUAUGAUAUUAGUUGUGUUGCAAUUAAAUAGAUCAUGCUUGCAACAGAUAUUUUUAUUGAAUAUUUAGUUGGUUGGGAUAAAAUGUAUGAACUGCAGAUAUCUACUGGCCUUAUGAUAUUUAGUAAAUAACCACAAAGGGGUUUCAGGGAUGCUCUCAGAGCUUGUUUAUGAGCUUUUACAACUCGGUUUAUGUAAUAAAAGGAGAAAAAAAUACAGACAAUGAUGCAAUUAAUUGAAGACUAAAUUAGUUGAGGUUGGGUUGUCUUUUUGAUACCAUACCUUCCGUAUUUUGUGCGACAUCUAUUUCAAACUGAGUCGCCUAGUUUAACUCAGCAUGCAGUUUUUAAGAUAGGAUUUGUAAAAAUACAAUAUGAAUAACAAAGUAAAUAUUGUCUUUUUCAAUUUUGUUUCCUUUUAUUUGGCAGAGGGAGGGGAGAGGUAGUAAAGCAGUUUGGUCAUAUAGUUUUCAUUAUUACUUUUCAUAGAAUUAAGAAAACUCUGGCGUGCAUCAAUGAACCUUUUAAUAUAUGUUGGAAGAGUAAAACAUUUCAGUUCAGAAAAGUCAACAUUGUUCUCUGAUGCAGUAAAGGAAAGUAGCAAAGUAUCACAUUUGGUUUGGCAAGGAUAAAGUACAUUUUGUUGAGAGCUUGUAUUGAAGUCGUAAUAUUGUCCUUCUGCCUUAUCUAAUAUGAUCUUUUGAAACCUCUAAAUGUUUCUUUCAUUAUCUGUUGUUCUCUUAUCAACUUCGUGCACCCCUUUGCAGGUAUGGAGCAAUUGUAAUGGACAAUCAGACUGAUGAUGGGAGGGUGGGUUAUACUGUCCUGCAUAAUAGUUCUUGCCAGCAUGCUGCUCCAACAUUUAUCAAUCUGAUGAACUCAGCAAUACUCAGGCUGGCUACCCUCAACGAGAAUAUGUCAAUAACGACACGGAAUCAUCCUCUGCACUGACAGAAAGUCAGCAUCUGCAGCGUCAUGUAUGGUUUGCUAUUACUUAAUCAUUUAAAAUACCCUAGAAAUGGUAAAAUAGUUUCUUGAAGCUGAGGUCUUUAUUUCACGAGUCUGUUAACCAUACCUUUGGAUGGAUUGCUAGUUACUUGUUUGAAUAUAUAUUAUAGGCCACCUUACAAACAAUAUGCCAGUCUUUUUGGAUGUAUUCACCCUAUAGAUAUCUUAAAAUCAUGUCUUCCUUUCUGAUCUUGAAGCUUUGAGUUUGAAGUUGGAGUCAUUUCAUGGCUUUUUAAUACUCAUUAGCUUCAUAAAAGAACUUUUGUUGUGAACUUUGUUCUGGAUUUAUUUAGUGCACAUUUUAUUGUGCACUGUCCAUUGUUGAGUUUGACGCUUGGUGGCUCAAAAUGAUUUAUAAACAAACCCUCAUCACAACGUUAAUGAUUUUAUUCUCAUAAAGAUAUCCACAGGUUGUCAUGUAUUCAUUACUGUCUCUCUGCUGAAAAUUUUAAUUUUGUUCCAUGUGAUUCUCUGUAAUUAAUUGUAUCUGACUUGUGUUCAUUUUCACAUGAUACUGUGUUGUUUUGCAGGAUCUUGAUGCGUUCUCAGCUGCUAUUGUUGUUAACAUUGCCUUUUCAUUUAUUCCGGCCUCUUUUGCUGUGGCUAUUGUGAAGGUAAUUUGCCUUAGCUCAUUCUUGAAAAUGAUAAUUGUGAUGGUUUUGUUCUCAGGAACAGGUUUGUAAGUGAUAUAUAAAGAGAAGACCCAGUGUUUUCCUGAACUUUCUAAUAGUCUUGGAGGCAAAAUUAAGGCAAGAGGGAAAAAAAUUAUGCAAGUUUCAUUUUUCUUUUUGCUGACUGCCUGGCUAGUUGAAAUUUUGUCAAUUAUUCCAUAUUACAAAGGGAUAAAAAUUUCAAAGUAAAUUAAUUACUGCCACUUGAAAACCAAAAAUUUAAAAUAUUUUUAAGCUCACUGGAAGUUCUCAUUCGAAAUCUUUUUUCCUAAUCAAUAACUGAACCUAGGGUCUUGGCUUUGCUGCUGGGUGUAAGAGCAUUGGCACUAAAUUUAGUUCUAUAAGUUUCCUAUUGUAUAUUACUUUUGUCAGUCACUGAAAGUUAAAGUUGUUACCCAUAAUAUGCAAGGAUCCCAAAGUUAGUUACUAAACUCGCUAUCAUCACUUGCUAUUUGAGGUUCCCAUAUUGCAAAAAAUUGGAGAACUUCUAUUAUAACUCAUUGAUGAAUUUAGUAUUUAUUAUGAAUUUCUAAUGGUUGAAACUUCUAAGACAAAUUGACUUUGAUGCAGGAACAUGAAGUAAAAGCCAAGCAUCAGCAAUUGAUUAGUGGGGUAUAUUCAGUUUCUACGAAGUUUCCAGUUUCUGGAAUUAUUGCUAUGCUUUGUUUUGUGGUUUUGUUCUUUUUAACAGUCAAUUAAAUGCAGGUAUCUAUAUUGGCAUAUUGGGCUUCAACAUAUAUGUGGGACUUCAUCAGCUUUUUAUUUCCUUCAUCAAUUGCAAUUAUUCUCUUUUCCGCAUUUGGUAUGUUCUUGAUCUUUGCUGUCUACAUGUUCCAUGGACAGUUGGAGGAAAAUUGCUUGCGUAAUUAAUUGCCUGCUACGUUCUCGGUUGAAUGUCCUUGCUUUUACUUCUGUUGUUAGAGUUACUUUUCAGAUGCCUUAAUGCCAUGAAAGGAAUCACAGUUAACAAAAGUUAGGAUGAAAGUGAAAACAGAUAAUCAGCCUGCAUUGACUGGAGAAAGGUUCAAACAUAGCUGAAAAUUAUGUUAUUUAUUUUCCUUUUUGCGUCCCAAAAACAUUUCAUGACUAGUUCAGUAAAGCCUCGAUGAUGUUGAGAUUGGGCAUCUUGUUUGAUGGUUGGUAAUAUUGAGAACUUAUUUGGGAUUGUGGUGCUUUUACUAAAAAGGUACUUCUAGGCAAUACAACCACUUAUAAGGUGUUUGGUAAGCAUCAUUCUGUAAAUUUAGGAGUACAUUUGUUAUCUCAAAAGGACGUUUAGCACAUAAAGUUUGUCCGUUUUAUCAUAAUUUCGAACUGAAUAAAGGGAUAAAUACAUUUUAAUAAUUUCAACAACUACAUAUUAUCAAGUAGAAAAACCACUUUUGCAAGUAUUCAUUUCAAACAAUAUAAUUAAACACUUCAUUCUUUUACCACAAACCCUACUAGGGGAAGCUCUUUCUAAUUGCCACCGCAACCCCAAAGGCACACGACAUCUCUAAUAGCAAUUUCUAGAGCAUUUAAUGUUUCAUUUCAUCAUCCUAACUUCAUGUUUUAACUGUUUCAUUGGUAUUUUUGAGGGUUGUGAUGGAAAUAUAAAUUUAAGGUGUCCUAGAGUAACUCACAAAGCAAACCCUGUGGAAUAGUUCAAAGCAAACCCUGUGGAAUAGUUUAGUCCUAGCUUUUUAUUCUUUUGUUCCUAAAAACUAAUCAUGCAAGUCCUCUUCUUUCUUUUAUGUUUCCCUAGUUAAGAAGACAACUUAGCAAACUAAACAAAACUUUCUGACUGCUGAAGCUGUUAAAAUGGCUAAAUAUCGUACCACUGAAUUGCAAUGAGCUUAUAUAAGAAUACAAUCUAUCCUUUGCUUAACUUAUUGUCUGCAUCUUACUUAAAUGCUUCUAUUUUUUUAUUUUUUUUACUGUUUAACCGGGGCCGUCCUUGUUGCUUAAAAGUUGAUUCAUGCUUUUAAGCUAAAAUCUGCUUUUGAGGUGUUUUCAUUUGCUUUUGACUUGGGCUUUAAGCUUAUAUUAGCUGAAAAAGUUGAUCCAUGAGCAACGCAGGACAGCCUUCUUAGAAGAACUUUGCUUUUUAAAACUGACAAAACAGAAAAACCAUAUCAACUAGCAGUUUAUAUGGAAAUACCAUUUCAAGUGACGGAAAUAAGAUGUUGGUUUAUUUUAUGGGAAAUACUAGUAGCUUUUCUCAAACUUCUUUAAUUCUUUGGUGUAAACCUUCAUAUUUGCUUCCUCUUAUAAGUUCUGUUAUUUCAUGUUCCCACUGUUUGUGGCUAUCUACAAAUUGAAAAUUUUUUCUUUUGCAGGUCUUGAGCAGUUUAUUGGAAAAGAAUCCUUCUUCCCCACCAUAAUGCUGUUACUGGAAUAUGGACUAGCAGUUGCAUCAUCAACCUACUGCCUUACCUUCUUCUUCUCGGAGCACAGCCUGCACAGGUAUCAUUCUGCUGUCAAAUGUUUAAAGUUUGAACUUUUCUGCCUAUUUGACACUAACAUUGUAUAUCUACAAGCAGAAUAUAGUUCUGUUGGUCCAGUUCUUCAGUGGGAUUAUCCUCAUGGUUGUAUCAUUCAUAAUGGGGCUUAUGAAGUCUACAGAGCGGGCCAAUUCCCUUCUCAAGGUUUGCAUGCAUAGAGCAGCAACAUGUUUUUUAUUACAUCAUUUUUCAAAGCAAACUGAUUCCUCAAGAUUAGCAUUUGAUGUUCUGAAAGAGUCAAUUGAUGGACUUUCGAUUGGAUUUGUUUACAAAUGGGAUGAUGAUUAUGCAACUUAUGUCAUUAGUCUUUUUAAGGGUAUAGCUAUUUUUUCAUACAUUCAGUGAAUGUUUCCUACAUUUUGGUUUAUGCCUUUGUCACCUCCAAGUUUUUGAGUUCCAACAAGUUGAAUAACUUUUGAUGGUUUUAACAUCUUGUCACCUCUUUACAGUCCUAUCUAUGAUACUUGUUGAACUCAUAAGAGGUAAACCAAUUAUUAGAUGUUUCUCAUGGGCGUGGACAGAUUCUGUCACUUUGUCUUUUAUCAAGAAAAUUGUGUGCUGGAGACUUCAAAAUCUGUAGAUAAAUUUAUCCUAAUGAGUUCUAGAAAAAUGAUAGUGACUCGGACUUUGUUCUUCUCCAGGGCAAUAUGUGACUGCUUAGAAAUUUUCACUAACUUAAAAGAUUGUGCCAAGGGUUAUGACUGGUGAUCUUAAAAGCCUUCACGCUCGGAUAUUGAGCUUACUAACUAUCGUAUUUGUAUCUUCCAGAACUUCUUCAGGUUGUCACCGGGAUUUUGCUUUGCCGAUGGAUUAUCUUCAUUAGCUCUUUUACGACAAGAUAUGAAGAAUGGAUCUGGUAGUAGAGUUUUUGACUGGAAUGUGACGGGUGCUUCCCUUUGUUACUUGGCUGCAGAGGUGCUGUUCUGAUCUUAUGGCAUGAGAUUAUCUUGCUUCUGUGUACUACUAAUCAGUGUUUAAGCAAGAUAUAACGUUUUUCUGGGAAUCAUAUAGUGGUCUUGCUAUUUUUAGGUUUGCUUAUGUGGUCACGCUUUUCUCAAGUAGAAAUUAUCACUCUUCAGCCCUAUUGGACGAGUUUUCUCAUCAUUGAGAUUGCAUGAUUAUAGUUCCAGAAAUCUACAUUUUAACUUCGAAAUUGUUGGGAGAUAGGUUCUAAAAUACUAGUUUGCAGUUAUUUUCUGCUCUCUCAGUUUUACAUAAAGCCUCACACUUUACUAGUAAUUGAGCAAGUCUUUUUCAUUUUGCAAGAGGGGGUUAAUGGAUGUUAUAGAUUGAAUUUUCAGUGGAGAAGCUGCAGAACUGGAAUUGGAUACUAAUGGCUGGUGUAGCACUGAUUUUAGGUGCUUUAAACAAGUUUGAAGUGCUUGAGUCUUUAGAGUGUUGCUAGCCUAGCUGGUAGGGAGAUUAGCCAGGUGAAAGUAAGGUCCUUGGCAAUUCUCAAGCCUCGCCUCUUGCCCUUUACCCUUGUAAGGCUUGGAGUCUGUCCCUUGAACCCAAAAAAAAAAAACAAAUUGCUGUCCUUUCUUUGCCUGUUUGCUUAGGCCAUUAUUGAUCUGUAGCUGCGAUUGAUGAAGGCAGAUAGAACAAUUCUACCUCAAUUAUCCUAUUUCUCAGGGCAGAUAGAGCCUAGUCAUUUUAUUAAGAUCUUUCAUCUGUUGGUUUGUCGCCAGGUUUUCUGCUACCUAUCUCUGAACUAUCUAUGUUGGAUGUCUUGCUGCUAUCAUACCACGUAGCAAUGCAUAGCUGGACUGUCCUUGAUUGACAGCAGUAGUUUCUUAACAUAUGAAGUGCACUGGAUCUCUCAAGCUUAAGCAUUGAAGUUUCAUCAAUGAAUUCAAACUUAAAAAAUUGAAAAUGUCUAAAACUUUCUUAAAGGGGAAGUGGAUGCUUUAAAGAGUGGACAACUCUGUGAACUCAACUAGGUGAUUAAACAAAAGGAAGUAGACAGUUUCAAUGGUUUAGAUAACAUAGGAUCAUGGCUUUUGAUAUUCAGAAUUUUGAGUGGAUUAGUGGAUCAAUAGGUUUUGGUAGCAUGCAUUAUUGUUCUGGUUUAUAUUUCGAGCAUAUGAAUUUUUUAUUCUUUUUUAUCUGUACUGAUUGGUCAUUCCUCUUACAGGCUGUCAUUUAUUUCCUUCUAGCACUUGGCCUAGAGCUCUUGCCACCUCACAAGAUAAAUUUAGCCACAGCUUAUGAGUGGUGGAUGAGUAUUAAACUUUCACUUGCAACUUCUGGCAGUUUGUCAGAGCCACUUCUGAAAUCAUCCACAGGAGAUGUUGCUCUUAAAGUUGAUGAAGACAUCGAUGUCCUUACAGAGAGAAAUAGGGUACUCUCAGGUUCAAUUGAUGGUGCGAUCAUAUAUUUGCGCAAUCUGUGCAAGGUAUUCCAUGCAACCUUUCUAUUCACUGUAACAUUAGUGUAUCUUUUUGUAAGAAUGAAUAUAGCCCGUAAGGGUCUUUCUUUCAACUCAGUAUGUGGUUUGAUUCCUACUGUCCAUAGCCGGUUCAUGAUUCUUCUUCUCCUAUACUAAAAUGUCCUCCAACCCUCCAAAUGUAUAAACAAGGAGAAUUUGAUGAAUUUUUAAAGUUACCAGUAAUAUAUUUCUUGUUUUAGGUUUAUUCGGGAGGAAAGCACAGGCUAAAAGUAGCAGUUGAUUCAUUGACUUUCGCAGUUCAGGAAGGAGAGUGUUUUGGCUUUCUAGGAACCAAUGGAGCAGGGAAGACAACCACCCUGUCCAUGCUUUCUGGUAUUAAAUAUGCUUUAGCAGUGACAGUUUAAUUUACAAAAAAGACCUCAAUUUGUUUAAUUUGUAGGAAAACAAAGCAAUUUCUCAGUUAGCAAUGACUUCUCUCUGUUCAACCUGAUGACGUGUUGCAUUAUAACGUCAUAUAACAAUGCUGCAGCUGUCACCGGGAAAUUUUUUUUUCUUUAAUCCUACUGCCUGGCAUGCAAUUUCACAUGUCGUUUGCAUUCUUCUUAUUAACCCUCAGCAUGCACACUUUGAAUAUUUUGUAAUGGCUGAAGGUGAGAGCUGAACCCUAAACAUCUGCCUGGGUUACGUUACUGAAUUACUGUAUCAUUCUAAAGCUGAAACUAUGUAGAGGGGUGAAUAUUCUUUGAUACACUUUUUAGACCUGCCUCAUGUGUGGGCUAAAUAUUCUUUGAUAGGCCAAGUAUGUGCAAGCAGGAAGAGGUGUGGUUUUCAGAAUUGAUAACUGGAUCUUUGCUAACUAUUCUGCUACCAUAUAAAGUUAUCAACUGUUUCAAAAGGUAAAGGUGUUAAGAAGGAAAGUCGUUUUAUUGUUUGUCUAAUCUAGGAUGCCUGCUCGUGUAGUCUGGCUUGUUUAAAUGAGCCCAACACCUGGAUGCAGUCUUUGGCUUAGAUGUGCAUAUGGACAUUGAUAGACAUAAAACUCUCAGCAGCAUAUGUAUGUCUUUCUGGGAUUUUUUAUCUCUAAACUUCUGGUUUGGGUUAAACAAGCUACUUGGGAAGAACUUUAAACACAUAUACUUCUGUGAAGCACAUCUGGAUUUUGCCAAGAAUGUGUAUCUCACAGCAUAGACUGUAAGCUUCAUACUGAUUUGGGUUCUCUAAGUACCUUCUUGUAUCCUUCUUUUUCAUUUUUUUGGAUAAACAGGGAAUGAGAGGUAGUCGGAUACUAUUCCCACUUAAUAAAUCUUUUCUUGGUUGGAUGAAUAUUUCAAUGCAGGAGAAGAACAUCCAACUAGUGGAAAAGCAUUUAUUUUUGGCAAAGACAUAGGUGCGAACCCAGAGGCUGCUCGUCGUCUUGUAAGUCUUGAUUUUUUUGUUUAUUUGUGCUUUAUCUAAUCUCUAAAUUCAUCAAGUCAACUUUUGCCUGGCUAACAUAUAGAACUUUUUUCUUGAUGUGUCAGAUUGGUUAUUGUCCUCAAUUUGAUGCGCUACUAGAGUUUCUCAAUGCUCAAGAACAUCUUGAGCUCUAUGCCAGAAUAAAAGGAGUUUCAGAAUUUGAGCUCAAAGAUGUAUGCCCUUCUUGAUGCUUUUAAAUUACGUCUCAUCCAUUUAUUUUUUAUUUUUAUUCUUGUGAGCAAUUGAUAGUGAAAUUCUGAGAAGUUCAUGGACCUAUAUUGCUGUUAUUUUGUCAUGGGGAAUUAUCAUCUUAAUGCUAGGAGCCAACCUCUAGAAGGAUAACCUUGGUGUAACUGUAAUGUCUUUCCAUUUUGACUUUGAGGCAUUGGUUUGAUUCAAAACUUUUGGCCUGUUUGCUUGCAGGCAAGAGACACACAUACCUACCUACUUUAUUGGUGUUUCACAUGGAUAAUUUUUUGGUGGUUUAGGAAGAAGAUGCUUUCCAUGUUAACGAACUAAACUUAUAAAGAGAUUUGCAAAGGUUUUGCUACUUAAGUAUUAUGAAUUAACAGCCUUGACUUUGGAGGGACAAAUAUGAAUUGGAAAGUUGAUGCUAUUUGGGCUAUAAAAAGCAUUACUUGGAAAGUAUACUUUCAUUUUCCCAUAUUUAUCUUCUAUCUGUGAAGGUUGAUAUUGAAUAACUUUUGCAUGGGCACAACUCUAAACAAAUUAAUGUCCUGAGUUGAUCUAUGAACACUGCUGUAAAUCAAAAGAUUUCCUAUGUGUAUUGUUAUGAAUAGUUGAUUAUUAUUUAUUUUUCUUGUCCAAUGUUAAAUGCAUUUUGUCUUGUGGACAAACCAAACCUUCAAGCUUGGUGAACAAAUUACGAACUAUAUGUUAUUUGGUUUUACGUACCUUUUCUAGUGCUUAUUAAAAAAGAAUUCAUCCUGAACUUCAUAUUUUAUCAUUAUUUCCCAACAUCCAUGGAGACAAUUCAGUGCUUCUUGUUUGGGAUGAGGAAUAGAUGUAUCUUAUCAAGUUCAGGACUAGAAUGAGUCAAUUUCAUUAUAGUAAGAUCCAAGAGUCUGAAAACUGUGACACUAUUUUUUUAAUCUGCCAUCUGAAUAUCAGUUGUGGCUCUACAGCAUCAAUGAUUAAUGCUGGUAAGAACGUUAAACAGGUUGUUAGAGAAAAACUGGUAGAGUUUGAUUUGCUGAAGCAUGCCACUAAACCAUCGUUUGCCUUAAGUGGGGGAAACAAGCGUAAACUAUCUGUUGCAAUCGCAAUGAUCGGAGAUCCCCCAUUGUCAUUCUUGACGAGCCAUCAACUGGUAAUUAAUUCUUCUGAUGUUAGUUUGUGUGUAUUGUGAUUAGUAUUCUUAAUGCCCAUUAGUUUUUCCCUUCAUCUUCUUUUAGAUAUUAAAAAGCUUCUACCAUGCAUAUAUACCCAUUAUAAUACGCUUGUGCUAGUACAGCUGUGGGGUUUCAUCUCACCUGAAUAUCAGGAAAAGUCAUUCGGCAAGUGUAAGAUUGCUUUCUAUGAUAAACAACUUAAUUGUUGUUACAAAGAGAAACCUAAUAGUCUAAUCCUCAAUGUAAAAUAGUUCUCAUGCUGAGUAUCGUGCAUGGUCUGCCUCUAGUUAGGUAAAGAUCAGUGUUAGCUCCUUGUCUUGCUGCCAUAGGUCUGUCCAGAACUUAAGAAGCAGUUGCCAGGCUUGUAGUAGUCAUUUGAUUCUUUGUAUUCGUAUAAUUCUUAAAAAGAUGGUCUUUUACACAGCAUUUUUAUCCUCUAUUUUAAUAUUUUACUGUCACAUCCUUCUUUCACUCUCCAGCAGAAUUAUGCUUCAGCUUCUACCAUUUAUUUUCUGAUGCUUAACCAAUAUUUAAUGCCCAAAUUACUUUAGGUAUGGAUCCUAUGCCAAACGAUUCAUGUGGGAGGUUAUAUCCCAGCUAUCAACCAGACGAGGAAAGACAGCUGUCAUUCUAACUAUCAUAGCAUGAAUGAAGCACAAGCUCUGUGUUCUAGGAUUGGGAUCAUGGUAUGUCCUGUAGCAUUUAGCUUGUCUAUGAUAUGUAUAUAAUUGAAAUCUUGUAGUGCUAACUUGUACCCCUCCCACAAAAAAAUUCUGCUGCUUUUCUUUGUUAAACACAAUGUCAAAGGUUGGAGGCAGGCUUAGAUGCAUUGGAAGUCCUCAGCAUCUAAAAACGAGAUUUGGGAAUCAUCUUGAACUAGAGGUAUUUUCUUAGUUAAAUUGUUUGUCCAUGGUUCUUUGUGGCUAGAAAUCUUAUAUUUCACCAACAGGUCAAACCUACAGAAGUAAGCAUCAUGGACAUGGAAAAUCUAUGCCAAAUAAUACAAGAAAAACUCUUCGAUGUUCCAUGUCAUACAAGAAGUAUACUUGGUGACCUUGAAGUUUGCAUUGGAGCAAAGGACACUAUAGCAUCAGAAAGCACAUCAGUUGCAGAGAUUAGCUUAUCAGAGGAAAUCAUAGUUGCAAUUGGACGAUGGCUUGGAAUGAAGAAAGAGUACGGGCUCUUGUAUCUGCAAGUGCGAGUAAUGCUUCAUCUGGGGCUACUGGUGAGCAGUUAUCAGAGCAGUUGGUCCGUGAUGGUAAGUCUGCCUUUCAUCAAUCUAUUAGUUUCACACAAUUCAAAUAUCACUGUAGUGUUGUUUUUGGUCAUCGCUUACGCUUGCAGUCUCCCCUCCCCAUAGAAAUGACAAUUGCUUCAUAACUGAGUGGAUAUGAUCCUUUUCCUGGAUGAAUCUAAUAUCUUAAUCUACAAUCAUAUACUUUGAACUUUGUGUGUUAUGCAAUUAAUAUGUGCUCACCAAAUUUAAAUGGUGCAGAUCAAUUUAAAUAAUUGAGCAGCUCUGGUUUCUGACUCUUCCUCUCCCAAUGCCAAAUUUACACCCUGGAAUUUUCUUCUUUUUUUCAUCUCUGGGUUGGUUAAUAAGCCCAAGGCUUUCGCUUUAUUAAAUACUAAAGCUGUUGCAAUUCAUGACUAUAGGUGGUAUCCCACUGCCUGUAUUUUCGGAGUGGUGUUAACCAAAGAAAAGUUCUCUGCUAUUGAUUCAUUUAUCCAAUCAUCAUUUCCUGGCACCACAUUUCAUUUCAAGGUUGCAAUGGAUUGAGUGCUCAAUAUCAGGUAUGACUUGUGCAAAUUUUUUGCAUUUACUCUGUUUGUUUUAGAAUAUGUUAGCCUGCACUCUUACAUCAAGACUCCUAGUUUUAUUUGCUGAUGAAUAUGAAUGCCCCUUUUUUCUCCGGUAGAAUAAAGGAGCUUUUAGAUAUAUAGUAGGAAGUAACAGAAAUGAGUAGUGUAUCCCAAUUUUCCUGUUCUCUACUUGUAUUUUGCAGUAUUAUAGUCAGUAGAUGUAGAUGGUGAGCAUGAGGUGUAUUUGUCUAUUCGCCAGAACAAGAAGUAAACAAAUUUGUUUUGUUGUUUUAAAACACGCAGUGGCACCUGAGUUACUAGAAACAGCUUUCCUUGCUUUUUUCUUCCCAUUUAACUUGAAUCGAGAACAAUUUUACGUAAACUGAAAUUUAAAAUCUAUUUACAGGGUUUCCUUAUCCUUUCGAGGAACAUUCAAAUUGUUUCAUCCUCAGAUUUGAAUCUUGUGGUUUAUGCAUGACUGCAAUCUUGUUUUAACGUCAUCUUAAGAUUGUCAUAAGAAAUUUAUGGUGAUCAGUGGGAUGAACAUAAUUGGUUUUGAAUCCAAUAGCUAUCUUCUCCUACUAAUCUGGAAGGAUGAAUUAGACUUCAAGAUGAAUUGCAUUAUGGAUUCACAUAAUUCUUAAAUGAAACUAAGUUGUAACUAACCAGAAAGCUUGACUUGUAUGCCUAGGUAUAUAGGGGAUGUGCAAAUUGAUUAUGUGCAGCAGCAGGAGCAUUUAAAAAGAAAAAAAAUGCUAAUGCAUCAACUAUUCAACUCGUACAUACAUUUUGUGAAGCUUGCUUUUGGAUCUUUAAUUAGUUGAUGAUUUAUCUUCAAAAUGUUGCAGCUGCCUUAUGAGGAAGACCUCUCUCUUGCUGAUGUUUUUGGUCACCUAGAGCGUAACAGGUGCAGUAAUUACUCUUCGUGAAUUAUCAGCAUUUUCUAAAGCUUUUGGUACUGAUCACGUGUACUUUUUCAUCUCUGGAAAUUUACUGGGCAUCAAAGAGUACAGUAUCAGUCAAUCAACACUAGAGACAAUCUUUAACCAUUUUGCUGCUGCUAACACAUGAAAUAAAUACUAUUUAGCAUAACCUUAAGUGGAAGCUAAUCCCUUCUUGUUUUUAGAGUUUGAAGGGUCUUUUUCUUCCAAUAUAUAUGGUAAUUUUGCUGCAAGCAGUGGAGGAAUUCCCCUUGAUGCAGAUAGAAGAUUCGCUAUAGGCAUUUCUGUCCUCUCCACUAGGAGUAUUUUACCAAUAAAUGUAUUGCCUUUCACAGAUUACUGUGGAAGUAUAAAUCUGUCUUAUAUAAUGGAACUUUUUCAUUGCUUUAUCUCAUCAUUCAUACUCAGUGUUUCUUCCUACCCUUUUCCCUCUCAUUGUAGGUUUUUUUUUUUUUUUGUUGUUGUUGUCAAUUUUGGUUUUCAUUAAGACCAAGAGAAAGAGGUACAGAUGGUGGUGAAGCUUUCUCCAAAUACUAUAAAAUAACCCAAGCAAUUAACUUAGUUGAAGAUUUAACUCGGUAGCAACAACGAAGGUAUCAGGCACCAAUGAAGUUUGGCCAAACUUUGCCAACACAAGUUGUCUUAGUUGGUAAGGAUGGGAAAUUUCAUCACAAAAGUUAUGUGUUCGAAUUUCGCCAUCGAUGUGAGAACUGUGUCAGUGGGUCAUUUGUAAAAAUCUCUAUAAAUGACCUAUGUUUUUGAGGCCUAUGCCAUAAUUUGUGGUGGUGUUUGAGUCCGGUAAUAAUCAGUUUUAAAUUUCACCAUCGAUGUAAGAACUGUAUUACUGACGCCGAUUUGUAAGAAUCUUAUAAGCGACCUAUGGUCUCGAAACGAUGUCAGUUUUGAAUUUCACUAUCGAUGUAAGAACUGUGCUAAGCCGACCUAUGGUCUCGGAAUGAUGUCAUACUCCAUGGUGGUGUCUGGGUCAGCAAUAAUUUUGGUUGUCAAAUAAUAAAACAUCAAUAAACAAUUUUUCCUAGUUAAGAUCAAAUGUUGCGACCUUAGAAGUUAUACAAUCAAGCUUCCCUUGGACUUAUCCAGCAGCUUGUACGUGCAUGAGCUAGAUAUGGCGUCAGUAUUAUGCAAGAAAGUGAAGAAAACAUAACAAUCUACUAAUUUCUAAAUUCUUUGGCUAUUCUUCUUUGGUGGUGGGGCAACUGACUUAGAUUUAGGUAGAAGUUUUAGAUUAAUGGCAAUUCUCUACCUUCUAGUCUUUACAAUAAAAUCAAAGCGUGGCUCUCACGCUCUUGGAAAUUCCAACACACUUGUCUAAGUUCUGGUUAUUGGAAAAUAGUGUGAUUAAAGGGUUGAUUACACUUUCGUCCACGUAAUUUUGACAUUUUAACACAUAUUAGAUCACCCUCAACUAAUUUAUUUAAGCCUUUUGACACCUUAAGUUAUUCUUUUAUUAUUGAUCCAAAUUUUCCGAGAUUAUGAUAUUGAUGCUUUAAUCAUUAAUUUUUUUUUGCUUAAUCAUUAAUUUUGCCAAUCUCAUGAAUCAUGAUUUCGAAUUAUAACGUAUUAUAACUUAUUUCGUUUCAAUAAACGAUUGGAAUUUCAAAAUAUGUAUAAUUGGAUAUUGGCCCAGCUGUAAAAUUCAAUAUUGAACGAAUGAUUAAAUGCUUAGUCUUUCGUCAAAAGUAGAUGUGGAUAAGGAAACUGGAUUUUUCAAGCUGAUUAGGUCAUGAGUUUCUGAUUUCUAAGGAUCCAAAGUUCCAUUCAACACCAACUUCACCAACAAUGACAUACACAUAAUUGUAAUCUUUAGAUAACAGAUUGGUAAGGAAAAAAAUUAAAAAAAAAAAAAAACAGUUCAUGUGAACAAAUAUAGAACCAGUUUUAGGUUCAAUUAGACCUAAGACUAAAACCUUUUUGUUUUUUU